AUUAAGGCGCUGUGGAAGUCCCAUUUGCCGAGCUCGGCGGCGUCAAAGAAUGGAGCUGGUGGCGGGUCGUGGUAGUCCUUAGCCGAGAAGGAGCCUCGCUCCGCUACCACUUCUUUCGUCAUCCUUCCUUGAUGAAGUAGUUGGAAGCGGUGAAGUAGGAGAUAGACAAACAGAGAGAGUGAGAUGGGAGUGGUGAAACAGAGGAUAUGGUUUCGGGGGUAUAUAUGGACACACAGUACACUGACCUCAUCUCAUUUUUCAUUUUUUUUUAUCCCAAUAUUUCCUCUACUCAAACCAAUUAUAAAAUUAUAGGGAGGCUCCACAAUAGGAAAGUUCGGAGAUGGUUAUGUUAUACCUAUUAUUUAUUUGUAUUGUAACGGUUAUUAACCAUAAUCAUCCUCGUUUUCAUUUGGAUGACAAAAUUAAUUCCAUCACCAUACAGAUGCGGUUAACGGUUAUAAUCACUUCCAACGGUUAUAACCACUAUCCAUUAUGAAACAUUAAAAAAUCAAAAUGCAUCCACUUUAAUUCAUCUUUAAAGUAGUGGAUGAAAUAUUUUUUAUCGAAGAAUAAUAAUUGAGCUUUAUAAAAAACGAGGAGGCGAAGAGAUAUCGUCGAAGUCAAAGAUGACAAAUGAGAUAUGUUUGAUGAAGGAAUGAGUAAAUGGAUUAGAUUUAGUUUUUUUUCAUUAAUUUCAAGUACAUUUAUGUUAUCUAUCGGGCUUAUUGAGCUUAUGUAUUGACGGGUAAAUGUUGUUUAUAUAGCAGGUCGGUGAAGGUUAUGUGUAUUAUUACGGUGAUGGUGCGGUUACCACAAAACCCAUAAUCUAUCCUUACACAUUCCUAACUGUUAACGAUUAUAACCGUAUCCUCAAAAUACCCAAUCAAUGCAGUUAAUAACCGUCAAACUCGAUAAAAUUAUAUUCAAUUAAACGAUUAAAUGAUCAACAUUGCCAAACAUGAAGCAAGUAAAAUCCACGAAAUCGAAGUUGUCAGAGUUGCACACUUCCCAUGGAAGAAAGUCGAGUGAGCAUAUAUAGAAGAGGCAUACUCCAUCACUGCUUUAGCUUUGAUAGAAAAAUAUCGGCUUUGUGUAAUGAGUAAAUAUAUUGGUUUUGUUCAUCUUUGAAUUUUCUCGUACAAAUUUUUCUCUUUCAAUAUGUUUUUAUAAGUGGUGGAACGAAUAUAUUUGAGUCUCUUUUAUGAUUUCUAUAUCUCAAAACUCCAUGUUUAUAAUUAGUGUUUCUUACAAGUAUCUGUCAUGUAGACAUUAAAAGCAUACAACGUUAAGUUAGUUUUCUCGCGAUGAGAUCGAUCUUAGAAUUUGGACCGAUUCUUAAACAUACAUGCUUGCUUUCUCAUCUCUCUCAUUUAAAAUUAUAUUUGAGACAACUAAAAUUAUAUUGUAUCAGAACAAACGUUUGGUUCAUAGAGUUGAAAGUUAGGUUAGGUUUGAGCAGUAUGAAAAGACCAAAGUAGUAAGUAAACGAAGCAUGCCCAGUCUCCACCACCGUCCACCGCCACCCCACUUAUUCUUGUCGAAACUCACUACUAGUAGCCAGUAGUACUGUACUGUUCCAUCUCCGUUUCAUUAUUAAUUUACCCCACCACUUGUAUUAAUUGGCAACCUCACCUUUUACCAACUUUCUUUGAAUCUACGUAAUGGACGAUCACGAGACGCACGAGCAGCUCCAAAAUUAAUGCGGUAAGCUAACAGAAAUUAUACUAGAUAACGUCGACAUACGAAACAAGAAAGCACGACAUGAAGCGAGUGAUAAUCUGAUCGAACUCCGUAGAAAUUUCAUUGCCCACUAUCGCCAACAAACAAACGGCCACAAAUUACUCGGCGACAAUCAAACUUUCCAACCCCCACUCUUUAAUUUAAUUUUGCAUAAAGAAAUGCAUUUUGUGACCGUUAAUAAUCUACUACGAUUGAACCCCACUACUACAACGUCGUAAUAAUCUUUUGGCACAUGCUGCAAAUCGAUAAGGGCUCCACGCUUGUCUCUAAGCUAAUUAAGGAUCUAGCACUAUACCACGUACAAAUAUUUUUCUGUAUAUUUUCAACGUAUUGGAAUAUUAUCCAAAUUAAAAUCCCUAUCAAACAGUAAGGAGUUGUUGUAUAAGUUAUUUUAUGUGGUUUUUUUUAUAGAGAUGAUGUGUUAUUUGAUAAUAAUGUAUGAGUUAUUUUGGUCGAAAUAUUUCAAAUAUUAUAUUUGAAAUAAUUGAUUGUUUUGAGUUAGUCAAGUGAGGUAAUUUCUACAUCAAAAGUUCAAAAUAAUUUAUAAAUACCACAUUUUCAAAUAAUGGAUCAUUUUGCUUCAAAAUACCUAUUUAAUAUUUGGUUGACGAAAGAACCAAAAUAGUCUAAAUAUUAUGGUGCAUAAGUAUUUGCAUAACUCGAAAUGAAAUGAUUUGAAAUACCAUUGUUACGGAAAUACCAUUGAUCUAUGCCAAACGAGUUAUUUUUACAUCAGAGGACAGAUGAGUUAUGAUGUGUGACUACUCCCAUGAACUUGCUAUCUCAUUUGGGAAAUUGCGUUACGCUGGAGGUGAUGACAGGGAAACGAGUAUGCAUGCUAAUUAUAGUGCCACGUACGCUAGUGGGAUAUACAUAAUGAUGUGUGGGAGGAAAAUGGGGUAAAAAUGACAAAAGUAUGGGUAGGUGAGGUGAGUCGAAGCUGAGUGGGAUUUUGGUUUUUUUUGUCCUAAUUAGCUGGAUUUUGAAUCGUGUAGUUUCAAUAAUACGACAUAUCAAAAUUGGGUUAAGAAUUGGUCUAUAGUUAAUCACGUAUCAUUUUCUAAAAUAAAUUAAAGAUGCACGCAUAAAUACGUAACAUGAAGAAGGGGAUAGUAAGCUUAUGAGGUUGAAUUUCAAGAUCGAAGUACCGCAAAAGAAGAAUGAACAAGGCCGGCGAUGCAUUGUGUGUGAGAUGCACGAGGACACUAGCUAGCAAAGAAGAGAAGUUUUAUACCAUCACCUCAGUGUUGCCAGAGUGGUUAGGUGGAGGUUCAAAGCAACUAUAUGAAAAGUAUCACCAAGUGCAAGAGCUCAUAACAACACAACUGCAUCACAAGGAAGACCUAAUAUCUAACUCAUUCGACUCUCGAGAAUAAUGAUCCGAUACAGGUAACCUAAGACACAAGCACUACAACGAAAAGAAAAAAUUGUCGUCGCAGGCGGAUCCGAAAUAUAUCGCAGGCUAGACAUGCGACGAAAGCCAAAAUGCCUACGACAAUUUUUGCUGUGAGAAAGCUAAGUUUGUAAUAGACAAAACUCGCGAGACCAAUUUGGUCGCAGUCAACCUACAACUAGCUUUGUCGGGUGGGGUCAAAGAUGGAUCCGUUUUUUCAUGCCACCCGCGUGAAACCAUCAACAGACCCCUUUGACCCGGCCCAUUACAAAUGUGUUUUUGGUGUGGUAAAUUAUUAUUAGAUCGGUACCUGAGUAAUGGGUUGGGCCUGGAAAGCCUACUCUAAACGGGUCGGUUUAAAAACCCAUAGCCCAAACAGGUAAUAAUGUCAAAAAGUCAAAACCAUUUGAUUCGACAUGCUUUGACAGCUGAAGGCUGAAGGAGUAAUAGACAUUGUGAUGCUCUGUGGUAUCUGAUUGGCUAAUGAAAAAGCAAUAAAUCAAAAUACAGCAAAUUUUACAGAUCGGGACGGGAGAAGAGAAGAGAAGAGAAGAGACGAGAGGACGACACCAUCAUUAACUGCAAAACCGAUAACCGAUAGUUUCUUAUCGCUUCCAUUUCUGAUCUCUCAACGCUCACACUCUCUCUAUUCACGCCUCCGUCUUUCCUCUUCCCGUGACCGUUCCUCCAAUUCAUACUGUAAGCUCUUUUUCUCUCUGUCGAGACCGAUCGGUUUCCCUGGUGCCUCAAUUUCUUCAAUGUUUGUCGUCUUGUUUCCAGGGGAAAAUCGGCUGCCAAAAUGGGGCUGCUAUCUGGAAUGUUCUUGGGAGUGACGUUCGGGAUCGCACUUAUGGCUGGUUGGAACCACAUGAUGAAGUACCGUAGCAACAAACGAAUUUCAAAGGCACGCGCCCCCGUCCGCUCUUGUUUCUUUCUAAUUUCGUUUUCAGAGUUUACGUUUUGCUUGUAGCUGGUGGAGUGUUUUGAAGCUUCUGUUGCAGAAACCGAUUGUUUGAUUGUGCUGGAAAUUGUGAAAGAUGGCUGGAACUUCUCUAAUUCUGUUGAUGAUGCCUUGAGCAACUAUCUUUCUUGCCAAGAUACUGAAUGCAUGUUAGCUGUUCGAGUGUCUUGUUUGAGAUUGUGGAGUUAUUUUUUUAUGCUGUUGAUCGUAUGAAGUUCGAACUGGGGAAGUGGAGGAUUUCCUAUGGAAUCAGUGUUCACCAUUACUUCUUAUUGUUCCAUGUCCUGCAGGCUGCUGAUAUUAAACUCCUUGGAACUCUGAACAGAGAUGAUUUGAAGAAAUUAUGUGGUGAUAAUUUUCCCGAGUGGAUAUCUUUCCCAGUGUUUGAACAGGUUUACUUCUCUACUCAAUCAACCUGCUAGAGUGAUUCGUGGCUUUUCUUUCCUAUGUGUUGUUGUUCUUCUAUUUCCUGGUGAUGCUUCCUCAAAAAUAAUGUUCUACAUUUCUAACUUUACUAAAAGCAUCAGAAGGGUGUCAUUUCGAAUUUUGCCACCAACAACAGCUUCUAACACGUUAUGUUUUGUUAAUUAAUGUGUUAAAAAGAUAUGCCGGAAAGCCAAAAAUUCAAACUAGCUCCCAGUGUGUAUUGUAUUCUUGGUCUGUAUAUGAACUCAAGCAUGCAAGGUCAUCGUAACCUGGUUUUGUCUCUCACCGGAUACUGUGGACAGUGUACUUUGCAGGGUGAAAAGUGUUAAGGUAGCAGUCUAUUUCCCUUGAUAAAGCUUGGUUUUAUGACAUCGCGUUCUUGCUGAUCUUGCAGGUGAAAUGGAUGAACAAGAAACUAGGCAAGCUAUGGCCCUAUGUCGCUGAUGUAAGUUCUUACUUUUCUUCUCAGAUGCUUUUGUCAUGGUUACAUGCAUUUUUAGCCUGGUAUUCUUUGGUAUUGUGCAUACAUCUGGACAGAAUAGUCAGACUAUGUCUAAUUUGAAGUCUAGGUAAUAUGAUAAAAUUCAUCUUUCACAAAGAAUUUGUGUGCCUUUUACAUUUUAUCAACUACCAUUGGAAGAAGCUGAACUUUGAUGGGUAUGUUUGUUGAAAGGCUGCGACUAUGGUGGUUAAAGAAUCUGUUGAACCACUGCUAGAAGAGUACAGACCUCCUGGUAUCACUUCAUUGAAGUUUAAUAAGUUUUCCAUGGGAACUGUGCCGCCUAAAAUUGAAGGUACAUGCUAGAUUUGUCCAUCUUUCACCUAUUCGUCAGCUUUGUUGGUGUUGUCUUCACACCUUUGUCACUUUAGAAAUUUCUUAAACUAUGUAAAGUAUUAUUGGAUUUCCUCGCUUUAAGUUCUGCAAGAAACUAUAUGAAAAUGGCUUUACAAAGACUUAUCUUCUUCUAAUAGGAGAUCUAUCUUAUUCGGAACUGUAAAAAGGCGUCAUAAGUUAGAUUUCUAUUUGCAGGCUCUAUAUUUUGAUGUAUGCAUUGUGCAUCCUUUCUAACAAUCUCCUCCAUAUCAAUUGUACAAAAAAUGAAGGUAUACGUGUUCAAAGUCUGAAGAAAGGUCAAGUUAUUAUGGAUAUAGAUUUUCGAUGGUGUGGUGAUCCAAGCAUCAUCCUAGGUGUUGAAGCUGCAAUGGUUGCCUCAAUACCAAUUCAGGUUUGUUAAUUGUACAACGACUUUAGAUAAUGCAAGACUUUACAGUUUUACUUGCUUUUGUCGUUUCCAUCAUUUAGUUUUAUAACGGAAGAAUAAUGAAUGAUUUCGUGACGCAACUUGGUGCAGCUGAAGGAUCUUGAGAUGUACUCUGUUAUUCGGGUUAUCUUCCAACUUUCUGAGGAGAUACCAUGCAUUUCUGCUGUUGUCGUUGCUUUGCUUUCUGAGGUAUGUCUAAGUUUCCUGUUGAAGUUAAAAAAAGUAGAAAGAAUAUCUAGGAAAUGUUAUCUUUUAAGAUUUAUUCGCAGCAUUUGACAGAAUUGUCAAACGCAGUGAUACUAUAUUGACAUUUCUAGCUUAGUAAGAUGAUGUUUGCCACAGGGCAUAGGCUCUUCAACCAUUAUUUUUUGUUUGGGAUGGAACUGACUCAUUCAUGUCUUAUUACCCAGCCAAAGCCUAAAAUUGAGUACGUUCUAAAAGCUGUUGGUGGAAGCAUAUCUGCCAUACCCGGUUUGUCAGAUAUGAUCGAUGUAAGUAAACAUUGGCUUACAUGCAUGUCUUCACUCCCAUUUCUGUCUUAUUCCAUCGAAUAUAUUUGGCUCAUCAUGCUGUUGCUUAUAUCCGCAACAGGAUACAGUCCAAUCAAUUGUUACCGAUAUGCUUCAGUGGCCUCACAGAAUUGUUGUUCCAAUUGGUGGCAUACCUGUUGAUACCAGGUAAUAAUUCCCUCGUAGCUGUCUUCAGCUCUUCUUUAGAUUAUCAGCUGAGUUGACUUUGAUUCCAUGUGUUGCAGUGAUUUGGAGCUUAAACCCCAAGGGAAGCUGACGGUGACAGUAGUUAAAGCAAAUGAUUUGAAGAACAUGGAAAUGAUUGGAAAGUCCGAUCCAUAUGUUACUCUACAUAUCCGACCGGUGUUCAAGGUCAAGACACAUACAGUGGAAAACAAUCUCAAUCCUGUCUUUAAUCAGACGUUUGAGUUGAUCGCUGAAGACAAAGAGACUCAAUCACUUAUUCUCGAGGUGCUAUACUCUUUACAUUCCUACUUUCACUGCUUUAUGGUGCACCCUUGGCAUACAAUGCUCCUUCACUUCAGAAUUGAAGUCCUGCCUCUCUAACUGAAAGAUCUCAUGAUACCCUUUCGGCAGGUGUUUGAUAAAGACAUCGGCCAAGACAAGCGAUUGGGAAUCGUGAAGUUACCGCUCGUUGAUCUCGAAGCAGAGUCUUGGAAAGAUAUGGAGUUGAGACUUUUGCCGGCGCUUGAUAUGAUGAAAAUUAAAGAUAAGAAGGAUAGAGGAACUCUUACGCUGAAGGUCAGACUCUUUUGAAUCCUCCCUCUGUCUUUUUGGCUAUAGAGCUGACAUCAGACAACCAACCUGCCUUUUAUUCGUAGGGGGUCCUUACAUCUUAAGGAAGUUGCCCUGGGCCCAAAACCAGCCUUUUCCCAGUACUAGAUUUAAGUAUAAAUUGAUAGCUAUUGGUAGUUCGAUCUAGUGAUGACGUUGAAUGAAAUAAUAUAAAUUUAGGUGAAUGAGUGAAUCAAUUCAAAAUUUGCAUUAGUUGAUAACCGAGAAUUUACUACAAUUUAAACCAAAUUAUACAUUGUUGAUCUCGAAGCAGGGUCUUGGAAAGAUAUGGAGUUGAGACUUUUGCCGGCGCUUGAUAUGAUGAAGAUUAAAGAUAAGAAGGAUAGAGGAACUCUUACGCUUAAGGUCAGACUCUUUUGAAUCCUCCCUCUGUCUUUUUGGCUAUAGAGCUGACAUCAGACAACCAACCUGCCUUUUAUUCGUAGGGGGUCCUUACAUCUUAAGGAAGUUGCCCUGGGCCCAAAACCAGCCUUUUCCCAGUACUAGAUUUAAGUAUAAAUUGAUAGCUAUUGGUAGUUCGAUCUAGUGAUGACGUUGAAUGAAAUAAUAUAAAUUUAGGUGAAUGAGUGAAUCAAUUCAAAAUUUGCAUUAGUUGAUAACCGAGAAUUUACUACAAUUUAAACCAAAUUAUACAUACAUGGAUCCAAAAAGUAUAAGAAAUUUAGUGUUGGAACAUAAUUUCGAAUAUUUAAAUGAUUUUUAAGUAGUGUUGUGAGAUUUUCUGGGUGAAAUUCAGGGCGUUGAUGUAACAUAUCCAUCAUUCAUAAUUAAACGAGUUUCAGAAACACCAAACAAAUCGUACAAUAACUAAUAAGGGAGGGAUGGAUCGUUAAGCUCAAUAGAAUAGAAUCUUAGAGACGAAGAAUGACCUCUAUUAGCUACCAUGUCAAUGUAAGUUUUACUUUACGGUAUUAUUUUUUCUAUACAUGAUCCCUCUUAUUUAGUUAUUUGUCCUACAUUCGUGGCAUCACAACCCACUUGGUAUUAUUUCCCCUGGCAAAGGUACUGUACCACGAAUUCAGCAAAGAGGAGCAGAUGGCUGCUUUGGAGGAGGAGAAGAGGGUCUUAGAAGAAAGGAAGAAACUGAAAGAAGCAGGAGUAAUAGGGAGCACAAUGGACGCCCUCGACGGUGCAGCUUCGUUAGUUGGCACGGGUCUAGCCGGAGGGGCUGGGCUCGUGGGGAGCGGCAUUGGAGCCGGAGCUAACCUGGUAGGAAGCGGGGUGUCGGGUGGGGUUGGCAUGGUUGGGAGUGGGCUUAGCAAAGCUGGAAAGUUCAUGGGGAGGACGAUUACUGGUCAGAGCAGCAAGAGGAGUAGCUCUAAUUCUUCUACCCCCACCGGUCAGGAAAACGGCGCAGGAAAGCAGCUCUAGAUGAAGAGAGUAUUUUGCAGGGUACGUACUCUUUCGCCUCUCUGCUCAAAUGUGUGUACGAUUGUGUUGUUUUCUGUUGGAUUUGGAUUCUUGUGUGCCAAAUGUUAGUAGAUAUGGAUGAAUGUUUUAACCAACAUUCUGUACAAAAAAAAAAAAGAAAUAAUUUGAUUGCGCUCGCUAAAAUAUUAUCCACUUUUCUCGUGGACCUUUUGCUUUGGUAUAGUUAGUUGAUUGGAUUGCUUUCUGUAGUCUUUGUUUGUUUUUACUUUAUAGAUUAAACAUAAGGAGGGUUAAUUAAACAAACUAAUUUAAGGAUGUAAGACAGAUCGAUUAAUCAAAUACACAAAGCACCAUUAAAACUAAGUAAAGGCAGGCCAGGCCAGGCCGACAAGGCGUGAGCUUAGAGUGGGGGAAUCAAGCUGGUUGGGUGGUGAAGUCACGUGAUCUCAUCACCAGUUUUAGUUUCCUUGGGGCCACAGCUUCACGUUUCCUUUUUUUCGAGGACGGGAUUCUGGAUUCCUGCCAAAUAAAUAAGUCAAAUUUACAGGCUUGAAAUUUACCCAACUUGUGAAAUUAGUAGAGAGAGAACGUCCCUUUCAUCGUUCUAAGAUUGAGGUCAAACCUCCAAUUGGCGGCAGCAGUUGACUCAACAGUCUUCUCCAUCUGUUGCCUCUCAUGAAUGUCAAACACUAUAUAAUUUAGAUGGUGACGUAAAUGGGCCGGCUUGGUUUACUUCAGCCCUAAUUCAAUAAAUUUAUAUUAUAUAGUUUGAUUGUAAUCUAAUUAACGUUAACCUUUCCUAUGUGUUUCGGAAAGACAACUUGUUUGGCUCAUACAAGUUAUUUUGGUCGUAAAAGAAAACAUUACAACUGCUUUGUUAUAACUAAAGAUAUUAGUUACUCGGUUGUUAAUUUUGUUAAUGUUAGUGAUCUACGUGUGAUUUGAGAAGACAUUCUUCAUGGUUAAGAAACCACAAGUGCCAAGGACAUACAUACAUACAUAGGCCAACUAGGCACAAUGGUCAAAGGCAAAAGGUUGCGUGAAAAGCUGUUUCGACCCGUGAACCGACUUAGAACCCCAUUGGCCAAACCAAACCUUGAUACCCCCGUGGUUUCAUAACUUUGUCAACCCGGAGAGAGAGAGCACAAAUAUCAUCAUCAUGCUCAUUGAGCCACGUGACCCAUUUCUCUGUCUCUGUACUCCCUGUCGCCCUACAUAAAAUAUUGUUACCAGUUCUUCCCAAGUCAAAGAGAUAGCUGUAAAAAUGGAUGUAACCAACUCCUAAUUUCCCCGGUGAAAUUACUCGAAAAUAGACAAUAAUACCUUCACAUGACAGUUAAGAGAUGAAACCCUCACUGCCCAACCAAAACACGCCACGUAUCCGUCUCCUCCCCUGCCUCUCUCACGUGCCUCUGUCACCCACCACAUUCCUUUCCUCCUCCCUCCUUCUUCAGUCCUUAUCCUUCACUCACUCGCUCACUCCCCAACACAAACCAGCAGCUGGAGACAGAGAGAUAGAUUUUUUUACUUCUUCAUGAAGCCCUGAAACUGUCACCUCCACUUUCCCUAAUAUUUACGCACCAUGCCAUCCCGCCUUCUCCUCUCUCUUCCUUCGCCGGAGCAUCACCACCGUACACACCACCACAACCACCUCCCUGCAAUCCUCGCGGGAUCAUUGGCUUUCGCUCUCAUCUCCCUCCUCUUUCUAUUCGUCUUCCUCUACCGUAAGCUCUCCCGCCACCGCACCGCCCCAACUUCUUCUUCUUCUUCAGACCUCAAAUCGCCCACUCAUCUCCAAACCACCAACAAAUGCCGUCACUUCUCUUACUCUCUCCUCCGCCGCGCCACUGCUUCUUUCUCCACCUCCAACCGCCUCGGCCACGGCGGCUUCGGUUGCGUCUACAAAGCCGUCCUGUCCUCUUCCUCCUCGCUCGCCGUCAAGGUCAUGGACCCAAACGGCUCACUGCAAGGCGAGCGAGAGUUUCACAACGAACUCUCCAUCGCAUCAUCUCUCGACUCGCCCUACAUUGUCAGCCUCCUUGGCUACUCUACCGACCGCCGGAAGCGGAAGCUGGUGCUCGUGUACGAGCUGAUGGAGAACCGGAGCUUGCAGGAGGCUCUGAUGGAUCGCAAGUGCGAGGAGCUCAUGGACUGGAGCAAGCGGUAUAGUGUGAUGACUGAUGUUGCUAGAGGCUUAGAGUACCUCCACCAUUUCUGUAACCCUCCCGUGAUUCACGGCGACGUUAAGCCCAGCAAUAUCUUGCUGGAUUCGGAUUUCAACGCCAAGAUCGGCGAUUUCGGCCUCGCUAGAUUGAAGACGGAGGAAAUCGCCGAGUGCGCCGUCGGAGAAGACAACGGAUCUAUUCUGGAGGAGGCGGCGGAGAGUGUUGCAGCGACGACUGGAUACGAAGACAGCUCCACCACCGCGGCAGCAGGUGUCGAUCAAUCGCCGGUGAGUUUGUCUAGUAAGGUUUUGGAUUCGGAUGCGUCGCCGGAGGCGGCGGCGAGGAGCAUGUCGGAGGCGGAUCGAGUGAGUAUGGAGAGUGGGAGAGAUUUGGAGAAUGGAGGAGGAAAGAAAGGUGGAUCGAGAAGGGAUUGGUGGUGGAAGCAGGACAAUGGAGUUGAAUCGGAGUCUGGAAGAGUGAAGGAUUACGUAAUGGAAUGGAUUGGGAGUGAGAUCAGUAAAGAGAAUAGAUCGAAACCUGGAUGGAAUAAUCUCGAAUCCCCAAGCUCCGUCGAUAACAGUCUUUUGACGACGACGACGAGCUUAAAGAUCGAGAAGAAGAAGAAGAUAAGGAAGCGAUUGGAAUGGUGGGCGUCUCUAGACGAAGAGAGGAGGAUGAAGAAAAAGGAAAAGAAUCGGAAACCUAGAGAAUGGUGGAAGGAAGAGUUCUGCGACGAGCUAACAAAGAAGAACGGGAAGAAGAAGAAGAAGAAAAGCAACGGCGGAGGAGAGUCAUGGUGGCAGAAGGAUGAAGAUUCAGAUUGGACUACUUCGACGACGGCGACUAAGAAGAAGAGGAAAAGCAGAGGGAGCAUUGACUGGUGGAUGGACGGAUUAAGCGGCGAAUUCAGAAGGAGGAACAGCAGCAGCCACGAUUGGGCAAGCGGCGAAAUCCCAAAGAGCGGCGGGAUAAGCAGCACCCCUAGCAUGCGAGGAACGGAGUGCUAAGUCGCGCCGGAGUACGGCGGCGGAGGAGCUGGAUGCCAGCUGUCGGAGAAGUGUGAUGUUUACAGCUUCGGCGUGUUGCUACUCGUGGUGGUUUCAGGGCGUAGGCCGCUCCAAGUUACGGCAUCCCCCAUGUCCGAAUUCGAGAGAGCUAAUCUGAUCUCGUGGGCUAGGCAGCUAGCUCACAACGGCAAGCUAUUGGAUCUCGUUGAUCCUUUGAUACAUUCGUUGGAUAAACACCAAGCAUUGCUUGUUAUUACGAUCGCAUUGCUUUGCCUGCAGAGAUCGCCUAGCAAGCGGCCGUCCAUUAAGGAGAUCGUGGAGAUGCUCUCCGGCGAGGCCGAUCCACCGCAUUUGCCUUUCGAGUUUUCGCCCUCUCCGCCGUCCAAUUUCCCGUUCAAGUCAAGGAAGAAAGCUCACCGGUGAGUAGUUAAGUUGCUUACUGUAGUCUGUGUGUCUCUCUGUAUCUUGUCUUUUGUACAAGUUAGUUGCCAUUAUUGAAUUCAAUACAGGAAAUCAGGAUUCUUCCACCAUUACUUUCUCAUCUGAGUUUUGACCUCUGCUACUCGAAUCCAAUGACUAACAGUAGACGUAGAGAGUAAAACCUUUUACUGACAAAGUGCUUAAAGCUCAUAUCUUUGCUCAAGUGCUUAAAGCUAGUGAUAGUCAGCUUUAGCACUGACUUUAAUGGUGCUCUAAAGUUGCAUGAAAUUCAGUACAGCAAGCUGCAAAAUCAUCAUGGCUGGCUGGGUGGGAAAAUGAUUCUGCUCUCUGCAGUCACAUUGCACAUUAUGGUUUUCAUUUGUCACUAAUGUUUGUGCCUCCUGGGUCCCAUCCAUGGAUGCUCUUAGUAGCACUGAUUAUGGAGGCAAUAAAAGCCAUCAUCAAUCAAAAUCAAAAGCUACCUCAAAUUGCAGAUAAUGGUUGGUUCCUUUUCCUUCCCUUUUGCAUUGAUGUGUUUGCUUAAAUGAUUGCUGAGAAUGCUUCAUUUCUACGAAACUUGUAAUGAAAUGAAGAUCCCCACUGGUUUAGUUUUGGGACAGACGCUAAUAAGCUUAUCUUUGUGUUCAUGAACCUGUUCACUGUUCAGCUUCUGGUUUCGGAUUGAUUUGUUGAAAAGACAGAGACUUGCUGCCUGAAAUAUAAGAUAAGCUUAUAUCCAACUCGUAAUUACUUGAGAAAACCUUGCAAGUUGUGAUGUUUCUCCCCCAUUUCUACUGCGUUCCUGCUUGGUGAGAAAUGUUUAGCCGUGUGUCGUUUUCUUUUCUGUAUAUUCUCGGCAUUGGUAGGCGGAUCUUUCUAGGCAGAUAGGUCUGAGAAUUGGUUAUUAAUUAUCGAUCAAUUUGGUUAUUAAUCGUCUCUUUUGGUCGGUUAACUGCCUUAGCCGAUUGGAUUUGGUUGGAGAACCGAUCAUUAACCGACCAUCAUGGUUAUAACCGUUGGUAAAUUGAAAGACCAAUUUAACCGAUUGGUUAAUAUCACAAUUGUGGUAGUUUCUAUUGAAUUUGGGGUAAUUUACUUAGGAUUUGGGGAUAAUGUCACUUUUCUUAACCGACAAUUUAACCGUUUUAAUAGAUUAUCUGAUUUCAUCAAAUGUGUAGAUCGUUUCAUCGACCGAUCUAAUUUUGGUUAAACUGUUUUAACCAGUUAACCAAACCAAGAAGCCAGCCCUAGUAAGAUAGACAUACUAAUUUUGUAUGUCACCCAAAAGUCAAAACCACCUGUUACAUUCAUCUCUGCUUACCCAUUAAAGAAUGGAGUGGACCAACUCAGGACAUCAACGGUCCGGAUCUCCUGAUUUUAGAGGGACAAAAUCGUAAAUUUUGAAACUUGAAGUAAAUUUUAUAUUUGCUAGCAACUGUACAUAAAAUCUUAUCUAGAGUCCGACUAUUUUAGAAUCUGCCGUUGUCAUCAUCCACCAUAACAUGAGCAUGCAUCAUCUUUCUAAGUGGCGUUCCGGUAAAAAAGAAGGUUAGCAUAUCUCCAAGCUCCAAUUCAAAGUUGGGUUAGCUGACGGCGACCCGCCCAGCUCCGUAAUGGCACAGAUAGUGGAAUUUCCGGCCGCUCCCCACGAGCUAUAUCAACGCUGGUUACCUCCCCCGCCUAUUGUGUCAAUUUGUUUUUGGGUUUGGAGUUUAUAGUUUUGAUUUACUAUAAUCGCUAUUUUUUGUUGGUUUCUUUAGUUUUAUUUAUUUAUAUUCAGCGAGUAUUUGUGCCGUGUCUUGAGUAUUUUUUUAUCUGUCGUAUUAUUUAAAAUUGUGAUUUGUGAAGAUUAAAACCGCAAGAAUUAACUGUUUCUCCUUUACGCUCCGUAUGCGGGAAGCUCCUUGCGUAAUGGAACGCGGUGCGUUGAAUAGGCAAACAUUAGGAUGUUUUUUCUUUUGUGAUUAACUAUUGCCAUGUUUUAUUGUUUCUCAUACUGUUAUAGUUUCCUUGAUUUCUGAUAAUAGAAAGAUUACCACUAUUUCUUCUAUCAUUACUUCUCUCAUCCACGUCUGUUUAGUGGCCUAAAUAUAAAAUAUGGGAAUUGAUGUAAGACAUCCUACUUUUUAUUAUCCUAAAUAUAAAAUAUGGGAAUUGAUGUAAGACAUCUUAUUUUUUAUUAUCUUAAAUAUAAAAUAUGGAAAUUAAUGUAAUACAUCCUAUUUUUUAUUAUCCAAAACGCACUGACAUUUGAAUUCAAUAAGUAAAAUUACGUGAUGUCCUUUAAACCUAAUGUUUAAAUACACACAUGACGUAACUCAAAUCAAACACACUAUCUAAUUCGAAUCUCUCAGCUCUCUGAAAUACAAUCCUCUUCUCCUAAGAGUUGGGCCACAGCCAGCCGUCGCUUGCUCGCCAUCUCCAGCCACUCGCCGCCGCCGCUCGCCUCACACGGCCCCACCCGCUGGAAGCUGCCAACACUCUGUCGCCGCCGCCGCUUCCUCUACUCUCAUAUCCGUCGCAAGUCCGCCCCAAGCCGCCGCCUGUCGUUGAGGUACGAGAUUCAAAAAAAAGUAAGGACAGUCGCCAUUGGGAAAAAAAUUUGUUGUAGGCAAGAUUAAAUCAGAAAUUACGUAAAUAAUCAAGUCAAAAAGUAAAUUACUCAAUUUGGCAAUUCCCGUGACUUACAACGCGUCGCGCGUCGUAGGAAUAUGUUUGUCAACGUUUAUUGUUUACAGUUUCCUAUGUUGUGUGUUGCAAUUAAUUUCAACUUCACGUACUUGUGCUAAGGUUUAGGUGAGUGUGUAAUCAGGGUAGUGUUGCUUUAAUUUCAAUCCAUUUCAAGUGUUGCUUUAAUUUCAAUCCAUUUCAAGGGUUGUUUUAAUUUCAAUCCAUAAAAGUCAUAACACCAUACAAGUGGUAACAACAAACAAGUAGAAACAUCUAUCAAUAACAUUAGUCAUAACACCAUAAUAAUACAACCAUAAUGAACCCAUACAUACAAGCAUACCACAAUCAUAAUAAUAUGAGAAGUCCCUAAACCAAAAACACAAUCUACAAGCCUCCCUCUCCAGGCCUCCAAUGAGCUACUCUGGGAUGGUCUUCGGUGUCGCACAUGGCCUACCGAGGGUUGGUUCGUAACCCAUGUCGAAGGUCCCUCCGAGGUGCUGUGUCCUCCUCCCUCUGUCUGACUAUCUGCUCCUUGAACGUCAUCGUCUCGAACUGAGAGUCCGGAUGCUGUGUCUCACCGGCCCACUGUGGGUGUGAGCUGCUGGCUUCAUCGUGACCCAUCUGGGAAACCACUGCACGGACGGAGGUGGCUGGGACCACUGCUGUGAUGGAGGUGGCUGAGACCACUGUUGAGGCUUCAUCGUCGACUGGUACUGCGGGUCGCGAAAGGCAGACAUAUCGGGUAUCUAUGCCCGCGGUACGAACUCAGCCUCGUGGGUCCUCCGGCGUCGGGCACGUCUGGUCGGGAGGAUAGCCUCGGACUCAGUAGAUUAACAGCGUACAAGUCGUAAGCCUUGUAGAUCAGUACGGUGGGGGCCAUCAGUAGGUCACACCCCGAGUCAUCAAGCUUACGCUUCAUACCUCCGCUCUCGUACAUCAUGGAACGCAGACACUACUGAACCGCAUCGGUGUCCUCUCAGCCGAGCUGCUCCUGUGAACCUACCCGGACAGAUAGGUUCUCCAACCCGUCAAUCUGCAAAAUGAAAAAGAAAAUAUGUUAUCGUUGCAUGAUGCGGGAAGCCCACUAAUCGGAGGGGUGCUAGAGUACGUACGAUGGACUGUUGCACUGUCCCACGUCUCGAAGUCUACCGACGAGUGUACUGACGGUACCACACCAUGUACUCGUCGUGGCAGUGCCACCUCUCCGGAUCGUCGAGAAACGCACUUUUUGACACGUGGUCCAAUAUGAUCCCCCCAUUGGACAAGGUACUGAUCCACUCUCACGUCUCACGCGUGCCCGUUCAUCCUCGUUAGUCCGAGCAAGAACAUGACCUAUCCCUCCACAUAUCCACAGUGGGGAUGGGCUGGGACAUCCCAAACUGUCCGACGACAUGGUCUGGCCAGUGCCAAGAGAUGUUGUGAGGUAAAAUCAGUUGGGCAACGACCUUGUGUGUCGCCGGAGAGUGUGUCGAAUUUACACAGCUGCGGAAGGGGGCCUAGUGGAAGACAAAGAAAGUAUAAAUACAAAUAACAUCCUAAAAAGGGAUUACUAAAAAGAAACAGAAUGACACACUAGCUCUUACCACGAACGAGGUGCCCUCAUCGAACAGUUGUCUUUAUUCUGGAAGCAAGAGGCCACGAGUCCUCUCGUGCAUCUAGUUCUUCCACUAAUAUAGACAGGUGUUUCCAAUAAUCCCGACGCAUCUGGACCUCCGAGCAUGUCCUCAUGCAAUCACUGUGAUAUGAUUGGGGACCUCUCUAGUGCCCAAUCUGUAAGCAGCACGUUCCAACCACUGAUGUCACCCGCCCCCUUUGUACUAAAAGACUCCAACCUAAACGUUGACGACCGAGCUCCCGAUAGAGCAACGACAGAACCGCUACCCUCAAGCGAACGACAUCUCUUCUUGCAACCCUAACAGGUACGGUAGGUGGACGUAAGCAGCUGAUCUAUCCGUGAACAGGAACCACCUAUGCACGCCAGCAUGUAUGCCCGUGUGUACUGUCCCAACGUACGACCGUUGUCGGCGGGAAUGCGCUCCGGCUUCUUGAACGUGGAGUGCAACCACCCAAGCCUCAGUCGUCCGUCCUAUAAGACCUCAUUCACCAUCGGCCUCGCUCCCAAAUCCUCCUAUACUAAGUCUAGCAUCUACGGUCCAGAACGCUCGAGAGGGUAGUACAGCGGAUCACCGUCGACUGGAAAAUCAGUCAACAUCGCCACGUCCUCCAGAGUCAACGUGCACUCCCCAUGGUAUAUCAUUAAAGUGUUCGUCUUCGGCCUCCACCUCUCGACCAGCGCCGUCACAAGAUGCGGAUUCGAUGAAAGGGUCGCAGGAUCAAUAAUUGGUAAGAGUCCGACAGCCUCUAGCAAAGGGUGGAAGUAGGGAUGGUAUGGGGGAUGUGAGACAUCCUACGACACGAGAGGGUAAUGCUAGGUUCCUAUUCGGUAUUGUAGGUAGUGAUCAUUAGUAUCUAACUCAUUAAUUAAGUACCUAAUAUGUACUAAUAAAUAAUGAAUCUAAAAUAUUAUGAAUUUUUAUUAGUAUCUAACAUAGUAUUAGGAAACUAUAAAUAUUUUCUACCAUUAGGGAUAAGCACACUAAUUCCUUCUAACACUAGGCAUAAGCAAGUAUUAAUAUUUUCUAACAUUAGGCAUAAUGAAGUACUAACAUUUUUAAUAUUAGGCAACAUUAUUUAACACUUGGCCGUUAUUAAUAUUCUCUACAUAUUAUUCAAAUGGUACCAACCUCAUUGUCAAAAAUUUCAUCGGCUCGAUGUCGGUUGCGCUCGCCCCAAAGUAGUUCUGCAUCGAUCGACUCGGGGUUGACGCACGGAGGUAUCGGUCCAUACAAUUAAUCCAUCCUACAACGAAAAAAUAUUGUAGGGAACAAAUUGAGAAAAUUACUAAAAAAUAACUAAUAUUACCGACUAGUUGAUUGCGGAAAAAGAAUUUACUUCUCGGUAUUGAAAAACCAAAGAAUGAAGAAAUAGAGAAUUAGUGAAUGUGGAGGAAUGAAGAAGGGGAGGAGGGGUAUUUAUAGAAUCCGUUGGAGGCUAUCUACAACGCGUCGCGCGUCCUAGGAUGUGUGGCGCAUUGGAGGCUACCUACAACGCGUCGCGCGUCCUAGGAUGCGUCGCGUGUUGUAAGUCAGGGGAAUUGUCAAAUCAUGUAAUUUACGUUUCAACUUGAUUAUUGAUGAAAUUUCCGAUUUAAUCUUGCCUACCAAAAAAAUUCCGUCGCCCUUGAAAAUUAGUAAUUAGUCAUGCUAAUUAAUGUGAAUUAGUAAAUAUUAGUAACAAUUCAUUUGGAAAUUAAUACUUGAUAAUUGAAUAUCUAUUUAAUUAAUACUUAAAAAUUAGUAAUUAGUUAUGAUAAUUAAAGUUAAUUAGUAAAUAAAAACUUAGAAUUUAGUAAUUAAUUCAUGUUAAUUAAGGUAAAUUAGUAAAUACAAAUUUAGGAUUACAAUGUAAUUAGUGUAAUGAAAAUUUUAUUUAAUAAACUAUUUUCAAUUAGUAAUUAGUCAUCAUAAUUUAGAUGAAUUAUUAAUUUUAAAUUUUAAAUUGAAUGUUUAUUUCAAAAGUAGGGUUUAGUGUUAGUUUUCUAAUUAAUAGUUAUGAUUUAAAUUGCAUAUAUGGUUGGAAGCGAUGUCACAUGGAGAUCAUCGUUUGUCGCGGUUUAUCGAUUACUCUAUUUCUGCCUCAAAUCGAAAAUUGAAGGAGGAAAGAGCGAAGAGAAAUAAAUUAGGUUAGGGGAUAUUGGUCAGACGAGUGCGCAGUUUCAGAUUUCCGGACCGAUAUAUAUGCACCACGCAUUGCAGUCUGCUGGGAGAGAGCUGACGGUUGAUGAGAUCGCUGGGAACUUCUACCGCGGGCGCUACACGUGGCAGAGCUAGGUCUUCUACCGGGGUACAGUCCAGCUGCACCCGCGAGGAGUGGAGGCUUACACAUCUAGCACCUGGUAGGCCAUGGAUCCCCACUCUGAUCUCUAGUUUUGGCGGUCACAUUGCCCAUCACCUCCGGAGCUCGGUUUGGACCUGAGGAGUGGAGACUUACUACGUGACACGUAGAUUUGAACUUCUCCCACCAUGACGGAUCCCUUGCAUUCUGCCGUCUAGGAGGUCUGCCUUUCGGAACAUCAGAUGUCUUCGGAUCAUGAAUCCCCUCAGCCUCGGAUGUAGCUGGAACUGGAGGAGUCUCGUGUAUGAUCGAACUGCUACUUCUCCUAAACUCUCGACUUCCUCAACAGUUUCACGCCAAACGUUGCGGUCAGCACCGACAACUUCGCACUCAGCACGAUGGCGGGACCGCGGGGGAGUGGGGGGGGGGGGGGGGGGGGGUUGGGGAUAUUGUCCAGCUGGGUUUACAUAUCGUCCAACGUAGCUCAAACGCGAUGUAGGUGUCUUAUAUACAACAAAGUGUCCUCUAUACACCACCACUAAACUUCACAUCUGCAAGGCAACCCGUUAGUAGUUCGCAACACACACGAACAUUAACUUAGUAGUUUGCAUUCUUCAUGCAGUAACUGAAUCGCCCAUAAGUUGACUUCCGUGUUCAACUUCCCGUACAGUUUCUCCCAAAUCAUAAAUGACUGUAAUUAAAUAAGUGUAAAUCGAUAAACACGGUCCGAGAAAGUCAUAAACUAAUACAGAAAGUAAGCUACGUACCUUCAUUCGUGAGUUUUCAAGCAACUUCUUUAUCUCUAGUAUUUCCCCGUCAUAAGUCAAUGGUAUGCAUGGAAAAGUCUGCCAUCCUUGCUGAUCGAGGUGUGCAGCCAAGCCGUCAAGGAGGAAUGAAACAAAUCCACCUUAUUCGUACUUGUGUUGCCGAGAUGGAACACCUGGUUAGUGUAGCAACACGCCCAUUUCUAUAUUUGCAAGGGAGCCACUCUGAUGUCAGGUAUUGUAACAGCUAUGGACUCCGGCCACCUUCACCCAAAUCGUACGACUUCGUAAAAAAUAUUCGACUAGUUCGUGCAUUCAGAACUUGUCCCCACAGACCAGCUACGAACUUCUCAGAGGUCUCUCUAUCAUACAACUUGGUCACCGUUUCCUCGAUGUUCCUCUUUAUGUACCAAACACAAAGUAAAUGUGCCGAAAAAGGGAAUAUCUCUUGUAGUGCAACCGCCAAACCUCUCUCCUUAUCAGUAACAAAGACAAAAACACUCGACAACCAAGAAUCAUUUGCAACUGACUCAGUGCCCAAGCGUAUGACUCCUUCAUUUCAUCUUCCACAAGUGCAAGCCCCAUGUUGACGUUCUUCUUAACCGGCGUCACACCGACAAACUGAAUCACCGCCUUCUUGUACACGUUCGUCUUAUACGUGGAGUCGAUCAAGAUGACAUAAUACCAUGCAUGCAACAUCCGAAGUGACUCCACAUGUGAGAUGAAGAGAUGAGUGACAUAGUCUUUGACAUCCCUGAGGUACGUAGUGAAGUACCCCAAUUUUCACGCUUCUGUAAACAUCUAUUUCAUUGGGUUCAUACCGUCAAACUCAACCACCUUAUCUUUGCCAUCUCAUUGUAGAUCUGUUUCAUAUUGACCAUACUUCCAUACUCACUGUUGAGUAUGAUAUGCAUUUGUCUCGGGGGCACGAGGUUUUUCUCCAACUGUCUAAUGUGGUCUUUCAUCUCGUCUAUGAGCUAAUUCCAUUGUUGUGUUCCUUCACGCCACAACUCGAAGUUGUGGUUGUGAAAUGACCUAAGAAUCUCACGUUUUACAUCAUCUUUAACAGUGUCAGUCUUCCAUUUCAACUCAUCAUCAACGCGCUUAGGCCGCACGCACACUAUGAACGUACAACCUAAGUACGAUGUUGUAGUCGUUCGUGAACUCUCUGAAGAUGCAGUAGACUAUGAUUUUCCCAUAUCACCAUGCGAAUAAUACAAGUACAAACAUUUUUCUUCUUCACGGGGGUUCUUCUUAUGUGACCCUUUAGUAAACUGAAACCCUAAACUUAAAGCAAUAUCCUUCGCUGCAGAACUCGCAUCAUUUUGUGUGUGUAAAACAAAUCGUUUACGAAAUAACAACCAUAUUUCAUCUGUCCUUCAUCAUCAUCAUCAUCACUAGAACCUUCCUAGACAUGGAAUAACAAAAACUAUCAGUCGGUGUACUAUGUUCAAAAUAUUUGUUCACUAAAUGCGAAACAUUAACUCUACGAUCCACAACUAUUUAUUUUGUACUAGGACUUACUAUAUGGCUCUUCACUGCGCUUCUUGAAGACCACGGACAAUAAUUCUACCGAUCCUUAACUGGAAUAGUUAGGUACAUUCAAUAAAUUAAUUUAAACUAAUCAUAUAAUGACAUGUAUGAAUUUCAAUAAUUCAUAUUAUUAAUUUCAAUAAAUUACUAAUUAAGUAACAUAAAUUUGAAUAACAAAUUAUUUAAUAACAACAAUUAGUAAAAUACCACAGUCGCCAAUGUUGUACAUACACCAUUGAUAUUCAAUGGCAACUCAAUUAUCGAUACUGUCGCCAUUAGAUGUCGACUUUGCAACGGGUACGGUUGCCAUUGAAUGGCUGCCGUUGUUCAUUGCACUGUUGCCGUUUAAUGGCGACGACGUUUAAUUUUUUUUUUACCAUUCCACGUAACAGCGACGGUGAGUUCUGACUACGACUUGAAAUAGUAAAAUUUGAUUGGCUGGAAAAAAUAGACGUUAAUUGGUUGAGACUCCUUAUAUAGAAUUCUAAUAGAGACAUUUAGGUUAUUUCAUGUAUUAAAUUCAAAAUUUAAGACAUUUAUAAAUAAAAAGUAUGACGUUUUUUAAGAAUUCAAUAAAAUAUAGAAAUUAGUUAGUCCGUUUGUAUCUAUAUACGUCAGUUUCAUAUCAACAAUAGUAAAAUACUCUUACCAAAAAAAUAAAAAACAACAGUACAAUACAAAUCAUUCAUUCAAACAAUAGAGUUUAGUCUGAGCAAAUCCACCAGAUGGAAUCUCUGGCGGCGCAGGGUGACGAUCUCCCCCUGGUCUUGGUUCUAAUGAAGAUCCCGUUCUUUGACCACCACUUCACUUCUACCAAAUUCCGCUACUUGAACGCCUUUGAUUCGACCCUCCCGCUUCAUGAGUUCCUGACCGCCCACACGCGGUCAAUACGUGCAGUGUUCGCCUCCGGCGGUGCGAUCGUAGAUGCCGGCGUCCUCGAUCUACUUCCGGAGUUGCGUGUCAUCGUCACCGCCAGCUCCGGGCUUAACAAGAUCGACUUACUCGAUUGCCGACGCCGAGGGAUCAAGAUCGCUAACGCAGGAGAUGUAUAUUCGGCCGACGUGGCCGAUUGCGCCGUAGGGUUGUUGAUCGACGUUUUGAGGAAGAUUUCGGCCGGCAAUCGCUACGUCAAGAAAGGCCUCUGGGGCUGUAAAGGAGACUAUCCCCUCGGUUCCAAGGUCAGCCACUCUUCUCAAUCCACUUUUCCAUUUUCUGUACUGCGGUAAAUCUCUUAAGAAAAAGGCUUUUAGAUGUCCGCAACCCUCCGCGUAAACUUAUAAAUUAGACCAUCACGUCAAAGUCACGAAUUUCCCAACUACCCAUCCUUUGACACGACACAAAUACUCGUCAGGAAACAAUUUUAAAAAACCAACAAAGAGUACCGACUAUAGUCGAUCAAACUAACAGACUCCAAACCCAAAAACAAUUUGACACAAGAGGUAGGGGAGGUAGCCACCCUUGAUGUAGCUCGAGGGGAGCGGUCGGAAACUUCGCUAUCCGUGUAAUUACUGCCUGGGCGGAGCCGCUUGUAGGAAUAUUGCUCCGCCUCAGUGAUCUCGUUGGCUUUUUUAGCGGUGCCCCUUUCUAGAAGGUCCUCCCCCGAUUGUUGAUUUCAGCUUAAACGGACCAUGAUGAGCGCGUCGGGAGGAGGACGACGAGCGAUCCGGCGAGAAGAAAGAGGGCGGUAUAACAGCAAGUGAGAGCGGAAAGUCCCACGUCGGGUGAAAAAAAAUAUUACCGGGUGAAAAAAAAUAUUAAUAAUAUGGUAACAGUGAAAUAUGCAUAUACAAUUGGCUAAAUCAGAUGAUUCGAUUUGGGUUUUAGUGUAAUUACCGGUUAAUCCAAUCACAAGGUAAUCGAGUUACAAAUUAACCGCAUAAUCACAAAUUACUCCGCAACGCCAGCACAUCCACCGCCAGAUGGAUUCUCCGGCGACGCAAGAGGACGAUCUUCCCCAGGUCCUGGUUCUGAAGAAGCCGCCGUACUUCUCCGCAACAGAAGGCCAUCACUUAACUUCCACCAAGUUCCUCUACUUGAACGCUUUUGAUUCAACCCUCCCGCUUCACGAGUUUUUGACCGCCCACGCCCGGUCAGUACAAGCACUGGUCUCCUCCGGCGGGGCAAUCGUAAACGCCGCCGUCCUCGAUCUUCUCCCGGAGGUUUGUGUCAUCGUCACCACCAGCGCCGGUCUUAACCAGCUCGACUUACUCGAGUGCCGACGCCGAGGCAUUAAGAUCGCCAACGCAGGGGAUAUAUAUUCGGCUGACGUUGCGGAUUGCGCCGUCGGAUUGUUGAUCGAUGUUUUGAGGAAGAUCUCCGCCGGCAAGCGGUUCGUCAAGAGCGGGCUCUGGGCCUCUAAAGGAGACUAUCCCCUCGGUUCCAAGGUCAGAGCGUAAAAUAUUCUUCAUUUCCAAUUGCAAAGUAAUUUGGGGCUUAGGGUUUCUUAAUUAGUCAGAACAUUAAUGGCAGGUUUGUAACUUAGAGAAUCAGGCACUGAAUUAAGAAUUGUGUGAUUGAUUCAAGAUUUGAUGAUUUGCUCAGGUGGGAGGCAAGCGGAUCGGAAUAGUAGGCCUAGGUCGAAUCGGCUACCAAAUUGCGAAAAGGCUCGAGGCAUUCGGUUGCAGCAUCUCGUACAACUCCAGGAAGCAAAAGACUAACGCAACUUACCCUUUCUACGCACAAGUCCCGGACCUUGCUGCAAACUCGGAUGCUCUUAUCAUCUGCUGUGGGUUGACCGAGCAAACGCGACACAUCAUAGACAAGCAAGUGAUGGCGGCCCUAGGUAAGGAAGGGGUGAUCAUCAACAUUGCGAGGGGGGCAGUUGUCGACGAGCAGGAAAUGGUGAGGUGUCUUGUGGAAGGUGAGAUUGCAGGUGCUGGACUGGAUGUGUUCGAGAACGAGCCGGAUGUUCCGAAAGUGCUAAUGGAGUUGGACAAUGUUGUGUUGAGUCCGCAUUGUUCUGCUUUCACCAGGGAAUCUGUGAUGGACAUUGCUGGACUUGUGGUGGGGAACCUGGAAGCUUUCUUCUCCAACAAGCCAUUGUUGUCUGAGUAUAAGGAUCAUUAAUGAUGAUAUUGCAUGAAUUGUCCUACUCGAUCGGAUAGUUAAUAUUUAAACUCUUAUUGUUAAUUUGCGGCAUUGAAUUAAUGAAUAAACCAAGGAAAUAAUUGUAGAGCCUCCACUGUUUUUGGUUGUGGUGAAUAAUGAGAUAUAUAACACUGAUUAUAAUGAUAUGAAGGUUAACAGUGCGACAACUAAUUGAAAAAAUUGAAUGUAUAAUGAUUAUUGAUACACCAAAUAUAUUAAAGAGUUUAUUGAAACUUUUGACCUUUUCAGUUAAAGGCCACACGCUCUAACCAACUGAAUUAUUCCGGCUAAUUCAUCAAUAAUUUAAUUUUCUUUGUUUAUAAACCAACAGUGAAAUAAAAUCCACCGGCAACAACUUCUUUUUGUAUAUAUGAAAAACCAAAUAGAAGAUAACUCGCCAUUGCAAAAAUCAACAAUCACACCAAGAAAACAUGUCAUGAUCACCGACGGAGGAUGAUCACCAACCGCCGGUUCUACUCCUGAAAUGUCCACCUUCCUUCCGACGAAUCAGAGAAGAACACUUCACUUCCGACAAGUUCCGCUACCUCAAAUCCUACGAUUCCCCUCUUCCCUUGGACAAUUUCUUAACCACUGACGCCCAAUCCGUACGAGCUAUCUUUUCCACAGGAAAAUUUCAUGCCUCUGCCGACACCCUUCAACUCCUUCCCAACGUGGAAGCAAUUGUGACCGCCGGUGCCGGAGUUAACCACCUCCACUUGCCCGGGUGCCGUCGCGCGGAAUCAAGAUUUCCAAUGCAGGGUACGUCUUCUCUGCCGACGGCGCCGAUUACGCUGUUGGGCUGCUCAUCGAUGUCUUGAGGAAGAUCUCCGCCGGCGAUCGGUAUGUAAAGGAUGGGAUGUGGGCCUCAAAAGGGUACCAUUGUAUUGGCUCCAGGGUACGUUGGUCAUUUCCACACUUAGCUUACUCUGUUGAUGUGCUUGCAAUCUUAAAACUAGAAACUGAGUUAGAUCACAUAGGAUUAUAAAUUAUGCCCACAAAUUUAUCAUACCUUUUGGUUGUAGUUAUUUAGGUUUGUGAGUCUAAUACUCAAUCGGGUUAUGCAUCGAUUCGAGUGACAUGAUCAAUGAGUCCUUUUUAUUCAGUUUAGUGUCUAAUUACAUUUCAUGUUAAAUAUAAACAAGUUGUGAAAGAUUUUAUUAUAUACGAAAAAUAACUACUUCUCUCUCUAAAAGAGAGGUCUUGAGUUUGAAUUUACAUAAAAAUUUAUUUUUUUUGAAAAUAAGAUAUGUUUUGUGAUAUAUAAUGGUUAAUCAAAUUGUAUUAGUAGAUUACUUAAUUGGUAUUGUUUAGAGUUGAUUUUGAAUGAAUUCGGAGUCAGCCAAGAAUUAUUAAUCGAGGCAAGCAAAUCUUUACUCAAAUUGUUAGGGUUCAACCUCUCCAACUUUCAAAUUUAGUUCUUAUAAAUUUGAAAUUUUGCUAAUAUUUUCGACCAUCCUAAUUCUAUUACUUUACUAUCAAUCUUUUAUUUUUCUGUCAGGGGAGUGAGUGGUAAGGGGAUAGGUACAUUAGUAGAAUACUUAAUCAAUACCAUUUGAGUUGAUUUGGAAUGCAUUGAUCAAAGUCUACCACCAUGGGAUUAAUGUCCCUAAAUUUUGAAAUCCUGUCAGGAUAUUUCCGAUCAUCUUAAUUCUGCUAUUGUUAUUCAGAUAGCCUGAUGCAUGUUUCACUUAAUGACCCAAAAAUAUAUUCUUUCCUGUCAGGUGAAUGGUAAGCGGAUAGGAAUAGUGGGACUGGGCAGAAUCGGUCACCAAGUCCCCAAACAGCUCGAAUCCUUCGGCUGCACCAUCUCCAACGUACAAUUCGAGAACCCCCAUAAUCACCAACCGUUCCAUACAAAGACAUCCUCGAAAUGGCGGCUGAAUCCGACGUUCUAAUCCUCUGCUGCGCGUUGACCGAGCUGACCAGACAUACGGUCAACGCCCGGGGGAUGGAGGCUCUGGGGAAGGAAGUAGUGAUCAUCAACGUGGCUCGAGGCGCGGUGGUUGAUGAGGUGGAGCUCGUGCGGCGUUUGGUCGGAGGAGAGAUGGCCGGCGCUGGAUUGGACGUGUUUGAGAAUGAGCCUGAUGUUCCUGAGCAGCUGAAGGAGCUGGCGGACAAGGUUGUAUUGAGCCCUCGUUGUGGGAUUGCCAGCGUGGAGGCCAUGGUGGAUUUGAGCCGCCUUGUUGUCGGGAAUCUUGAGGCUUUCUUUUCCGGGCAGCCGUUGUUGUCUGAAUACUUGGGCGAUUGAUUGGUUUUCGAUUCGAAUCUGUUUGUGUUGUUUUGCUUCUUUAAAUGCCGUAAUAAUUUAAUUUCAGCAAAUCCGUACAAUAUGGAAUUGAUGAUUGUGAAUUCCAUUUCCAGCCUGAAUUGAUUCAAUUUUCGAUUUAUAAUUUCAUUUUUAAUUGAGAAUCAUCGUCAUACAUAUUGCCGACAAUUCGAAUAAUAUAACACAUUAACGGUAACUUCAAACCGUUAAUGCGUUACUUUACCAACAGCUACUAGAAUUCUAUCCGGCCCAUGCAUGCACCACCCAAUUAUUUGUUAAACCCAUGUCCUUAUGUGGGCUUUCCUAGCUUAAUGACCCACUUGCCCUAUAGCAAAUAUGUUGGAAUAUUCUUAUUUAUGUUCAAUAUAUAACGGUCCAAAUACAGUCUAAAAGUUUUUCAAGUUUAGAAUUUCGAUAUUAUAUAAUUUUUCGUGAUUAAUUAAUAUAUUUUCACAUACAAUCAAAUUCUAUACACACUUAUAAUAUUCCUCUGCUCGGAAUAAUAUUUGGUUCAUCUAAGUAUCUAAACCUGUCGAGGCAAUCAAUUUGGCCAUUACUGAAAAUAGAAGCAGGUCAAAUGAAAUGGGACUACGCUACUCGAUUCGAAUAAUUGAAUUAUAUAUUUAUAUGUAUAAUAAUUAAGGAUCUGUGGAUGGCCACGUUACUCAUCAUCAAAUUAAUCUUGAUUUGGUUGAGGGGACUAAUCGCUUCACUGUGCCAAGAUUUCAGACAGCUAUUGGCCCAUUAUCCACCGGUGUCAUUUAUAGGUUUUCAUGUUUCGCUACGAUCAUGUGAUAAACCAACAAGUUGUUGGUGCAGUGGUGACAUGGGCUGUAUUUGGAAGGAAUCAAGGUUCGAUCCCCAACAACAAUAUUAAAAAUGAUGAGUAAAUCCUUAACCCUGGACCAUUUUUCGAUUAGAUUAAUCGGUCGAUAGGUCAAAUAAAAAAAAAUGAUGGUGAGUAGAUACAGAAUCGUUGAUAAAUAAGUGAAGUGGAGAGGGAAUAUAAGAUAUGAAGAUGUGCGAUUACCCCCCCACAUGUUCCUCCUUAACUCUUGUGAUAUCUGGACAUGAAGUUAGUGACGCAACCAUGUAUGUAUAUAUUAUACCAAAUACUAUAAUUCCGGUAUACAACGUAGGAAAAAACAUACAAGUAGAGAUCCAAAUCCAAUUGGUGCCCCAUUUGGCACCCUAGGUAAAACAACAACAUUCCAUUUCUAUGUUCAAUAGUUGAUCCAUUCGAGUCUUACUCAUCACGUUUUAACUCGUUUUUUAUUAUAUACGAUCUCGUACAUUGAUUUGCAAUUUGGAAUAUACACUACAUCAAAUUAUUUCUCAAUUUAUUGUAAUAGUGUAGUUGGUUUGAAUUUAUUUAUAUAUGAGAUAUAGAUAACUAUAUGUUAUAUUUAUUUCCUUUUUUUUUCUUUCAAAAACGCCUUUAUACUUCGAUUGAAAAAAAAGAUAUAUUUUUCAAUCUCCGAAAAAAUAAAUUUCUCUAUUUAUUCUAUUAAUUUUCAAUUUUUCAUACCAAACAGCUACUUAAUCAAAACAAACAACUAUAUACUUUAACCGUUGGAAUGAAGACAACGAUGGAGUUUAAUUGGCAAUUAAUAGUGCAUAGGAGUUGGAAAUUUUAAGUGUAAACUAAUUAAAGGUAAAGCAUAAAAAUAGUCGGUAUUAAAUGUCAAAAUCAUAACCUAAGAGAAAAAAAAAAAAAAAAUAACGACAAUGCAUCAAACAAAACACCUGCUUAGCUAACAGUGCUGGGCUGCUAGCUGCAUCAAUAAAAGAUUUGCAAUUAAGUGUGCAGUUUACGCGGGAGACUCUUCAUUAUCAUUAACCUACAAUUCAAUUAUUUGUAAUUUUUACUUCCAAUCCAAUCAUAAUCUAAUUCGUUUGUAAUUACUUCAAAUUAGGUCUCAUUAAUCUUAUAAUUCAAAUAUCAUACGUGACAUGUCAAUAUUAUCUUUUAAACAACGCGGGGACAUCUCAAUAAUAAAAAUACCAUAAAAAUCAAAACUAUAUUAAAACUAAUUUCAAAGAUUUGAGACUUGAAACAUAAAAACCUCAUCAACCCCAAAAUUCAUCAUUCUCAGAUCAAGAGACCCUGGACGGCGGUUUAGAUUAACCCACCCCAAUUCUACCACUGCUCGACCUGGAAUAACCACCCCUACGACAAUACUUAAAUAUAAUCCGAUAAACUCAACCCGCAACCAAAAAUGUAGUUAGCUUAGCUAUAGUGUGGUGUAUUAAUAAUAUGUUAACAUUAGAUUCCCUAAUUUGGUUUCAUUACCAUUUCCCACAGCGACCGAAUUUAAACGUCCAUCGCUUUUGGCAUUUCCUUCUCCUUUAAAUUCCUCACAUCUUCCUCCUCCUCUCAGUCAAUUCAUCAAACACCUUCUCUGCAUUAAUCUCCUGCCAAACAAAUAAAAAUAACCAUGCCUCCUCCUCCUCCUUCUAUGGCUGAUUCAGCCGAGCCAUUAGUUUUCGACGCUUCUCUUCUCCAGAACCAGUCCAACAUUCCGCCGCAGUUCGUCUGGCCCCACGACGAGAGGCCGGGAACCGAAUCCCCGCCUGUGCUGGCCAUCCCGCCGAUCGACCUACACAGCUUCAUGUCCGGGGACCCCGCCGCCGUGUUGACGGCCACCAAGGCGGUGGACGAGGCGUGUAGGAAGCACGGAUUCUUCCUGGUUGUUAACCACGGAGUGGACGCCGAACUGGUGACUCAAGCUCACCGGUGCAUGGACCAGUUCUUCGGGAUGAAGAUGUCGGAGAAGCAGAGAGCGCAGAGGAAAACAGGGGAGCUCUGUGGCUACGCUAGUAGCUUCACGGGGAGAUUCUCGUCCAAACUCCCCUGGAAGGAGACGCUGUCUUUUCGUUACUGCGCCGAUCGGAACUCGGCCGCCGCCGAUGAUAGUAACAUUGUUCGUGAUUACCUCUUGAAUAAACUGGGAGAAGACUUCGCACACUUCGGGUGAGUAAAGAUCGAGUUUUUUUUUGUUACCAUGAAGAGUAAAGGAAUAGUAUGCACUUUAGUCACUAUACUAUGACAAUAUAACAAAUAAACCCUUUUUUAUGUUAUGCUAAAAAUUAAGUACUCGUAUAAUUGAUUUGUUAACAUAUUUUGUCAUCAAAUUUUGUCAGCAACAUUGACUCCAAACAACAUUUUCACUCUAUUCUUGUUCAAUUGGUCACAAUAGUGAUAAUAUUUACCGUACAUCUUAUCACCAAAACUAAGUAAUAGGUUAUCAGUAAAUUUUUCUCAUUUGAAUCGUAAAUUACCUUUUUCAGUUUGAACACGGUCAAAUAAACAUAUGGUUGAGGGACUAAAAAUAUUAUUUUGUUAAUUUACAGGGAGGUGUACGAAGGGUAUUGCGAAGCGAUGAGCAAUUUGUCGUUGGGGAUAAUGGAGCUACUGGGAGUGAGUCUAGGAGUUGGAGGAGAGCAUUUCAGGGAGUUUUACAAAGGGAAUAAUUCAAUAAUGAGAUUGAAUUACUACCCACCUUGCCAAAAGCCAGACCUAGCACUUGGCACUGGCCCUCAUUGUGACCCUACUUCCUUAACUAUACUCCAUCAAGAUCAAGUUGGUGGCCUCGAGGUCUUUGUCGAUGGCCAAUGGCACUCCGUUUCACCUCACCCGGGCGCUUUUGUCGUCAACAUCGGUGAUACUUUCAUGGUACGUAAAUGACUCAAUCUGCAUUAAUUCAACCGAGAAAUUGGGUACUCCGUACUUAACGCUUUAUUUUGUUUUGAACACCAACACAAUAUAACCCAACCUCACUGUUGGGUGAUGUUUUGUUAUGCCGCAGGCACUAUCGAACGGGGUUUACCGGAGUUGCCUGCACCGGGCGGUGUUGAACCGGGACCAAGUGAGGAAAUCCUUAGCAUUCUUCUUGUGUCCAAACGGGGAAAAGGUGGUCAAGCCUCCGCAGUCGCUGCUCAACAAUCCAAGAAUAACAAGAGCUUACCCAGAUUUCACCUGGCCGACAUUGCUGGAGUUCACACAGAGUAAUUACAGGGCCGAUAUGAAAACCUUCGACGCAUUCACGACAUGGCUUCAAACACAACAAACAACAAAAUUGAUUACAUGAUCAAUGGAUACAGCUCAAGGAAAGUGACAAAAUUUUUGCAUUAUUUGGGCCCAUAUGGAAAAGACAGACAGACAGACAGAGGAGCUAGUUCAAACUAUUGUUCUUGUUGUUCUUGUUAAUGUAUCCGAUUUUGGUCACUGAAAUAUUUCUUCUGUGCUGUUUUCUCUCCCAAGUAUAUGAAAUUUCAGGUUAUGAUUACGGUGCCACCUAGUUGUCAAUGUUUGGUAUUUGAAUGGGGUCUUGAAAUUGAUACAUUUGGAGUUGCUGCAACUGCUUAGCUCUCAAUCCCAGCCCAUCAACUCAAAAUAAAUCUCUACACCGGACACACGCUCAAUCUCCCCGAAAGGAUGAUUUAUAUAGAAGAGUAAUGAUGAUUUUAUUUUAAGACAUGAAAUAGAUUGGAGUUCAUUUCGUGAAGUAUAUUGAAUUCGAAUUUGAAAUUUUUGGAUAUCCAGACACACGCUCUAUCACUAGAGCAACCUCGUUCGACAGUAUUUUUUAUUUUGUGGUUUUUGUUGUUUGAAACUUUUUCCCUGGUUUUUCUUUUCAUUGCAUGAUGGACACUUUGAUAACGUUGAUGACUUGAUUAUGAUUUAUGUUGUUAUGAGAGUGUCCGUCUUAGAACUUGUUCUUAUAUUUCGGUUAACUAUUUAGUUAUAGUUAUAAUUGCAUUUAGUUUGUUACUCAGAUUAUUAUUAAUUGGAUUAGAUUGUGUAGUGUAAUGCAUGCUUUAAGACGUACUACGCGAGUUAGUUUAUGUUGCAUGUUUGGGUUGAACUAGACUACUAGCAUUAACGAUGAGAACUUAAUUCCUAUAGUAGGCAAAAAAAUUGUAGUCUAAGAUUCAUCAAACCGGUCAAAUCGUGAACUAGUAUUUACCAAAAUGACUAGCACGAUCCUAAAAUAAUUAUAGUUUAAAUAACUGUUCAAAUAUAUGAUCUAUAACAGUCUAAUCUGUUUUAAUUAUUUAUCAAUUCGAUGUGACGAUACAAUUACGAAGACCAUGCUAACUACUAGCACUAACUAGGAGGACUAUUCCUCUAGUGGAUGCAAAAGUUGUAGCCUAAGGUUCAUAUAAAAACAACCCUAUAUAAUAUCCUUUCCCACAUGUUUUAAUAAACAUUUCUUUUUCCUGAAAGGAAUGAGUUAAGCCUUUUGAAGGUUUUUAAUAUUAUCGAAAAUCCUUGUUAAUGAGUUUUUAGGAAAUGGAUAGAAUAUAACAUUUAUGUCUUUUAAGAUAGUUUUUGGUUUCAAUCGUUUAACCCCAAAUUAAAUGAGAAGAGCUAGUCAGAUUUGAUAUUAUGAUACAUAGAAUACAACAUUCAACUUUUGAUAUAAUUUUUCCCUUUUGAUAUUUGAAAAAUUCGAUCAAGUGUUACUCUAAAGCUAGGAUUUGAUAUAAUUACGAACUAUAUUAAAUGUUGAAUGAUUACCAUGCUAAUAACAUCAAUUUCAAAACAAAACACAAUUAAAUACUAAAUUACACAAUUGUAAUUUUUCAUGAUUCAUAACCUUUCAGACAUACAAUAAACAAAAGUUUUAACUUUUGGACCAUAACAAAAGAGACCCCAAAAUCCGUCAUCACUAAUUUCAUCAGAUUUGGAUGUUUUUAUUGGCCGGCUUGGCAACGGGGAGGUUCGGGGAUGGUUAUGGCAUACCCAUUACCCAUCCACCUUUGUGGCGGUUAUUAACCAUAGUCAUCACCAUUUCUAUUUUGGUGAUAGAUUUCGUUCCAUCCCCAUACCCACCCGGUUACGGUUAUAACCGCUCCUCCUUACGGUUAACCACCGAUAUGCAAGAAAAAAAAGGAAUGAAUAGUCGAAAAUGCAUACACAUUCAUUCAUCUGAAAAUUUUUCAAAUCUAAUUCCAAACAAUAGUAACAAUAGCAUUCUAGAACACUAAAAGCACUUGUGACUUGUUCUUGAAAUUAAAAGCAAAAGUAUUGCGUUGGGACAUAGGGUUAAAAUGUAAGUGGGUUGAGACACUUAAAUGGUAUUGGGCUUUAUUGCUUUAAUAAUAUACAGGUAAAUAAAGGGUAAGUUACGGGUUGGGGAUGAUUAUGGGUAUGGUUACGGUGAUGCUAACCUCACCCAUUCGUAGCGGUUAACGGUUAUAACCAUAACCGCAAACCCAGUUAACGCGGUUAAUAACCGUCAAACUCGAUGAAGGUACGGUCAGUUUAACGGUUAAACGAUCAGGAUUGCCAACGCUAAAUGGUUCCAUAACAUCAACCCGAUUAGUUUGUUAUCUAACAUUUUUUUAAGAAAACCAUACUAGACUAAAAAACCGUUUCAAAAGUCCAAUUAGAAGAAGAGCGGAACUAGGGGGGACGAAUAUAAAUUACUGCUUAGGGUCUUUCAGUUUCAAAGUGACGAAAUCAUAGAUAACAUUUUCAUUUCAAAAUCGAAGUUAAAAAUCCUGCUCAGAGUCUCCGACCAUUAUGAUUCCACUAUCGUGUUGGAGAUUGAAAAGAGAAAAACAAGAAACAUUGAAAGGAAGAUGGGAGUUGGGGUUUGGUCUAGUCAUAGAUUGUGGCCAAAGCACAUGAUUCCCUCAACCCCCUCUCCAGUACCCUUUAUGCUAUGUUUCAACACACACAUAUACAUGGCAUAGCAUUGCACACCAAUGUUAACAUAUAUAUAUAUAUAUUUGAUUUGGAUUGGACUAUACGAGGAAAGGAGCAUAUCAAAAUCUGGUUCCUUAGCUUGGUUCUUUCAUCAAUUCGCCUGUGCUGGGAACAUGAUUUUGUCACCACUACUGUCUUUUUUUUCUGUUCAAGAGAGAUCAAUCAGACCAAUGAAACCGUGGGAUUUAGAUUGCUUUCUGAUCUUACUUACUACUGAUGAUGCUCUUCCAUCCGUAAGUCAGAAAGCCAGUACGGAUAUAUUAAUAAUAUUAAUAAUAUUAUUAUGCUAUAAACUAUUAAGGAGGAGACUUACCACAUUAAUUAAUUCCCCCAUAUUCGUUCGUUAGUUCCAGAAAACUGGCAAGCAAAGAAUUUGACGAUACAUGCAUGAAUACAACACCACCCCACGAGCAAAUUUGAUACCUUUUUCUGCAAUUUGACGAUGGGAUCAAUGCGAUGGAUACUCACAGUAAACACACACAAAAACGUCCGGAUGUAAAGUAAAGGACAACGUGUCCAGUUUGAAUCCACACUCAAGCCGAGGACGCUAAUAGAUAGAUGCACUACUCGGUCCAAACUAGUACCUUUUGUUUAAAUCCACCACAAAAUGAGCGUACGGCCACCUGAUCCAAGUCAACUUUUUUACUCAAGAGAGUCAACUCCAGCCAAUAAAAAGUUUAGAUUUGAACUCAAAACCUCCAAAUAUCGAUAUACUAGUAGACAACCUUAACUAAUGGGCUUUGGGCUAGGAGCAUUUGGAUAAAUGUCAUGCAUGAGGUAGGAUGCCCACAAGGGGAAGUCGGUGAUUACAGGUCUGGAUGGAUGACCUAAAGGUUUGAAGCGAAAUCAUAACGGCCAAGGACACGCGCGAUAUCAUUUUUACAUAUACCAAACAAGCCACAAAAGAUUCGGAUGACUGAGUUCAAGACAAACACGUCUCCCGAGUUUGUUACUACAAUUAGUGUCUACUCCUGCAAUCGCAAAUAGAUAACAUGAGCACGGGACACAAAGAUUUGUUCGACAUAAUUAUUCUUUGGAUGACGAGUCGCUGUCGAACUAGGGGUACCAAACCAACUAUUAUGUUAUGUUAUGACGAUACAUUACAUAUCACAAUGAGAAGCUCGUUACAAAUAUGCUGACGUAUUCCUUUACUAAAACAAACAAAACUCAUAAUGUCGGCUCCAUAAGUGUUUAGGCCAUAGCAGUUAUACACACGAUCUUAUUAUUGUCAAUCCUUAUCAACUUAAGCAGCAAUGACGAAAGAAUACAGAUACAGAGUUAGUUACCCCUAAAUGAACUCAGUUCCUCAAACCUUGAGGACAAAAACACAACUAUAGUCUAUAGGUACAAUAAGUCUGCACAUUUGACAAGCAGAUCAACAUGUGCACAGUAGGAAUUUUAUCUAUCAACUGCUUCCCACUGAUGAAGCAAUGGUGGCAAACGAAAUCAAUGAAUCGUAGAAGAAUAAACAAUGCAGAACAGUAGACGGAAAAUGUGCAGCACUGAAUUUUAAUAAAUUCAGUCGCAUUCCCUUCUCAGCUUGCGACUAAUCGAUUUAGCUUACCAGUAUCAGUUUCUAGGUAGGCAGGCAGGCAUGCUCAAAUAGUGAGACGACAGUUGCGGAGAUAAGGAUGAUCAUAUUUGAUGUACUUUGUCCAAUACGGCCUGUACUUUGUCAUUGCCAACUCGAGCCAUGGUUUCAUGUUGCCAUUAUAGUGAACAACCGCAGCACGCUCAAUCUCCCCUUUAUCGACGCUGGGAUUGUAACCUAGACCGAGCACAUGCCACGACUUCUCGAGAGGAUGUGUCAGGCCGUAAAAUGUUAUCAACCCUGGAGGAAGUGUCCCAAGCUUCCAAAGUACCCUAUCUUCAUUCUGUUACAAUACAAGAUAAGAGAUUGUUAUUAAAUAGCAUGGAAUGAGAAACAGAAGCUACAGAUGUAUUCAGCAGUCACAAAAACUCACCAUGGUUUGCCACUUAUGAUAUAUGCCUGUGAUAUCCUUCCUUUUCCAUUCUUGAAGAUCAAACAUGUUCAUACCAUAUGCCCAACCACAAGCAUUUGGAUCAAAGUUUCUAGCAAUAUGAGGAUUCGAAAAGUUAAGGUACUUGUCAAACCGGUGAAAGCUUUCACCACAAGUUUCCACCGCGCCAUUCACUUUUCCAUGCAGAUCUACAGACCACAGUCCAGUCAGAUCCUUCUGUACAACGAUGUCAUCAUCGAGGAAAAGGAUCUUGUCCAGUUUCGGGUAAACCUCUGGAAGAUAAAACCUUAGGUGGUUGAGCAUUGAAAGAUACUUGGGAUUUCGGUACUUCAGAUUCGAUGCACCAGCUGAAAGAGAUGUAGGAUGAUUUGCCUUGAAGUAAUACUCUUUCAUUGCAGAUGAUUCCAGCUGACGGAGUACAGGGCAGUAAGAUGAGUUAAGCCACUUAAACUCAUCUACAUUUUCAACAUGGAUAGUCGCCUUUCCAGGAGGGUUCAAAAGAAACCACAUGUUCAUUGCUCCAAAGUUUAAUUUAUCAGUAACAAGGUGAAAUACAUGUUUGGAAGGAUCCUGCAACAUUGGCAACCAGAUUUUUUUUAGCAAGCAGGCAAGUAGUAUGAUGAGUCAAGAUCUUGAGAUGUGAACACGAAUAGAAAGCAGCAACAGACAACAUAUCACCUUUGCAUUCAUAAUAGUUGAAUUGACAACGACUGAAGCUGCCAACACAUUGUCGGAGAAGAGGGCGUAAUGAUGCAAAUUUGGAUUUUCCAGAUUCUCACUUUGCGGGAACUUUCUCUUCUCUGGAGGAAGGAGAUAGUAGUCUAUUGUUAGGCGCAUAAAAAAGCAAUGAAUUCCAUUAGGAACCGUUUUUGCAGCCAAUUGACUCAGGAAUGUGCUCUGCUUUUUCAAGCUCCUAACUUGCUCGUCAGCUGUCUGGAGCAUUGCUCUGAGCUUGCCAGUGACCAUCUUACAAUCGUAUAAAUUUUCCCUGGCUUUCGACAGAACUUGCCCCAUGUUCUUAAUUUUCUCCGCAGCACUGCAACAGAUAGACAUGCAUCAGCCUCAUCACAAAAUGAAUAUCUAACAAACUGGGCAUGUGAACUGAAAAAAAUGGUUACAUUCAUCACGGCAGUUACCUCUGUUGUAGUUCAAAGUCAGCUGUUGCAUCACCUAUUGCACGAUGGCUCUCCUUUAGCCGAGUUUGUAGCUCCUGUUGCAAAUCAAGCUUGUUCUUCAUCUUUGCAAUACUGAUAUAUACCCUGGCCAUUAUCAUCUGAUCUCGAAUUAAGCGUACGGUUGAAUCAGCAUUCUCAUUGUCAAUCUCUUUCCGCCAUAUAUUGUAUUUACCCAGAACUGCAGAAUCAACUGAUUUAGAUCGUUCAAUAGCUGCAUUUUCGAGUUUUAUAGUUGCUUCAUCUCCAUGCCGGACCAAGUCAGCUGCACGCCUCUCACGUCUUUUUUCUCUUAGUUGCUGAACGAAAACAAAUAUCUAGUGUGAGGAAGUGAAUUUACAACUAGAAAUACCACAUUAGAACUCCAACAUCACCCUUCAUUUAUUGCUCAUGAUAGCAACAAUCAACAGAUAGAUAAGGACAUGAAGCUAAGAAACAAUAGUAAUUACCCUCCGACUAAGUUUUUCAGGCGAGACAAUGAAUUGAGCCUCAUCAUCUACAGGAAAUAAACAACAGAAGAAUUGAUCAGCACAUAAAAGUUGACCAAUGUGCAAAUAUCAGGUUACAAAAUUUUGAAUAUAUCACCAGACAGCUUGCUAUGUUUACUCUUCGGAGUUUCUGACUUGAUAAUAGUAGCUGAGUGCUUCUGCUUUACCUAAAACAUUAACAAUGCAAGCAGAAUGGGAAAAUCAGUGGUAAUAAUGAAGCAAUCUGUAUAUGGAAGGGAAUAAAAACCAAAACAAACUACAAAUUAUAAUGGAGAUAGUAACCUCAGAAAUAGAUGAAUUGUUAACUGAAGUUUCAGCUCCAACAAGAGUCCAUGAAGCAGACAAAUUGCUUCUUCUAAAAGCAUCAAGACUAAAAGGCCCCAAGUCAGCAGUAUUAGCGGUGAUCACAUCAAUGACCUAAAAGUUGAAUUCGACAAGAAUCUUAGGACUGAGUAUAAUGAAAGUUAAAUAUAAUGGUACCAAUUGCAGACUUGGGUUUACGGACUUUUACCCCACUUACAACAGGUUAUACUUACAUCCUUCGUGAAAAGGGAUUUAACGUGUUGUAAUGCGAGCCGUUCUCUCCAAUCCAGGUCCUAAAACAGAUAACACAGUUCUAUCUUAUGGGAUAGGGAGCAUGAAGCUAACAAGAGAGUACUACUGUAAGGGCUUCACACAAGUGUUACAAAUCAACGAUGACAGUAUUUGAGAAGCAGUACCUGCAUAGUGGAACCACUUCCAAGACUGGUUUCACCUGCAUGAGUAAUAAAUGUCACCAUGAAUAGCAGCGCCACAUCAAAGAUAUGUUAUCUAUACGACUCACUGAGGCAGGACUAAGGAGAUAACCAGCGUGCAUGAGAAAUGCAGAGUAAGGACCAUAAUGAUUGAUGAAAAUAGAAAGAGCAACGAAAAGGAAGAUAAAGGCCAUCGCAACAAAAACAAUACAUUCUGAGUUCUGAGUGCACUCGGUGCUUGCUCCUGAUAAAGAAUGUCAUGCUAGUUUGCAAAAACCAAACAAAGCACAGACCGCAGUGAAAGAACACCGACAUUAUAAAAGCAGUAACUCAAACAUCCAUACAAGUUAAAAAGAUAGGACACAAAGACAGUUCAUCGGCCUAUAUUCAACCGGUUUCAGUUAGAGUUCAGUCAGGCAGCAGAGCAAAAACCAAACGAAUCAAGCGACCAAAAACGAUAAGCUGAGGAGACAAACCUAACGGGGCGCCACUGCGGAGCCGGGGACCAACAAAGAACAUCAAGGCUAGCAAGAGCGAGAAGCUGAAGGAGGAGAAAAUAAGCGUGACCGGAAAUCGAGAUCCGCCACCACCGACGCCUCGAUUGUUUCGACUCCCGGACAAUCCCUUCCUCAGAGCCAUUGGCGGAAGAAAAGGAAGAACGGGGAGACCUCGAUCUGAUGAAAAAUUGGAUUCAGCUGCUGCCAAAAAACAAGACUUAAGAGACUUAAGAGACUAGAGAGUGUGGUCGUCGAUUGCCAUUACAACACAAUGCUGCAAUGCUUUUCGAGUGGGAUGUAUGGAAGAGAGAUGAAAGUUGAAUCUCGUUGAAACAAUUGCUCCGUCCAGCUGCAAAUGAUCUCGCUCGCUAUGGAAGAAAACGCAGGGAAAAUCGGGAAGAAUCUCUGUUUCUGAAUCUUCCACCCUUUUUUCCUGCUCUCACUGAAUGCUACAGCCGUUCUUUCCCCUUGAUUUUGCUUUUCUGCUUGCGAAUACGAUAAGCAUUCAUCUACUUGUUAAAAGUUAAUUCAGCUUUAAAAAAAAAACAAAAUUUAAAAGUUAAUUGGCAGUGCUUUCCAUUUCCAUUUUCAUUUUCAAUUCAAUAUCCUCUUUUUUCCUUCCGCUAAAAUAAUAUAUAUCCGCCUUUUUCUGGAGAUUAGAGCCGUAAAAUAUAUUUUAUUCCUUCUUUAAUAAAUUGUUCUUCCAUAAAAAUAAAAUAAAUUGUUCUAAAAAAGGGAACUAACUAACAUUCGUGCUGCCGACAUGCAAAGACGACGUCGUUCUCUAGCGCCAAACAUAGAAGAAAUAGUGUAUAUAAUAUAAUAUAAUAAUAACUCAAAUAUUAGUGGUCAUAGAAUCAUAUCCAAUUAUAGGUCUGAAAUGUGAAUUUUAACAAAAAAUAGAAUAUAUAUGAGCAUCUUAUCCAAUUAUAGGAACUCUCUGUAGAUGUGAGUCCGAAUCCACGAGACAGUAGCUUGGCCAUAAGGUUAUGAAGGUGUUUCAGGAGGACAAAGCUUAAACUAACAAGUAAAUACCAAAACACACACAUAUCCAAAGCUUUUCAUGCAUCGGCAAGUAUCCAUCUACUCUUCAAUAACAAGACUUUUGAAGCCCUAGAUCAAUCUAACAAGAUUUUCUCAAUAACUGUUAGAAAUACACUGAUCAUUGUACGCUUCUGAUGCAAGGACCACACCCUCAUUUAAACAAAACCACAAAGAGUGCUCCAUUACAUAAUUGCCACAUCCAGAUAAUCUCCAAUCUGCAACAAAGUAUUAAAACCCAAGUUUCAGAAAAUGGUUAAGACAAGAUAGCUACAUAUAGUGGGAGGGAAGCAAGCAUCUUUCAUUACCUGGAAGCCAAUUUCAGCCAACGCCUUGUUAUCAUCUAACUUCCCGAUCCGGUUAGAGUAAGUCUUCCCAACCUAAGCGGAAAAACAGUAAUCAUUCAUGAUCAUUGAGCACCAUUACCAGUUGUCUAACAUCUAUAAGUUUCGUCCAGAGCUUCCAAAGACGAAUAGGAGAAUAAAUUGUGAAGCUGAAAUCUGGAAAUGGAGGGAGAGAACAAUGGAGACCAACCUCUCGCACCACAAAACGGCCAUUCUUAUCUGGAUAGGCAAAAGCAAAUGACAGUAGUGCAUCUCUUCUCCUUGCUGCCGGAGCCACUUCUUUGACCUGCAAGCAAAUAACUUGCACAUAAAUAUGGAGAGGCCAUAACUUCCUCAAAAAGGCGUGCAUGUUACAUAGGAUAGCAGCGAUUCAGUAAUAUCAAGAAAAGAACUCUGGCCCAGAUCCGAAAGUACAUGACCUUUUUGUAAUCCAACGUACCCUCCCAAUACCGAUUGCUCAGGUACAAAAUCUAAUUGCAUACAGUAAGCAAAAGAGCUCCCUGAAUCAACCCCAGAAUAAACAGUUUCCUAAAAGAUGAGCCAAACUAACUGAAUGUUCCAGGAGAUUGCACAUGGAUCGCCCCAAUGACACUGAAUGAUAGAUCAUCAUACACUAGUUCACUACAUAUUGAGCAGUGAAAACUACUUCUGAUAUUUCUGACUAAAAUCUAAGAGCAAAUGUUCGAAUUGAAGUGAAAGCUAUAUAACAUACUCUCCGACGCAGAUCAAGUCAAAGGGAGCUUUAUAACAAUCAGCCAAAACCAAAAACAUUUUUAGUUCUCAGAGACAACUGAUGCAUACCAAAUCAGUCAAUUCACGGAGAGUUGCAUCUUUCCAUGUAUAGAUUUGAACCUCGUCCUUGGGCUCCUUGCCUCUAACUUGGAAUUCUUCUUUCCCGUGAUGACCUCCAAUCUGCAAAUUAAUGACAAGUUUAACUAUAUCCAGUAGAGUGUAAAUGAAAAGAAUCAUGGAGAAUGCCCUAAAGAUAGCCAACAUCAUACCUUGGUGAAAACCCGAAGCAGCAGAGGACAUGUCUGCAGUUUCACAACAGAGUCAAAAUGAAUUAAGAGUUAUACAUAUCAGCAUUUCAAAGCUCAACAGUACCAGACCAAUAUAUUUCAGUAUUAACCAGACUGUAUAAACCCUAACGGCUCCAAGACAUAACUUUGAGAUUACCUUCUCGCGAUCGACGGGAGGAAGAGGAGGCGGGCCUCGGGAAAUCGGAGGUCCCCUAUUACCAGGCGGCGGCAUCGGUCUCCCUCCUUGUCUCCUCGGUGGUUCUGCCAUUCCCGCCAUUAACGUCAAAGAGAAGCUUCUGCCGUUCUUCGCCUUUUACCUCUACAAACACUCGUCUUGCACUUCAGUUCCUUCGGCCUGGCUGACGGCUGUAGUGAACUUAUAAUAUAAAUAACCGGAGGAGUUAACCGGUUGCGAGCUGGUUAGGUUACUUGAGUAAGAACCAAUACGGCAAAACUAACUUGCGUUUUAAGUCCACAGAAGAAUAGUAAGAAGAGAAGAUUGAAUAUUAAUCGACACUUUUAAAUCUCUAUCCUUCUUGAACGCUAGCUUCAGAUCGCCAUCGAACUCCUUGCAUCGUCCGGACGAACUCGCAGGCAGAUCGCCGCCGACGAAGUCUCUGAUCCGUUCCACCAGCCGCGACGCCGACUGCUGACCACGCUCUACGCUUCGAGGUUGGAUAUAAGGAAACUAUCGCAUCACAUCUGACUCCAAAUGAAAUACUUGGAAAGCUGUACUAUCCAGUCAUCAUUAACAUUUUGUUUGCAGAAAACCACUGCGAUCGAUCUGGAUUGGGUUCUCUAAGAAUUUGAGUUGCUCGUCGCAGAACAAAAAGGAAGGGAAGAAGGACAGUUGAAGAGGAAGAUCCAGGUGGAUAUAAAAUGGCGAUGGAGGACGUGCCCUUGGACGACAAGGCGAAACGAAUGAGAGAUCUAUUGUCGAGUUUCUACGCUCCAGCGGAUCCUUCAAUGUCCACCGAUAGUCUCCCGAGAGGUGCUUCCUUAGACGCCAUCAACACAACUUCAUUUGAUGCAGAUCAGUACAUGAAUCUCCUGGUACUUCCCGAUCUAGUUCCGGUUUCUUAUGAACUUAAUUUAGUGUUUGGACAUUUCUAUGAAUCUCCUAGUACUUUCCAGUCUAGUGUAGUAGUGUUUUCGAAUAAUAGUUGGGAAUUUUAAUGCGACAUGGCUGAAAGUAAAGUUAUUAUGUCGAUUUUGAAGUGUACUCGGGCAGUUGACUUGGUUUGGAGUUACCAAUUAGGGUUGUCAUUGAAGUUGGAAACAAUUGUAUGUGAUCGCAGGUGCAAAGGUCCAACUUAGAAGGGCUUCUGCAAAGACAUGUUGAAAUGGCAGCUGAAAUAAAGAAUCUGGACACUGAUCUGCAAAUGCUAGUCUAUGAAAAUUACAACAAGUUUAUCAGUGCUACUGAUGCAAUCAAGAGGUAAUUUUUACAUAACCAUCAAGUUAGUGCUUCCUGCAUGGUAGUUUUGAGUUUUGACCCAGCUAUGACUUGGUUCAAAGGGAGAAAGUUUUUUGCCCUCUUGUCAUGUGAUUCGAAACUGUGAAGUUUAUUAUAAAGUAUUCAGUGGAUUAAUUUCGUAACAGGAUGAAGAGCAACAUUGUGGGCAUGGAAGUAAACAUGGAGCGAGCAGCUCCUUAAUAAGGUAUAUAUAUUAAGUAUGUCUGUAUGUCCAUAAUAUGUAACUGUGAUUUAUGAACUGUUGCAUACACCAAUUAUUCUAGAUGAUUUCAGUGCAAUCAAGGAGUGAUGGAGUUAACACUUCUCUUUUCGAAAAGAGAGAGCAUAUAGAGAAAUUGCAUCGCACUCGCAACCUCCUUCGCAAAGUGCAGGUAUUCAGAGCUAUCCUGCCGUAGGAAUGUUGCUACUAUCCUAAGGUAGCUUCCGCCCUGAAGUUUGCUAAAUUGUAUUAGUUGUAGGGAGUUACCUGUUCUGUGAACUUCCUUUUGAAUUAUUGUCAGAUCAGUUAAUAGUUAGUCUUGUAUAUGAGAAAUUUUAGAUUGUACUGUGCUGGGUAUGGACAACAAAAACUUGAAUUGUGGGGGUUUCCAAUUGAAAAAAUCUGUUGGUAGCCAACCAACUUUAACAUAAUUCUUGUUAUAUUUAAAUGCAUGCUUAUUUUCUAUGAGUAUUGAGAAUGUAAAACACUAAAACUUGGUACUUGAUAGAAAAAAGAUGAUGCACCAAUCAGUAGUUAGUUAAAACUUGUCUACUAUGUGUGUGUUUUUUUUGGCUGGAUGUUACCUUGCCCUUGCUAUGUACGUUUAUGCUCAUCAAAGCUUUCGUGUUGCUGUAAUAAACAGUCUUAAUCACUCUCCAUAUCCUUUUGUUCUUGAGUUCACAUUUGCUUGUGGAUAAUUCUUAAAAUUCUUUAAAAAGCUUCCCUUAUAUUAUUUGUAGAGGGAAAUUGCUCGAGGCAACUUGCUCGUGAAUUGUUCCUCUUUGUUCAUAAAGGUACUUGAUCUCAGUGUUUUUAGCAUCUCUUCUUGGGUAGGUUAGUUUCUCAUAGAUACCUACGAACUGCAGGAAUAAUAUGGAGAGAUGUCCUCCUGAUUGAUGAAGUAUUGCCAGAGGCUUUGCUACAUGAUUACUGUUUCAAGGUUAUGAAUAUUUUGUUCUGAAGUAACAGUAUUUUCCAGUUUCUCCAAGUGAAUUGGCCUGUAUAUCAAUUGAGUUUUGACAAUCCACUCUUCUGCUGAAUGUUCACAUAUGGUUCAGGUAUCCCAGAACGCUAUCAAACAGUAUGUUUCAAGCAUGUUUGCUCAUCUUUUAAAUGAUGUCUCAGGUAUCUGCUACAGCCCAAACACUUAGUUCCACCAUUAGUUUUAUUGCAAGUCCUGUGGAAGUCAGAAAUUUUAGUCUUAGCUUUGACGAUGACAAAAACCUACUGUCUUCAUAGCCAAGGCUAUUUAACAAGGUUGUUAGAUCUGGAAUCCUCAAACGCACAACAAUGUUAUCUUACUGGUUACCUCUAUUUCUUAGAUAGUUCCAAGACUUGAUUCUUGUUAAUUUCGCAGAUGCUCUGACAGAUGUCCAUGUCACCAAAAAGGAGGCGCUAGAAGAAAAUCCAUUGCAGGUUGCUAUGGAAGCCGGCAAAAAUUCAUUGCUCAAAGGAAGCAUGGUUGUGUUACUGGUAAUUCUUGCGAACUCUGAAGAUUUCCGUUGACCAUGUGUGCAGGAGAGAAUGUUUUUUAAUUUCCUUAGUGUUAUCUCUUCUAAUGUUUGUUGAUAAGUUUGGGGUACCUUGAAGUCUGCCUUCAUGCACGCCUCCUUGUCUGUGUUGUUUAAAUUCAUUGCUAACUCACAUUUAAACAAAGUUGUUCAUAUUUUUCCUUCAUAUAGAUUUUCAUGUGUGGAUCUAUUAUUCUUAUCCAGCUCCACUUUCUUGUUCGAAUAUUUAUGAUAUAGGGCUUCCGUCAACUUCUGGAUGACAACUUAGAUCUGCUAGUCAAACAAAGGGAACUGAUGGUUGACUGGAUUCAAGAAGGUUUUCAACAGUUCUUUGAGGCAUUGGAUAGUCAGUUUCUUUUGCUUUCCGGAAGAAAUAAAUCCAUCCCUCAAGAAUACAGUCCACGAGAGGGGUUACAAGCUGAAAAUGUGCUUUCGGGUCUUGUCUUGGUUUUGGCUCAGCUUUCUGUUUUUAUUGAACAAACAGCAAUCCCUAGAAUUGCAGAGGCAAGAGAUCUUUUUCUAGCUCAUGUUGAUUCUUCCUGCAGCUGAUAAUUCAUAUGUGGACGUGUGAUAUAUGCUGUGUAUCUUACCUCAAUACAAUCAUCUCUAGGAAAUUGCUGCUUCUUUCCCUGGUGGUGGUGCUUGGCGAUAUGAACAUGGACCGGGGUUUCUUCCUGCUGAAUUGAGUCGAGUCUUUCGGUCUAGCAGUGAGAAGUUUCUGCACCAUGUAUGACUUUAAGCUUUAUCUGAUUAUAUUAUCAGCCGUUACUUGACUUUCUACUUUACUCUGUAACUAGUGUAUUAAACCAUUUUCUUAUUUUUUAUCAUGCCGAAAACUUCCACUGCGACAAUAUGUUUCUUCCUGUCAUUUAGAAGCUGCUUGUUAAGCCCACUUGUUCCAGCUUACAUCACACUGAAUAAAUAUAUCAGUGUCAUAAUAGCUUACUAUUUGAUAAUAUCUAAAUAUAAAUUUAUCUAUUAUAUAUGUAUCUGCACUUCUGCUUGGAAACUUACUGGGAAUCUCGUUUCUGUGUCAGUUUAUAAAUAUGAGGACGCAUCGAAUAUCAGUUCUCUUAAGGAAAAGGUUCACCACUCCAAAUUGGAUCAAGGUUGGUCUUCUGCCAUGUUAUUGAAUUUUAUACUAGAACUCGGAUUACUUUCUGAUUCUUGACAUAUCUCGACUUUUUGCAGCACAAGGAGCCACGGGAGGUUCACAUGUUCGUUGAUUUAUUCCUUCAGGAGGUUUGUGCACAUUGAGCAUAGUCUUAGUAAUUUCAUGAUUAGUAUAAAUCUGGAGACCUCCUCCCGUGACUUGAAGAACCUGCAUAUGGUUUUUGUUUCCCUUGGCAGUUGGAAGGAGUAGGAACUGAAGUUAAACAAAUUCUCUCUCAAGGAGUCUGAAAGCAUCGCCGAUCUGAGAGCAAUGGUAGCACUACCUCCUCUCUCAGCAAUUCAUUAAGAGACGAUAAACUAAAAAGGUCAAGUACACAAAGAGCUAGGAGCCAGCUUUUGGAAACCCACCUAGCAAAAUUGUUCAAGCAGAAAGUAGAAAUUUUUACCAAAGUCGAGUGUACGCAGGUAUGCACCUUUGUUUGAGACGCAGGUAUGCACCUUUGUUUACUCUCAACUGUUUAAUGGCCACUUCUCCUGUCUUAUCAUGAGAAACAAUCGUUUCAAUGCAACUUGCAGGAGUCUGUUUUGACUACCAUCGUAAAACUCGGGCUCAGAAGCUUGCAAGAAUUUGUUCGACUUCAGACUUUAAAUCGCAGUGGAUUUCAGCAGAUUCAGUUGGAUAUUCAGUUUCUAAGGACUCCUCUCAAGGAACUAGCUGAAGAUGAAGCUGCCAUCGACUUUUUGCUUGAUGAGGUAACUAGUUACCAACUUGGGACUCCAUAAAAGGUUCCAUCUCUCCUGGCAUCGAAGACUGAUGCAACAUUUGGUUUGGUAUCCUGAUAACGGACCAAAUUCCAGCAAUUGAUGUUUAAUGAUUGCUUGUCGAUUGUAAAUCAGGUGAUCGUCGGUGCUUCAGAUCGUUGUCUCGACCCAACUCCAUUGGAACCGCCUAUUUUAGACAAACUGAUACAAGCAAAGAUGGCUGGAUCAAAGGAUCAAAGUUCCAGUUCUUCCUAAACCCAGCCACUAUGAAUUGGGGGUUCGAUUAUUUCCAUUGUGAGAUAAAAAAGCAGUAAACAAUCUGUUGAUAUUCGUUCUUAGCCACUUGCGUUGCAGCCAAAAUGCUUCCCCAGUAUGUCUUUCGUUAUAACCAUGUAUUGAGUUGUGCUGUAUCACUGUUGAUUCUGUUUCUACUUUCCCCAUAUUGUUCGUUUCAUGGUUGGUGACAUUUGGUUCUAUCGCCUACUGAUGGCCCCAUACCGUUGGGUCACGUUAGAAUUCAGAUAGGCCUAUGAGAUUGUCCGGAUUAUGCUCAAAGUUUCAUGUACUGCAAAGAGCCAAAAAUGUCGGGAGAUGGAGCGUUCCAGGAGCAUACAUUGAUGAAGGCGGCAUAGGAAUAUGCAUUGCCUCUUUGGAGGAGAAUAGUGGGUAAAGGCCAAAUCCAACCUCCAGAACCGUUGGCGCACGAACGACCAUAGAUUUGUGAGAGUUGCUUGGAUGAGUCGAGUAGGCUUCGGCUUCUGGAAGAAGGAACGAUCUCGGCCGACUGCUACCGGAGUAGAAGAGAAGGCGAACAAACAAGAAGAUUCGAAAGUAUAUUGUAUUGAUUGGAUGAGUUACUGAUCCUUUAGUUUGUUUGUCUAUAAUAGUUUACUUUGUUCCUCCCGGUGGACUAGCUGGACCAAUAGAGUAUGGUUCGACCUGGAGGGUCGAUUGUGAAUAGACUGAGCGAGCUUCCCCUUAUUUGAGACGUCUAUAAGCUAUGUCCGUCGUAAGGCGGAAAAGGGAGGGUAGUAAGGGAGAGCAUUGAGGGGGCACAUAAGAAGAAGAAGAGACGCAUGUUCUUUGUUGCUUUCUAUUCCACCCUGAAAGAUUAAGAUAAUUUUAUUUAAGUGAAUUCGUAUCCGUUUUAAUUAAUACUCAUUUGUUGGUGAAGUAGAUGUCAACAUUGAAAUUGGACAAUGUUAAGAUUUUUUGCUUAAAAAUAUUGAAAAUUAUAACUGAUUUUAAGUAAAUGACGUCUAUACGAAUGCGGUAUAAACGGUAAUAUAUUGAUUAUUUGAAAUUUUUUCGAUACCGUAAUUAUCAAUAUAUUUCAAAACCAUUCAUGCUCCACUUAUUUAAGUUUCUCAUCAACCCUAACCUAAUAUGUACUCUCCUCCAUUUUUUUUCUUUUUGGUUGUCACCGCCUAUUCCUUAUAAGAAAUCGAGAUAGCAUUAUUUAAGUGAUUUUUCCGUCGUCGCCUAUUCCACAAUAAGAAAUCCAGAUAGCACUAUUCAAGUGAUUUUUCCACCACCGCAGCCAUCUAGUCCAACAUAAGAAAUCGAGAUAGCACUAUUCAAGUGAUCUCUCCACCUCCGCCGCCAUAUAAUCCAGCAUAAGAGAUCGAGAUAGCACUAUUCAAGUGCAUUCGCGUCAGCUCUAACUCAUACUUGUUUGUUCGUGAAAGUAUAUGUCAAUUUCGCAAUCUUGUGAUAGUUACGUGACGAAAAAUGUGAAUUAGCCUUUGAUUUGUUGUAUCAUGUAUGGCCAUGGGGUCCUAAUUAAUUAGGACAACAAACCAAAAGCUGUUGUUGGUGUGACUGCAAAAAGGACAUCCUUCUCUUUACCAGAAUUUUCGUCCUAAUUCCUCGAUGGAGCUUAGUCUUCCUUUAGCUAUGGAGUCCAAGUCAAGCGACUCAGCCUCCACGUUUCAAGUCAGUAAAAACUUCCUCUGCAUUCGUUUACUCUUGACAUGGCCUGAUUCUGCUGGUGAUCUAAUAACUGCUUGGAUGAUGUAUGUGUUUGUAAACUCUUGGUGAUCUGAUCAUUACUAAAUAGCUGAAAUUGUUUCUUACGAGCUGGGUUUUCUUUGGAAUGGUGGAUUAUUUUCACUGAUCGUACGAAUUUACUUCCUUUGUUGUUGUUUUUCCAGUGUUCAUAUGAUCGUACGAAUUUACUUUCACAGGAAGAGGAAGCUAGUGGUGGUACUGGCAACCUCAGGCACAAGUUGAAUAAGCUGUUGAAGGAAAUUCAAGACGAAAGAGUUGAGUCUGUGAAAGUAAGUCUUUCAAUUCAAUCUAGGAUGGAUGUGAUUGAGAUUUUUUUGGAGAUUUGCAAGAGUUUGAUUAGGAUGAUCUGUGUGAAGCCCUGGUUCAUUUGUUUGAAUAUCUCUCUUUAACCCACGGAUAAUAACCUACCUACCUUGCAUGAACUUUACAGGAGAAAAUGGAGAAGAACCAGAAGAAACUGGAGAAGGAUAUGUCUAAGCUUGUAUUAGCAACGUCAUCAUACGCAGAGAUGCAAGGAGUUUCCGCUGCAAUCUCGACGAGAAUUAAAGAUCCACUGUAUGCAUACAGUGGAUUCGUUCAAGGAGCAGGAGAUAGAGAGAAUUGUAAUGGUCAGGAAAGUCUUCAGUGGACAAACACGAAGCUUCCUUAUGUUGAGAAGAUACCAAAGUAUACUAGUUGGAUAUAUCUACACAGGUAUGCCGAUCUCGACAAGAAUAUCAGUAAUGAAUUGAGUAUAUCUUAAGCUUCAAGUGUUUGCUUUUUUGAAAAUUCCUUCUUCGUUUGUUAGGCAAUUUUUAGCAACUAAUAUAGAUCCAUUCUAUUUAUUUUGGUUCUCUGUUGUAUGAUUCACUAAUUUGUUCUUCAUUGCUCUAGGAAUCAGAAAAUGACUGAAGACCAAUCCGUUGUUGGGAGAAGGCGAAUAUAUUAUGAACAGAAUGAUGGCGAGGCACUCAUCUGUAGCGACAGCGAGGAAGAGACUGCAGAACCUGAGGAAGAGAAACAUGAAUUCACAGAGGGACAAGAUCGUGUUAUAUGGUAGGUUCAACUAAGAUAUUCCCUAGUCCAUUCAAUCUUGUGAAGUAAACAUGGUAUACAUUCCAUCCUAAUAUGUCAUGGAAUUAGCUUUACUGUGGUUUGAUCUCUUGUUGUAGAAUUUGAAUAUCUUCUGAUUUUUUUGUAGGACUGCCUUUCAGGAAGGUGGAUUGCUAGACAGUGUCGUCGACCUCGUUAGCCAGAUUAUUGGAGUCGGUGCUAUGGAGAUCAGGGUGCUGACAUUUAUUUAAUCCAACUGGCAUGAGCUGGUUUCCCUUUGACACUGCUCAUGUUUGGGAAAGGCCCCUUUUCGUAUUCGUUCGGCUAAACUAUGUAUAGUAUUUGAGUUUGGCAGGACAGAUGUAGCUUUCUCAAUGAGAAGUUUGCAAGGGACCAGAAUCUGAAGAAUGUUAGGGAUCCAGGACAUGCUAGGGGGAUCAACUUGGAGAAGAGCCUUAGUGCUGCUCUGGAUUCUUUCGAUAACCUUUUCUGUCGUCGUUGCCUGGUAAAUUUUCCUUUAUCCCUCUCAAAAUGUCACAAGAUUGGACUAUAAAUAUGCUUUCCUUUCUUGAUUUCCUUAAUUCAUUAUAACAGGUAUUUGAUUGCCGUCUGCAUGGCUGUUCUCAACCUUUGAUUACUCCAGUAAGUAUUGACGAAAGAAUAACUAAGAUGAGAUUAAUAUCUCCUAUAAGGAUUAAACACAAGUCAGGGGCUUCUGUUGUCAGAAUGAAAGGCAAACAUAUUUCCCGGCGAAUGAAGAUGACAAAAAACCUUGUGGCAAUCAAUGUUACCUUCAGGUAUGAUUUUUCCAUCCUCAACGUCUCUCACAGAACUGUGCCAGAUCACUGAUUUUAAGUUAUUAUCCUACCUCUGAAGUCCUUUAGGUAGGCAUCUGAAUCAGCAGAUUUCAAUUUCAUGCAACAAUGAUGAUAACUAAAAGGGGAGAUCAUCCUAAAGCACUUUUGGCUGUGCAGUUAGUUUGUUUUGUGUGCUGUGAAAAUCGCAUGUGCUCUGCUAUUUAACAUCCUGCUAGUUGUGUAUUAUAAAUCUUUGUCUCUAUUUGUGCAAAUUCACAAACUAAUCUCAAGCUUAAUGGCUUGCAGCUAAGAGUUGAAGACUUUCCUGAACAUGGGACGAAAGAUAGAGGGGAAAGAGGAAAGAGCCUAAUCACCUUAGGUGAUGGGCUUCCAGGUGAUACCGAUGGCGAUGCAGGACUUGAGGAAAGUCAAAGUUCUAUGUGUGAAAAAGGGACACUUGUUCCUUCAGAAGCUACUUGUGAUCCAGAAACCAGUCCCAAAACUCGGCAUGCGGAUGUCUCUGAUAUAGAUGAAGGCAUAGAAGGCACUCAGAACCUGAAGCGCAAGGCUACGCCUCAGACUUAUAAAGAAGCAGCCACGUCAAUGCAGGCUGCUUUUGAUUUUCAUGAUUCUUCAUGCAAGAAGCAGAAAGAAUCAUUUUCUGGGGACAUAAUUUCAGGGAGAGAAAGUGUUCCUACUGUCGAUCUUGGUUCUAGUACUAAAACUGCAACUGAUAUGAUUAAUGAUAAUUCACCCUCUGAAUGUACAUUGAAAGAGGUUUUUUCAACUGGUGCUGAGAAAAUUACUGGAGCUGGGCAUAAAAAAGUGACAAAUAUUCUGGAAAGGGAUCAUUCAAUCUCACCAUUAAAGUGCACUAGUACGACUGAGGUAGAUGUUGGACUUAAGCAUAAGAAAGUCAAUGACGUGCCAAGGAUUCAGGCAAUGUCACCAGCAAAGAGCACUGUAUGGAGAACUCUUGAGAAAGAUCUAUACUUGAAAGGAGUUGAGAUGUUUGGAAAAAACAGGUUAGACCAUUCUUGAUUUGUGGAUUCAGCAUCUUUACUGUCACUUGUGCUCCACGAUUCUCUACGUUGAAGGUGUAAUUGCUGCAGUUGGCCAGAGACAGAGCUUCAUACCCAUAUUUUUUCUAGGCGUAAACUUUAUCCGUGCUAUGUCCAAUGACAUCCAUCUAAAGGAUUAUCUAUGUGAAUUAAGGCGAUGUCUCGCUGAUUAUCCAUAACUUCCACUGUUUCUAAUUUAACCCUGUCUGAAGUCUAGUCGGCAGUAUUGCUUUACUUGUUAUCUUGCUUUAAUUGCUAUGUCCUGUUCUGUUUGUUAUUUCUUCAUUUGCAGUGUUUUGUCAUGUUUUGCUGAAGUUCGUAUUGACAUUUCUGUAUGUGGCAGUUGCCUUAUAGCAAGAAACUUGCUCUCUGGUUUCAAGACUUGCAUAGAGGUGCACAAAUACAUGUGUGAUAGUGGUGCUACAGUGAAUAACAGAUCUCUUGCACGAAGUUCAUCUUCAGAAGAUAACGGGGUUACUGAUGCAGAUUAUAUGGUAUGCACUUUAAUAGUCGAGGAACAAAGUUCAUCUUCCAGAUUUUAAAAUCAUGGCAUCCGUGGUCUGUUAUAAGUAGUACUACUCACUAAAUGAUGUGUUCUUUUGGAGGAAAAUAUAUGAAGUAUAGAUAAUAAGUGAGCCUCUAACUUGGUGUUCAUUCUGCAAGUUCUUUAUCCAUCUUCUCAUUGAUGUGAUCUGUUCACUAUCGAUUUGCUUUCACAAUGGUCAUCUUUAGUUUCUUGUUCAUAUUCUUUGGGCAAGCAUGCCGAUUUAGUCAGGCCUCAUUUUCCCCUUAAUUCAUUCCUCUUUCCUUUGUUUUUGGAGCAGGAGAUGCCAGCAAGAACACGAAUCUUCCGCCGGAAAGGCAGAACUCGUAGGUUAAAAUAUUCGUGGAAGUCUUCUGGCCAUCCAUCAUCAAUGCGGAAAAGAAUUGCUGAUGGAAAAGACCAGUCAUGUAAGCAGUAUACACCAUGUGGGUGCCAACCGACCUGUGGAACACACUGUCCAUGUUUAGAAAAUGGGACUUGCUGUGAGAAAUACUGCGGGUAUGUCGAUAAGUUUCCAGUGCAAAGUACCACUGCACUUUAUAAUAAUCGUGUGGAAAAUUUCAAUUAGCAUGCUGUACUUCAUGCAGAUCACAGCUAUUCAGAAGAGUAAGCAGUAUAGCUUAUUCACUUGGAAAUCAUUAAUUGUUUGUGAAAAAUUUCAGGUGCUCAAAAAGCUGCAAAAAUCGGUUCAGAGGAUGCCAUUGUGCCAAAAGCCAGUGUAGAAGUCGACAAUGUCCAUGCUUCGCAGCAGGUCGUGAAUGUGACCCAGAUGUCUGCCGCAAUUGCUGGGUUAGGUAUGUCUACGUACUAGCAUGUGAAAAUGCAUAGAUUUUUCUUCAGCAUGUUGAAUGAUUCUUCUUUGUUUGUUGAUGCAGUUGUGGAGAUGGUUCGUUGGGAGAGCCACCGAAAGGAGGGGAUGGUCAGUGUGGAAACAUGAGGCUGCUUCUCAGGCAACAACAAAGGGUAACGCAAUUUCUAGAUUAUCUUGGCAGAGGCCGACGUUGCUAGUUGAGUAGCUUGACAAACAAUCUGAAGCUCGUUUCAGAUUAUCUUGGCUAAGUCCGACGUUGCUGGCUGGGGAGCCUUCCUAAAGGUUAGUUCUUUACAUAUUCCACUUUGCACUUUGGUCCUCUGUUAGUGGUUCUUUUGUAAAUAGGUGUGAAUGAAAUGUAACUUCAGAAUUCCGUCAAUAAAAACGACUACCUUGGAGAAUACACCGGCGAACUGAUCUCGCACCGAGAAGCAGAUAAGCGAGGGAAAAUCUACGAUCGUGCCAACUCUUCAUUCCUUUUCGACUUGAACGAUCAGGCAAGUUCCGGUUCCUGUUCCUUUAGGCAUUUUUCCUUCAUCUGAACUAACAUUCACAUCCGUAUUGUGUCUCCUCAGUUUGUCCUAGACGCUUACCGCAAAGGAGAUAAGCUGAAGUUUGCGAACCAUUCAUUGGAUCCGAAUUGCUACGCUAAGGUAAAACAAAAAGCCUUCCAAUCAAAAUCACCUGUGAAAUGACUUUGUAUUCAUUCACCCAUCUGUGCAAAUGUUCCAGGUAAUGCUGGUGGCCGGAGAUCACCGAGUAGGGAUUUUCGCGAAAGAGAACAUCAAUGCGAGCGAGGAGCUGUUCUAUGAUUAUCGUUACGGACCUGACCAGGCACCGGAAUGGGCCAGGAAACCAGAAGGGGAAAGUUCAAGUGCAGCCUCCCAAGGGAGAGCAAAGAAGCACCAAUCUAGUUGAUGCCAAUCAUAUAUAUCUCUAUAGCCAAAUUUAAACAGAAUAAAAAAAAGAUAAAUAAUAAUACGUCCAUAGAGCCACCAGUUAACUCAGGAAAUAAGGUCAUAACAUUAUCCAAAUUUGGCUAAAUUUAAGAUUAUUUUUCUAUAUAUUAACAUGAAACCUAAUGAUUAAUUAAGUGUUGCUCAAUAUUGAUCUUCAGCCUUCCAACAUUCCAAGUGAUACAUAAUCGACAGUUGCUUGAUGUUGUUAAUUUUUUAAUGGAGAUAAAUGUGUUUAUUUUGUAAUGGUUAGCUUGUACGAUCGAGAAUGGAGUACAUCUUGUGUUUUGUAACCAGUGUCUGGUCUUUGUACGAGCACCUGUCAUAAAGGAAUCGACUAUUACUAUCGGUGAUUAGCAUUCGAACUAUCUAUUAGCAUUAGAACUCUAUUUUAAUUUCAUUGGGCAGCCAGAAACAACAUAAAUACAGUGUUUUUGUUUUACAAGAACAUCCAUGAUUAACAAAUUUAUUCAUAUGUCACAACUCUAUAUAUUUAGAUCUACUACAUAGUAGCAUUGGAAGAAUAUUUAAAAUAAAAAAAGGGGGGAAAUUCAAAUAUUGCCUAAGAUUGUGAUCAUUAGAUUUUCAUACAAGUUGCGAUGCAUCUAACAGAAUCAGAGGCUUGAAUCUUAUGAACCAAGUGAGUCCCAGCAGCAGCAUCAGGUAAACCAAGUAAAUGAUUCAAUUCCUUGGAAGCAAGCGCUUGGUAAUUGGGAGUCCAAUGAAGAGUUCAGUCUCCACAUCUGAAACUGGACUUCCUUCUUCAUACCCUCCUCCUCCUCCUCCUCCUGAAUUUUCAUUCUGAUGCCAUUGCUGCUCCUCGUCAUCAUUGUCAUCCUCGUUGCCCUUCUGCUGCUCCUCCUGUCGUUCUUCCGACAUUUGCUCCAUCUCACACUGCAUUACCAAAAUGUUUCGAGUCAUUCGUUUCCUUCAAACGAUCAAACACCGUAAGGGGAUUGAAGUUUGUGAAGGACCAUCAUGGCUAUGCAAGUGAAAGUGUCAUAUUGAGGCUAACAUGAUUUUAAAUGUGAUAGCAUAAUUUUUUUUAUGAUUGAUGAGAACUUUAUUAGAGGAAGAAAUAUACAUGCAAGAUAUCAAAUCUCUUUAAAAUAUUUUUUUAAUCAUAUUGUCACUAACAACUCCGAUUUUAAAAGAUUAGUUAUUGGGGGAUGAUGAUUACGGAAUAAAGAAAAUAAGAAUGUGGAAACCAACAACAAAAAAACACUAUAACCAAAAUCCAUAAAUCCAAAAAAUAAAAGUUUUAUAACAUGUUCAAAAUCGUUUCUUUUCAAUAAUUUGAGUUGUUAAAAGAGAGUACGAAUUUCGUCAUUAUAAUAUUAUUUUUGUUUUAGCCAUGCAAGUGAUAUAUCAAAUUCUGAAAAUAAGAACAAUAUUCACAGAUGAUAACACACCAAUUCUCACCUUUCUGGACAGCUUCUCAUUCUCAGCCACCAAUUCUCUUCCCUGCAGAAUAGACAAAUAAUCCCUUUUUUUUGGUUGGAUCUUCAUUGAAUGCUAGAUAGAAUGGAAGUGAUGAAACUUGACAUGUUUUCAUUAAUCGCUAGGCCUAGGAGAAUAACAGUCACCUUUUCUUUCAGCUUCUCAAUUUGUUCCCUGAACACUUGAUUCUGGACAUAUAAACAACAAGUCAUUUGAGUUAGUGCACAUGUUCACUAAAGUCUCAAGCACAUAGAAUAAAUUCUCAAAAGUAGGGAGCAACCAAAACCGCGAGUUGAGCGGGUUACAGGUUUGCUCAAUUAGAUAGUCAAUCAAUAACACAUAUCACGUGUUGCAAGUUCACCGAUUUUUGAGUUGGGCAAAGUUACAGGUGUUUGACUUUUGCUCAAUUAGAAUCACAUGUUGGGUUGUGUUGAGCUGAGACUGGAUUGAGUGGGGUUAGCUUCCUAGAGCUCUACUAAUAAUAACAAUAAACAAUCAACUAGGCUUGCGGCAGAUGGGUGUAAUGGUGUGAUUGGGGUUGGUUUCAUAUGGUGACCAUCGGAUUACUAAUCCGAUACGGUUCAAAGGAAUUGAUUGUAUCUCACAUAGAGGAAUUGAAUGAAUAUUGGACGGUGAGGUAAAAUAUUAAGUAUGGAAUGAGAAAAGAUGAUACCUUUCUGGCUCGAACCACACAAACACUGCUCUCCAACUGUUGCUCAAUCUGUUGUAGGUCUUCUAAAGUGCAUGAUCCAAGAUCUUCUCCCAUUAGCCUCCUUUUCGAGAGUUCAAGAACAUGUAUCUUCUUCAUCAUAGUUGCUGCUUCCUCCUUCAAUAUCUGCAGCCAUUUCAAAGCUCAACAUUGAAUCUUGCCGUACACGUUACUCAGAGACUCAGCCAUGAAAGUAACCUGCAUGUUUUGUUCGGAAGGCUGCCUGGGUUUUGGACUGUCUUUAACAUGCUUCCUGUAACGUUCAAUUGUGCUCUGCAUGCUGAAGAAAAACCAGAAGUUUAGACACGAAACGAACAGAAAAGACUAAAGAGAAUCAAUUGAUUACAAGUAAGCUCUUAAAACCACAGCUUCAAAAAAUGGUAAAUGAGUGUUGUUUCCUUUCCUGUUCUGAACUCACCUUCAUCUAAGCCAUUGUGAAAACUCCUAACUAGAACCUCAUCUCAUUGGCACUAUGAACAUCAAAAGAUAUAAAAAAACACUAAACUGAUUUCAUUGCACUCGACUACCCGAUCGUAAUGAUAUUUCCAGUCCGUCAAUGACUCAAGUUGACGGACCACAGCAAGAUAAGUAUAAAAUCUCGCUAGCUAGUGGACCAUGCACAAUGCAUGUUCAUGACAGUUCCACCUUCUCACUGACGUAAAUCAUAUAACAAAUAAUGUUAUAAAUUAGCUACCCUUCUUUUACUUUGUUAGUAAUUACAUUCAAUACAUAAACUUAACCACUAUUAGAGAGAACAAAAAACCUCAAACAUCAAAACCCUAAAUGUUAUGCAAUUUGAACGAGAAUACAGGUUCGAUAUCAGGGAAAUAGAAAAGUGUUUAACUUAGAAGUCUCACUUCUAUCUUUAACUAAAACUGUACUGUAUGAAAAUCAUCAAUAACUUUCAUUUAUUAUGAUUUGAACACUCUAGAUCUAGGACUGUGCUUCAACUAUAUACUGAUAUCAAUAUUAACUAUUAUUGGACGAUCUUACACUUAAAAUUUAGCUGCGAGGUAAAAAAUCUCCACGCAUAACUUCUUCAAAGUACACAAAAUUUCAACAUCAUUUCUACAUCUACUCAGAGCAUAAGCAAUCAAAUAAAAGAUCAAGUGUGUGAAUACAUGUGAGUUGAGUGAGUAUGCCCCUUAUAAGCAAUACAUUCCCUCUAGUAUGGUGAUCAUGAUGAUCAUCUGUAAUCUAUACAAGAGACAUAAUGNNNNNNNNNNNNNNNNNNNNNNNNNNNNNNNNNNNNNNNNNNNNNNNNNNNNNNNNNNNNNNNNNNNNNNNNNNNNNNNNNNNNNNNNNNNNNNNNNNNNNNNNNNNNNNNNNNNNNNNNNNNNNNNNNNNNNNNNNNNNNNNNUAUUUGUAUAGUAUGAGUAUGAGUAUGCAUAUGAGUGUAUACACAAAUAUGCAUGUUUCUAUUAGGAGCAUUACAUGUAAGUACUCACAGAUUCAUCAACAAUCAUGGUAUAGACAUUUGAUGAUAAAAAUUGGCAACAAUAAUUAAUAUAAAUUACUCAUAUAUCUUAUUCAAAUGAGAUGUUAUGCUUCAAUUAUGUCUAUAUAAAUAAAUGUAUGUACGUCAAUCAGAUAAUAAUUUGAAUAACAUAUAAAAAAAUGUCACUCAAAAAUAUUGCAAAAUAUAACAUAUGGUAUGUAUAUAUAAACACACUUUGAAACAUGCGAUGGACACAAAAACGGACACUGGGUAUGAUCACCGUUAUAAAAAUAAAAACAAAAAGAUUCAUCAAUAAUCAACAAGGAAAUUGGAUCCUCGUUAGAAGAGAUAUAAAUAUAUGUAAAACCAAACAACCUGGCAAUCUAAAUAAUAUAUUGUUAAAGGACAACCAAAUUACAAUAGCUAUUCACAAGUACACACUCUAAAGCAUUAAAGUAGGAAAUGUCAGAAAUAGUCAUAGAUUUAUAAAGAAUCAACUCGGAGUAUAAAUCUAUGGAACUAUAGAGAUACUUGGAGUAUAUGCAACAAGAUCAAAGAGAUAAAAAAACCAACAUUAGAAAUGGAAGAUAAAAGAGAGAAAAAACCGUCACAAGAAAUGCAAGUCCAAUUAGUAACGUAUUAGGGAACAAAGUUUUCUUCAUAAUAGUUUGAAGUAAGACGAACAUCUGAGCUAAGAAUAAAACUGGAAUUGGUGCUCAAUGUCUUUGGAAUAACAUUUGAUUAACCUUAACCCUUUAAAGUCAUGAACUUAAAGAAUUACUAUUCUCUAUAGUAACUGCAAAAAAAAACUGAACCAAUCAACCUCCAGUUGUCACAACUGUACGAGAAUGUGACCUUAAAAUAGUAUGUAGUUGUAGUUAUAGUAAGUAGCACUUGGUACUGGACUUUCUGAAACUUGCAAGUUGCAGUCAUGAAAACUCCAAGUAAAUAAAUAAAAAACAAUCAACUUAUGGAAUUAGAUCUUUAGACUCCCUAUCUGGGAAACAAACAAGCAAAUCAGUAAAAGGAAACAUGAGACACAGAAGACUGAACAGACUAACAAUUUCCCAGAAAGAAAAAUCAACAAAAGGUUUGUACUUUUUUAUUAGGUAAAAACAUUAUUUGAGCUUGUGGAUUAAACCUUAAGGCUGUAAGAAGGUCAAUGAAAGAGAGAGAGAGAGAGAGAGAGAGAGAGAGAGAGAGAGAGAGAGAGAGAGAGAGAGAGAGAGAGAGAGAGAGAGAGAGAGAGAGAGAGAGAGAGAGAGAGAGAGAGAGAGAGAGAGAGAGAGAGAGAGAGAGAGAGAGAGAGAGAGAGAGAGAGAGAGAGAGAGAGAGAGAGAGAGAGAGAGAGAGAGAGAGAGAGAGAGAGAGAGAGAGAGAGAGAGAGAGAGAGAGAGAGAGAGAGAGAGAGAGAGAGAGAGAGAGAGAGAGAGAGAGAGAGAGAGAGAGAGAGAGAGAGAGAGAGAGAGAGAGAGAGAGAGAGAGAGAGAGAGAGAGAGAGAGAGAGAGAGAGAGAGAGAGAGAGAGAGAGAGAGAGAGAGAGAUCUCCAUUAAUGAAAUGAAGUACAAACCUGGAGCUAGCAAAUUCAUAGAGUUUGCCACGAGGGGAAAAGACAAGGAGCGCAACUUCAGCAUCACAAAGGACAGAAAGCUCAAAGGCCUUCUUCAGCAAACCAUUCCUUCUCUUGGAGAAGGUCACUUGCCUGCUUGUAGCGUUCUCUAUCCUCCUCAUCUGUGUCUUCCCCCUAACCAUUAUUCCUUCUCAAAUCCAGAACCAACCCCAAACCAAAAACCAGAAGGAACUGUAACUUUAAAUCAAAUAUCAGUUCUUGCAAACCAAACCAGCAGGAGCUGCAAAAAUUCAAAUCAAAGAUCAGUUCUUCCAAAAACCAAGACCAGCAUGGUAUAUAUAUAAUCAGUUAUAUAAAGUAACCCACAUCACAUGUACUACUAAUUACUAAUACUACUAUAUGUAAUCAUUCAUGGGGAAGAACAGAAACCAAAGCUCAAGUAAAUCAAGAGAGAGUGAAGAAAUUAAAAAUAAGGAAAGACUAACCCUUUUCAGUUCCCUAGAAGAAAAGAUUGAAGCUUUGGUGUGGGUGUUGGAUUUAAGGUUACUAUGAAAGAAGAACAAAGUUGAUUAAGGAUAAGGGGAAAUGGAUUAAUUGGGUAAAUUUUUGGUGUUUCCAAAUUGCAAAGGGAAAGGAAAGGAAAGGAAAGGAGAGGAUUGUUUCUUCUCUAGUUGUUGUUUUUGCUUUUUUAUUUGUUGGGGGUGUGCAAAUUUGUGAGGGGGGAGUGUAGGUCAAAGGUUAGGGGAGAAGGGGGGGGGNNNNNNNNNNNNNNNNNNNNNNNNNNNNNNNNNNNNNNNNNNNNNNNNNNNNNNNNNNNNNNNNNNNNNNNNNNNNNNNNNNNNNNNNNNNNNNNNNNNNNNNNNNNNNNNNNNNNNNNNNNNNNNNNNNNNNNNNNNNNNNNNNNNNNNNNNNNNNNNNNNNNNNNNNNNNNNNNNNNNNNNNNNNNNNNNNNNNNNNNNNNNNNNNNNNNNNNNNNNNNNNNNNNNNNNNNNNNNNNNNNNNNNNNNNNNNNNNNNNNNNNNNNNNNNNNNNNNNNNNNNNNNNNNNNNNNNNNNNNNNNNNNNNNNNNNNNNNNNNNNNNNNNNNNNNNNNNNNNNNNNNNNNNNNNNNNNNNNNNNNNNNNNNNNNNNNNNNNNNNNNNNNNNNNNNNNNNNNNNNNNNNNNNNNNNNNNNNNNNNNNNNNNNNNNNNNNNNNNNNNNNNNNNNNNNNNNNNNNNNNNNNNNNNNNNNNNNNNNNNNNNNNNNNNNNNNNNNNNNNNNNNNNNNNNNNNNNNNNNNNNNNNNNNNNNNNNNNNNNNNNNNNNNNNNNNNNNNNNNNNNNNNNNNNNNNNNNNNNNNNNNNNNNNNNNNNNNNNNNNNNNNNNNNNNNNNNNNNNNNNNNNNNNNNNNNNNNNNNNNNNNNNNNNNNNNNNNNNNNNNNNNNNNNNNNNNNNNNNNNNNNNNNNNNNNNNNNNNNNNNNNNNNNNNNNNNNNNNNNNNNNNNNNNNNNNNNNNNNNNNNNNNNNNNNNNNNNNNNNNNNNNNNNNNNNNNNNNNNNNNNNNNNNNNNNNNNNNNNNNNNNNNNNNNNNNNNNNNNNNNNNNNNNNNNNNNNNNNNNNNNNNNNNNNNNNNNNNNNNNNNNNNNNNNNNNNNNNNNNNNNNNNNNNNNNNNNNNNNNNNNNNNNNNNNNUGUUAUGCAAUGUUGAAUAAAAGAAUUGGUUGUUUUAAUAAAUUGGUUGUGUUUCAAAUUGUUGUAGUAAAUUAAUUUAAUUGGAUCUAAACUGUUAAAAGUUGAGUGAAUGAUAAAGUUAUCCGAAAGUUAUAUAAAAGACGAUAAAGCUGUUUGCGUAAAUGGAAAGCUAUAUUUUUUUGUCACAAAAUGAUAAAACUAUUUGAAAGUUGCAUAAAUCUGUAUUUUUUUGGUCAAAAGCUGUACAACCCGUGGUCCAAAGUUGUCACAGUUGCCUAAAGUUGUAGCCACGUGGUCAAAAGCUAGAGACAUAUGUAUAUGGCUGAGAAUCCUGCAGAUGAGUGGAAAGAAUAUGUUGUACAUGCUGGUGGAGGGAAUAUGUUGUGGCAUAUUUUGCAGUAUUAUUAUCCCUCCCAUCUAUUUAAUCACAGACCUCUAUUACAGACAACUCACAAGUUCUAAAAUCCCUUUCUUCACUCUAUCUUCUUACUCUACUUCUCCUCCCGGUCUUUCUCAAUAGAUAAUGGUUGAGUUCGCCUUCAUUCUACGAUGGGGGCAUCACUUGUACUCAAACAUCAGAGUUGAGUAUGCCGGUGGGCACUCUCGGAGAGUAAAGAUGAGUUCAACCCCGACCUUCACCCCAGCGAUUCCUAUUUUUCUAAAGAAAAUGAAGAUCCUAGCGAAGGCCAUCCUCCGGACCGUGUAUUAUCGUCAUCCUAUGGUGGCCGGCGAUACUAUUGUUGGGUACUAUCUCCGUUCGUGCACUGAUGAAGAGUCUUGGGGAGUUACUUACUAUAUGGUAAAUAACUUCCCUAUGUGCAAUAAUCCGGAGCUGUAUUUCGAAUUCGAAGGUCCAAUCACCGGUGUUCAUGGCUUUGUUGGUCAAUUCUCAAUGACUGGGUACUUUGAACCUUCUGGUUCACAUAACGUGGACGAGGUCUCUCAGUGCAACGGACAAUAGAACGUUGAUGUUGUGGAUGAUGAAGAGCUUGAGUACGAUCGGGGUAACAACAACAGGGAAGGGGAAGAUGAACAUGCCUCGAGUGAGGAUGACGACGGUACGUCAAUUGACCUUCUCCAUCCAAAGUGUGAGGAUGCUGAUGUCAUGAUCGGAGCGGGCGCUUCAACAUUGUCUCGUGCCCCCCCCCCCCUCUCGUGUGAGUACACUCCACCCGAGCUGUACACAACAUUAGGCGAAAACAUCGACCAGGUGAUGACUGUUGACCAUUACGAUGAUGGCCCUGAGAUCUCGGAUUUCGACCCCACUCGUGAACAUUUAUACAUCGGCCAUGGUUUUACACGAAGAAGGAGGCAAGUCUUUCUGUCAAACACUGGGUCUUGCAUAACAAUGGAGCCCUGGCGACAUCCCGCUCAAAGACUUGGGAGUUGCAUAACAAGAAUUUUCUUGUCGGUAUCGAAAACCCAAAGAAUGAAGGAGAAGAGAAUUGGUGAAUGUGUGCAAAAUGAAGAAGGGGGGAGGAGGUUAUUUAUAGCAGCCAUUGGAGGCCAGCUGGCCUCCAAUGGCUGCUAUAAAUAACCUCCUCCCCCCUUCUUCAUUUUGCACACAUUCACCAAUUCUCUUCUCCUUCAUUCUUGGACGUGAGGGGCGCUGUAAGUCCUGAGAAUUGUCAAAUUAUGUAAUUUACAUUUCGAAUUGAUUAUCUACAUAAUUUCCGAUUUAAUUUUACCUACAAAAAAAAUUAUGUUGCUAUAUCAUAUUGAAACCGAUCAAUCAAAAAGUUCGAAGGUUUUUCGAGGCAAAUAAUAUGAUUGCUCUAGUGAGACUUAUAUGAGCUUCCAUAUUCACGUCUUUCAUACAGUGAUGUCCACUUCCACUACUGAGACAUUAUAUAAGUUUAUUGAUACUGCGACACAAAACACUGAUCUCUCUCUCUAUGGUCAUCUUUCUUGCCUCGCAACUUCUUAAUGAGAGUCAAUCAGCUAGCUAUUUAGAAUUAGAUAGCCCUAUAAAGAUAGAUGAUUUAUGAAACAUUAUGGAUAUAAGAUCUAUCUUGUUUGGUAUUCAAAUUUCGUAACGAAAUGAUGGUUGUGGAAUGCAGUGUGAUCCAUAUUUUAUCAAAGCCAACUCAGAUUUUAAAAGGAUUGUUUUAUGUUAUAACACCAUUUAUCAAUAAAGAAAGAAAAAUACAGUAGAAUUCCUCAUAUACCAAGCAAUCCUAAAAUAUAAUAGAUUUAUGUAUUUACCCCACAAAAAUGAGUUUUAUAGAUACGAAGUAUAAAGAAUGGUAAAGCUGUAUGUCUAAUGAUUUAUAGGUCUUUAAUUCNNNNNNNNNNNNNNNNNNNNNNNNNNNNNNNNNNNNNNNNNNNNNNNNNAAGACUUAUAUGACCCCUCCCACCUAUAAUAGAAUUCCCCGUUACAGUUCGAAUCUAAAUUUUCGUUAUAUAUGAUAGAUUAAACUUCUUUCAGUUUCGGUCAAUCUAAUUUGAUGUACACCAAAUCAUCUUAAAUUUUAUCAUCACCUCGCAUUUUACUUUUCAUGCUCCAUUUUUUGAGAAAGUAUAUCUUCGAUCCUUACUUACUAAUUAAGUUUUAUAUGUUCAUUUUUCACCUUUGAUAAUAUCGACAUAGCUAAAUAAAGUUUUGUAUUUGAGAUAGUUCAUUAUCAAUUAUCAAAUUAAUUUUGGGGAAAAAGAUAAAACAUAUUCAUUCGUGGCCAAUUUUCAAUUUAUGAUAUGAAUAUUUUGUCUUACUAUGAUUACUUAUAUAAGGAUUCCUUUUUUGCUUUUAAUAUGUAUUAUUUAUGAUUCCGAAAUAAAAAAAAGAAAUAGAAAAUGAAAGGAAUGGGGGGGGGUAAACAGUAAAUAAGAGAGAAGAUUAGGGGCAAAGUGUGAAAGGGGAAGAGAGAGAUAGAUGAUUAGUCCGUAGAAAAGGUACAAGGAAGAACCAAUGAGAAACCGAAAACGCAUAGGGGGCCAAUCAAUCAGCUUUCGAUCCACCACUUAUUUCUUUAUUAUUAUUAUGGUCCAGCUUUUCAUACACCAGAAAUAGAUAUAAAAAAUAAAAAUAAAAAAAGCAAGAAAGAUAUUUUAUUUUUCCUUAAAGGACAAUCUUUUUUUUUUCUCUCACUUGUUUAAUUUCAUUAAUUCUUCCAAAAAUUAUGUUGCCAUGUGAUGUCGGCUGAAGAUGCAAACCCAACCCAGACUCGCAAGUUUCGGAAAAAACCAAAUGCAAACUGCUCUCAUUUUUUUGUUCAAAAACCUUACGAGACUCGGAUAAACUAAGAAAGUCAUACAUUAAUGAAUGAGAUGGUUUAGGAUUAGGAUCAAUAGAAACAUAACCAUCAAAUAGCUGCGAAUGGUCGAGGCUAGCAAGAUAGUAUGUAGCUUUUGCUGCCUUCCCGAUAGAUGUGCUUAAACUUAACCAAUCAGUCCCUCAUUUUGUUGCUCAUCCAGUCUCACUAAUGACUGAGUUAGCCGGAGUUGAGGGUGACCCGACGGAGUGGAGGCGGCUUCUAAGAGGUAUCCUCCAUCGUCCUCUUGAUGGGUUGAUCAAGUAGCGAAGACUGAUCAAGUAUCAAGGCCUCCUCCACCGUCUAAUAGAGGUAGAAAUGAGGGAGCUCUCGAGUUGGUUAGACCCGUUCUCUAAUGUUCUUUGCUCGCUUUGUAUCAACAUCAGUUAUGUUCAGUAUCAAUUGAUCUUCUUGUACAACAGCAAACAAAGCAGUCAACUACUGAUGUUCAGAUACACCCCUCACAGUUUGUUCAAUGAAAUGAACUUCUUUUCCUUGCAAUGUUUACCAAGACACAUUCUCAAUAACCAAUGGCUCAAGUCACAACCUAUGCAUUUCUAUAACAAGAGCCAUAUAAGAUAAAGAUAUUCAUGUAAACUCAAAAGGGGCCUAGUUUGUACUAGGAAUCAAGGAGGUCGAUUUCGAUUACCUUUAAUUCUUUAAUCCAAACUAGAAAACAGACUGGAUGAGCUAGUUUGAGAUGGAGUAUUGGUUGCAUACGGUUUGUCAGGAGGUGCUAAGACAAACGUAGGUACGUAACCUGAUAGCAGUUUCACUUGAUCGGACUGUCUGAAGAACGACAUAUUCGGUCAAGAGUUACUUGAAUAAAAGGAAAACGUUACAUCCAAGUCAACACCUUGCAUUUUCUAUUCUUUUCCAAGACCUAAUGGCAAAAGUAGAAUAAAAACUUUACCCUUUGAUUGCCUCUUUGUUUAACUGUAGUUUCUCUUUUCCCUUUAAAAGCAUCAUCAAAGCACAGCAAAAACAAACUAAGGGGUUUAGUUUAGAUGGAUAAAGGAAAGAUUACAACAUAUCUAAUCAAAACCCACACAAGAUUUCAGUCCCCAAACAAAAUCACACAAACUCUUCCAGCAUUGAAUCAGAAUCCUCUGUGGUAUCUCUACGAGCCAAACACUCCGAAAAUAGAGCUAUGAGCAACGGGUUCCUUCGCAAGGAGGAGUUGAAGUCAUCCUUGCUCACUGUACCUUUCGCAUCCACGUCAAACAACUUGAACAAUUCAUGAACCUGGAGUACCAAAACCCAACACUCAGCUGAAGAAUUCGUUUGCAGUACUGAAGAAGUCAGCUAGACAAAACUGGAAGGAAUAUUACUAAAGACGGUAUCUACUUCACAAUGUACCUCAUCUUUGUCUAAAUCUGGAAUUGUGAGUCUGAUGACAUCUCCGAACUGUUUAAAAAAUCAAAUUGACGAGCAAGGUGAAUUCAUCAGCAUGGAAUAACUGCAACGCGAAUGGAGGAUAGUGUGUGUUCUAUUUAGGGGAAACAUACCUCGUGUUCUGAGAUUUCAUGGUCUCCCUUAACAUCACAUUCACUAAAAGCUAGUUCACACGUUUGCCGGAAUUGCGGUUGUUUCAUGACAUGCAAUGAUCCAUACAAGAACUGCACCAGACAAACACACUUGCUUUUAGCAGUAGUUCCAGUCAAGCAUGAAAGUACUUCCAAACUUAUGGAAACAAAAGUAGAGAGGAAAAAGGUACCUGCUUGAAUGUAAUUGAACCACUCUUUUCUACAUCGAGGAAUGCAAAUACCUACACUCCAUAUAACGGACUUAAAAUAAGAGAAUGUAAUUCAGAUGCACAUAAAUUACUGAAAAAUCUUGAAAACUGGGCAUGACCUCCAAUUCGAAAACUCGGCAUGUACUAAGUCGUGAGUAACUAUCAGCUAACUAACAUCAUUUAUGAAAAAUAGUAUACAUCUAUAUCAACAAGUUUCAAGAUCAAGAAGAAUAAUUCUACUUAAUAACCUCUUCUGAAAGUGCGCAAGGUCUGAGUCUAUGAGCCCUCAAAAAAUCAUAGAACUUAACACGACCGCUGCAGAAAGGAUCAGUAUUAGACAGGAUUAUUUGGUUCUCUAUCACGCAAACAAACAAAAGAGUAUCGCAGAGCUUCAAACCUGGAGUCUGGAUUCAUGGAAAGAAACUUUUCAAGAAAAUCCAUAGCUUCCAAACUGCGAAUAUGGAAUAACUGACAAACAAAGGAUCAUAAAUUUAGUUUCAAUAUACUUAAAGCUAAAGCCUUCAAUAUCACAUGACACAAAGAGAAAUCAUAUGUGAUCUCGUAAAAUACAACCCUGAACGUGCAACCGAUUAUAAUGAUUGAACAUGCUUCAUAAAGGAACACCAUAAAUCUAAAUAAUCAGAUGACUCCGAUGUAUUGUUUAUUACCGAUUCCACCUUUGCCAUUUCAACCAUAAAACUUCGCGGAUUCUCCUGCAAAAAAUUACAUUAAAGAACGAUAAGCGGAAAUAUCAAACGAGCUAAUUUAAGAUACCAAAUCAGAUACUGUAAUUAUUGAUAUUCAAUUACAUAUAGCUUUUCGAAUGAUACUGCAGGUUAUAUAUUAUAACUUAUCCAAAUUAUAUAGCACUACAGAAAAGGCUCAACGAAGUCGGAAAGAAGUGGAAGAAAUGAAUUGAGCUAUGAACGUAUAGAAGUAAGAAAGCAGAUGUUAAAAUUAUCAUUUGAUCACUUUAGCUAAGUCUUAAGUUAUGCAACAAUCAUAAUGACGAAACUAAGCUGGCCUGAUAAGGUGAACAUUGUGUUUUAUCUUCUUCAUGCGGUCUUUAGUGCAGUAGGUGAUUAUCUAAAACCAUGAGCAAGAUCAUCUAAAAAGGCAUACAGAUUAAGAAUGGCGAACCUGGCCAGCCUCAGCUGCUCUCAUGAGAAGCAUCACGUCUCCAUAGGAAUGGAAUGUUUGCAAGACAUUUAGUGCAGUUGCCAUAGCAUUACUUGUCUGUACAGAUGGACGUAUAAUUAGUCUCUAUACAGAACACAGUCCAAGAACUGAGAUAACCACCACUCACUACACAUCCCCAUUUGAAUAAAAACCAAUGCAUAUAUUAAACUCAAAAUAUAAAAGCUGAAUAAGAAAAUAUACGAAGUCAUCCAAGUUCAGUAACUCACUCUCUUAGAAAAAUGUGCAGGAUUUUCUUUGCAAUUGUCAAGGGGGGAAACAAUCGGUAGAUACUCCACCUGCUCGUAAAUAAUCAACUUUAGCAGAUAUUUUAGCUUUAUACAAGUUAACCAAGGCAUGACCUUCACAUCAGAAAUCAUAAUUGUACUGUACCUCGAGGUAAUUGUGAAACUGGCUGAACAUUCUGAACAUAAGCAAUGCUAAUGAAAUAUUGCCCCUGAUGAAGAGCAACCAUGAGCAAGCUUUACUAAAACCAGCAUUAAACGCAGAAAAACAAGAAAUUUCUACCAAACAAAUCAAGCUUACCAAGAUUGGUCAAAAUGCACAUGAGGAUACCGAACAACCACAGGUUGGAUCGCAUAAUUAGGGAGGAACGCACCGAGUUGAAAUGACAGAAGAACUCUUCCAUUGGAAGUCGUUCCCUCGGGAAACAACAGUACUCGCGGAAAUCUAUCGCAAGCACCUUUUCUCUGAAUUCAGAUCCUUGAAAACACACUUCUGUAUCAAAUAGCUAAUAAACUGAAAAUUUGACUGUACAAUGAAAUUCGAAGAAUCCUACUCGAUAACAUAUCUAGGACUUGGAUAUUCUCCAUGAUUGGUUGGAACAUGAAUAAUGUAGUAAGCAACGUAUUGAUAAACAAAAAAGAAGCAGGGAAGUUUGUACCUUUAUCUCAUUGACAGCAUUCUUCCUUGAUGGUUGUGAGAAUCUAUUUACAUAUAUAACCUGGUACACACGGCAUUCAGCAUAUACAAAAGUUCAAGGCUUAGCUGAAAACGAUUGCCCAAGAGACUAAUUACUUACCUGCAUAGCUCUGAUGAUAGUUCCAACAAAGGGCAAAGCAUCAUGUGAUUCGGAUGCAACAAUGGUGGGGCACAUCUCAUAGAAGUAAAAAAUGGGCUCAAUAUACGACACAUGGUUAGAUACAACGAUAGGGGCGAUCUCCCUUGGGGCAGGCUUCCCUUUUCUUCGAAUCCACUGGUAGCUGAGAUAUGCAUUAAUUGCAGGACAAAACUCAAAUUCAAAACCAACUUCUUCAACCACUACUAUAUCAAUAUCAACUUUAUAGUAAGCUGAGAGUCGAGAAAGAGAGAGAGAGCAAAAAUUAUAUAAGUUACCCAAAGGAGAAGAGAAUCCCGCGAGCAGAAAACCUAGUGACCCACAUGAGGCGAGAUCGCCAUCGGGGCAUAGGAUUGUCUUUGUCUUUCCAUCCGUGGAUAGCGAGCUUAGUAGCGAGAUAGCCGACAGCCAAACAGAGUCCAAAUAGCAGCAAUCUGAGGAGUAUGAUCGGGAGUAGCAGCAGGAUCUUGAGUGCCUCGUAGAUUCCGUCGAUUCGGGGAGUUCCGUUGCGGAAUGGAUCGGCGGUUGAAGGCGGAGGGACGGACAAGGAGGAAUCCACGUGGCGGUCAAUUCCGAGGAAUUCGAAAGGGUUGUUGUUGUUAGAUUGAGGAAUCUGGUGAUGAUGAUGAUGAUGACCAUUGGAGUAUGGUUGACCAGGGGAGGGGGAGGAUUUGUUGUUGUGGUCGCCGCCGUCAAUGGAGAUGAUUAUGUGCGGAGGAGGAGGAGGGGAGGCGAGAAGAGGGGAGGAGAGAUCAUCGUAGGCGGCGGCGACGGCGGCCAUUGAUUCAAAAUCGGGAGAAUGAUUUGGAAUCAAUGAUGAAAAUGAAUGGGGAAAAGGGCGUUCUUUGUAUUUGGGUUGACUCAUUGGCACUCCAUUGUAUUGUUGGCGCUUUUCGGGGUUGACAGGGUGGACAAAGGGGCGCGACGGAGAUGAUGUAUCGCGGCACGUGCGUCACGUGUGCCGGAUUUUCCGUGGGUCUGAACUCAAAUUUGAAAAUCUUUUCGUACCAAAAAAUUGUUUUUUUGGUUGUUGUGAGAAAAUCUAGGGUGGAUGCAUAUAGAAACUAUGGCAUUCAUGUUCCAAAUAAUGCUUUCGAGCUAGAACUAAUGGUGUUUAGUUUUAGAUUCUAGGAUCCUAAAUUACUGUAUAUGUGUCUCAAAACUCAAUCUUCAUUACCCAUUUUAUAACACAUUUACUGACUUCUCUCCCAAGAAAUCGAAUAUUCCUCCCUUGUUUUGCCACAUGUUCCUCAUCGAGCUAGCUAUAUUCCUCGUAGAUCUUGUUUAGGCGUAUUAGUAUUAACCGGUCCUAUUUGUUAAUAUCGAGACAAAUGCAUAGUGAUAUUGUGGGACCUGUACGUAACACAGUAGAAAAUAAUGAGAUAAAUUAGGUAUUUGACCUAAUAAACGAUGUAUUAUAAACCGGCCAUACAUGUAUUCUUCAAAAUCACAUAUAUACAUACUGGAAAGGCCACACGUGUGGAAAGUCCUUCUUCACCUCAGGAGACAACUCUGUCAUUUCAAUGACCUUCUAACCUUGGAUUAUCCUCAUCUGGGAUUUGGGAAAGUAUGAGCAACUUCUCUUAAAGCUAAACUAGCACACUUGCAGGCUGCUCUAAUUAAGCCAUACCCUCCUCGGUCAGAAGCACAAAGAAGACGACUUUUUAUCUGCAAGUCACCGGUCUAUUUACUUACUUGUCUGAGCAGCAAUGUUCAUCUUCAGCAAAAGCCCCGUCUCCCUCAGGAUCAUCGAAGAAUUCCCUAUCGGUAUAUAGAUAUCCAUCUUCUGGUGGCUUGUAGUCUGUUCCUCUCCACACCACAAUCUGCUCCUUCUCAAAUGUCACCAGUAUGCAAGGAACCAAGUCCUAGAGAUGUAUAGAUGGAUACAAAAUUAAAAUCAAAUAGAAGCAUUUAGAAACAGUUUCCCAGAGAAAUAUUGCAUUGCUAAAGAACAGGAAACAAAGAUCCGCUCUUUACAUAAGUUCAGUGGCUAGAUUCACACAUAACAGCUCAAAACGUUCAACCCAAUGGCCAAUGGAACAUAAAAGCUUUUAGCUUUGAAAUGUCAUUGCAACAAAGCACAUCCUAGAGAGAGUAUCAAUAUUGACGUUCCAAAUGCAGAAUUAGACGGGGUGGAGAGCCUUACCCUUAGUUUGCAGCCUAUUUUCUUGUAAUCGCUCCUCUCAAGUCCUUGGCAGUCUAUGCGCACCAGCUCACUUAGAAUAAAAGCAUCUCUCACCAUGGGUACAAGACUGCCAUAGUAACCAUUCUUGGCUGCAUGUUGCAAUACGCAAGUCAGUAACUCAGGGUAUAUAUAUCGCAUACUGCUUCUUGCACUGAAAAUGAAGAAGAGUGAGCCUCUAGACUACGAAAGAAAUGAAGAGUUCUAAUUCAUCACUCUAAAACUUUAAUUCAAGAGCAAAAGACAAAGCUGAGCUUACCAAGUCUUGUGAGUGCAGGAACAGCCAGACCCCUCUUUCUCAUUUCCUUUGUUUCAUCAAUACUCAACCCUUCAAUCGUAGUUUUGAUAAGCUUCGGAUAUACAGGCUCGUGAGGCCUCCACAGCAUCAAUGGAACAGCAGGCCUUUUCUUGGGAUUAUAAUUUCGACCUCUAUACAACACCAGCUGACCACCAUGUCUGUGAAUGAUCUUGCCAAAUGUUUUAUCCUGCACUUUACAAAACAUUGGUUAAAGUUAAAAUGCCACACACAAAGUGCAAAAAGCUCAAAUCCAUAAUAAGCAGAUAAGAACCUCUAGAGAAUCGGCUCAAACGGCACAAAUUACCUCAAGCUGAGCACAAACAUUCUUCAUGUCAACAGUGGGAACACCUAGACACUUGAUCCUAACUGCUUCAGCAUGUCUCCAAUUGUUAUGCACAUCAUUCAGCAUGUUGUGAGUGAAGCCAUCUCUCCCUAGCACAAAUAUUAGGAUCAUCGAUCAAGCAAUAGGGCAAGUGAUUACUGAACAACCCUAGAGAGAACUAUUUUCAAACUUUCAAUAAUUCAGAAGACUCCGUACCAAGAUUGAUUUGCCUUUUGGUCUUAUUCCUCUGACAACUCUGCACCAAAAUCUUCCUCUCAGCGUUCGUGAGUGGCUCCCCCUGUAUCCUCUCCCUCCUUCUCCGUCUCUCCUCCUCCAAAUUCUGAUCCUCCGCUGCGUCGACCGAUUUCACUUUCGGAUCAACCGCAGGGGCGGGCGUCGACCGACUUCACUUUCGGAUCAACCGCAGGGGCGCAAACUCCGGUCCAUUUCCGGUCAAGCCGUCGUGGGCCGAAAGGGGAGUAUUUCGGCUCCCUGAGGCCGAUUGGUCUCACCGACUGGCUGCUCUCCGAGUAGCUGUACCGAAAAUCAAACGGAAGGUCGGAGUGCAUCGGCUUUCUGGACUGGUUUAGAGAAGACGGCGGCCGGUACCGCUCUUUCUGCUUUUUCGCCGGAGGAGCUGGAGCCGGAGGAUCUUGAUUGUCAUAGCUCGGUCGAUUCUCGGGGGAGAGCGAAGACGGAGGAUCGAAGGCGUAGUAAUCGCGAAGCUUCGAAGAGGCGGCGGAUGAGGAACAUAGGUGGCGCGACAGGAACGCCAAGGUGAACGAGAAAUGCGGCGGGGGGUUGUUCCGGCCGGCGACGAGUGACCGGAGGUACAUUUACUCGGGCUAUGGUAGUGGUUUAGGGUUUAAUGAUGGUUGGUCAAUUGGACGCCGGUUUAUUGGCGGAACUGUAACGGAAAUCAGCACAGGAACAAAAGUUAGCUUCUUAGCCCCAUCAUUUCACAAUAUUUUCAUUGCAUGUUAGUUCCUCAAAUUUCAAAAACUCUACGAAGUAUACUUUUCAAUCACAAUAUUCUCGUAACUUCAAAUCGUGUAACGAUUCCAUACGGUAGAAGUUGGCAAACAUCUUUCAAUAUAAGCUCUAUAGUACUAAAAUUAAAGCAAGCUCAUAAGAUUAUAUAAAACUAAACCUUUUUGUAACCAAAUCUUAUUUAUCAAUACAAGAAAAAGGAGGCAAAUAUUAGUAGGAUCAUGGUUGAAGGGAAGACAAGAAACCCAUAAUGGAGUAUUCAUUGUAACAUUUCGUUCCAACUGAUAUUUAAUUUGGUCCUUGAAAUGGUCAGAACGUGACUAAGUGUUUUGGAAAAGUCUUUAAUCAGUUUUAAAUGGUUCGAGAAUCAAUUUAAAUAAAGAAUGAUUAAAUGAAAAGUCAUAAUAAUUUGGGAUGAUUCAAAACGUACCACAUAUAAAUAUAAAAUAUGAACCUUAAUUCCAAAAAUCAUGAAUGUUUGUUGGGGGGGUGGAAAGAAAUACUUUUUGGUUGUUGUAAAUUGCAAUGGUGCAAUGGUGAGGGUGACUCCACCAUAAUCUUUUCAAUCAACCAAAUGGCUAAAAAUGUAGGGUUUAUAAAUUAGGGCAGACGAAAAUGUUCAUUAGCCAUUAACUAUUGUCUGCCCAAUAUUGUGGGUGGGAUUCAUCAUACAUUAUCAAAAUCUCCACCAUCAAUUCCACUCUCCAGUAGCCACUAUAAUUUGUAGCAUUUCAUUGGAAUGGCAAAACUUUUGCAUUAAAACAACACAAAACUUUUUUAUCUAACCAUAAAGUCGGUGGUGACUAUUCAAUUCUCGUCGCGAGACUUGGUUUAUAAUCAUUUGUUUACUGCUUGGUGUAAGCAUUUUUGUAAAAAAAGAGUAUAUAAAUAGUCAACUCUAUGUUUCAGAAAACUUAUAUAUAAAGUAUCAAAAAAAUUAAUGUAUGUUUCAUCUAAGUUUAACUCGCCAAGAGUUGAAAAACGAAUACAUGUCUGGUAUCAAACGGAUAUUCAACCUUGUACUUACCUACUCUGAUCCCCUAUUCUGUCUCAUUCAUGUAUCUAUAACUUCGUUAAUGAUGAAAUAUGAGAAGUCUCGUUAUUUCCAAAAUACCUAGAUAAAUAUGUCACGUGUGAAGAACUCAAUUCAUAAUCGUAUUGCAUUAAAUACACAAGGACCCUCAUUUUCCAUCCAAAUUCGAAAUCAUAUACGGUCUCGAAAGAGUAACAUAAGUACUCAAACCCAUCAAUUGUGGUGGGGGCAUGCAUGUAUAUAUGUAGCUUCAAACCCAAGGUUGGUGAGUAGUAAAAUGGAAUCCACAAUCAUGAAACACUACUUACUAUUACUUUAGUAUGCCAAUAGGAAGAGAGACCAUUUUAAUCGAGUUAUCCAUCAAUCAAAAACCACCCACCCCACCACCACACUGCACUACUCCAUUAGCAUUGGCUAGCAUGUUCUGCACCAAACAAACCCCACUUCUUCAUGUGCUGUCCGCCCUGCAAUUCACUUAAACAACACUCCUCAAUGCUCUUAUGUAGACUGUCCCACAGACCAAAUCUUAUCAUGUAUUUUGCACUACUCCAGAAACCGUCUUAAUAAUGAACCUUGGAAGUUAGUGUUUUUUUAUAUGUGAAAUGAGAGCUAAACCAGAUAAAUAAACAACUAUGAAGCAUAGAAGUACCGUGGGAUGCAUCCGAAGGUGUAAAAAUGUAUAUAUAGGGUCAACCGUCACUUGCACGUUUUCUCAUGCCAACGGGCUUUUCUCAGGCCUGAAGAUCGAAUCGGUUGGCCGAUGCUCAUCAAACUUCUAUAUAUAUGGGUUCUCAUUACAAAAAAAAACAAAUAUAUGGUUACGAACGGAGUGGCGACUCCAACGAAUAAAGAGCAGUUAAUCGCCAUGGAUUUUGUUCGAUAAAAACAAAAAUCGUUAUUAUCAUCCUUUAUGUGGUUGGUGGGGAAGCUAGCCAAAAAAGAAAGAUGCCCACUCUUACCAUAAUGGGACAUCAAUCAUUUUGACUAGUGAGUAAACCCUAAGUCCCUAGCUAUCAACUCUUUUUUGUUGGAAUUGUUCCUAUAAGAGACUUCCACAUUCCUUAAUUUAUUUCCCAUCCUAUGGUUUAUCCAAAAUUUGAAGGCAGAAUGAUCCACAUCGGGAUAUCUUGUAUGUUGGCUGUUCUAGCCUUCAUAGCAACCAGCACAAAUGCAUCAAGUGAGAGACAAACAUAUGUAAUUCAUAUGGACAAAACCAAGAUCCCUUCAUCCCAAUGGUACUAUCAAUCACUGCUCGAUUCGGUCACCGAAGCUCAAACACAAGACGACGAGGAAGGACAACAUCACCAUCAUCAAGGCAUGUCAACUCCCCCAACCCUUCUCUAUGCGUAUGAUACGGUCGUCUCAGGAUUCUCCGCAAAGCUCUCCGCCACAGAGCUUGAAGCCCUGAGCCAAACGAGCGGAUUCCUCUCCGCGAUUCCUGACGAAAUGUUGACCCUCCACACCACACAUUCCCCGCAAUUCCUCGGCCUGGAGCAAGGCCGAGGACUCUGGAGCGCUCCGAGCUUAGCCUCAGAUGUGAUCAUUGGGAUUCUCGACACCGGGAUUUGGCCUGAACACCCGAGCUUCCAUGACAAGGACGUACCGUCGCAAUCAAUGCCGUCCAAUUGGAAAGGCGGCCAGUGCGAAACCGGUACAAAAUUCUCCCCCACAAAUUGCAACAACAAGCUCAUCGGUGCUAUGUCCUUCUACAAGGGCUACGAAUCUGCAGCUGGAGCCAUCAACGAGACUGUCGACUUCCGGUCUCCUCGUGACUCCAACGGCCAUGGGACCCACACUGCUUCCACAGCAGCGGGCGGCCUCGUGGCCGGUGCGAAUUUCCUGGGGCUGGCCAACGGGUCUGCCGCCGGGAUGAAGUACACAGCAAGAAUUGCGGUUUACAAAGUGUGCUGGUCACUUGGUUGUACGAACUCUGACAUUCUCGCGGCCAUGGAACAGGCAGUGAAAGAUGGUGUGGAUGUUCUGUCGCUUUCGUUAGGAGGGUCGCCGAAGCCCUAUCACAGUGACAACGUGGCGAUCGCCUCGUUUGGUGCGGUUCAGAAUGGAGUCUUUGUGGCCUGCUCGGCAGGGAAUUCGGGACCGUCCAGCUCGACGGUCUCGAAUACCGCUCCUUGGAUCAUGACCGUUGCUGCUAGCUACACGGAUCGCGAAUUCCCGACUAGUAUUCAUCUUGGAAAUGGCGAAAUCUAUGAAGGGUCUUCUUUGUACUAUGGUAAACCCACCAAGCAAUUGCCAAUUGCAUAUGCUCAAGCAGCAGGUAUUGGUAUAUUAAUUCUGCCAAGUCAAAUUUCAAUUUUCGAUUAACUAUCCUAAAUCGAUCAGUUAAUCAAUUUUAACUCUUAACCAUACCCAAAUGUUAGGUGGAAAGCAACAGGGAGCCAACUACUGCAUCAACGGCUCAUUAAACAAGAAGCUAGUAAAGGGCAAGAUAGUAAUCUGCGACAGAGGAAUCAACGGCAGAGCCCAAAAGGGUCAGAUCGUGAAAUCAGCGGGAGGAGCUGGAAUGAUACUCGUCAACGGCGAAAACGCCGGCGAAGAACGCUUCGCCGACCCACAUAUUCUACCGGCGACUUCAUUAGGAGCCACAGCCGGAAAAUCCCUAAAAAAAUACAUAACCACAUCAAACAAACCAACAGCUUCAAUCACCUUCAAGGGAACAAGCUACGGCUCCACCGCACCUGCAAUGGCAGCAUUCUCGUCCAGAGGACCCAGCUCCGUCGGCCCGGAAAUAAUCAAGCCAGACAUUACCGCACCAGGGGUCAACAUCUUGGCCGCCUGGCCUCCCGGAGUCAGCCCGACCAUGCUCCAAACCGACAAGAGAUCCGUCCUCUUCAACAUCAUAUCGGGAACCUCAAUGUCGUGUCCACACAUUAGCGGAAUCGCCGCUUUGCUGAAAUCCGUCCACAAGGAUUGGUCCCCGGCGGCGAUCAAAUCGGCGAUGAUGACGACCGCUUACGUUCUAGACAAAAAGAACAAUCCCAUUACUGAUUUCGGAGCUUCUUCUUCCCCUCCCGCAACCGCUUUCGCGUUCGGGUCGGGUCAUGUGGACCCGGAAAGAGCGGCGGAUCCGGGGCUGAUCUACGAUAUUUCAACGGAGGAUUAUCUCAAUCAUCUCUGUAGCUUGAACUAUACCUCUGCGCAGAUAUCCGCAGUGAUGUCCGGGAAGAGUUUCAAUUGUUCUUCGAGUGAUCCGGAUCGAGCAGCUGAAGAUCUGAAUUACCCUUCUUUUGCUGUGGGUUUCAAAAGGGGUGGAUCGAGAAAUCAGAGUUUGAAGUUCAAGAGAACGGUGACGAACGUAGGGAAGAGCGGUAGGUACGAGGUAAAGGUGGAGGAACCGAUUGGAGCUUCGGUGAAUGUGGAGCCGAAGGUUCUGGAGUUUGUGAAGCCGGGAGAGAAGUUGAGUUAUGAAGUGGAAUUCGUUGCGGGCGGUGAUGAUGGCUCUGGUUCGGGUACGUCGUCGUUUGGGAGAGUUGUUUGGUUGUCGGGGAAAUACUCUGUUCGGAGUCCGAUUGCAGUCACUUGGGUACAAUAGGUAACUUGGAUGAUAGAGAAGUUUGAGUAACCAACUCGGAAAGUAGAAUAAUUAACGGCGCUAAACUUUUCAGUGAUCCGGCGUUAAAAAAUUUCGAUGAAAUCAAGCGUAAUUUAUCGAAAAUUUAUAUCCAACGUCAUGCAAGUUGACGUGACUAAAUAAAAUUAGAUAAAUGAGAUGAACGAACAACCGUUUACUCCUCUCAGUCACUAUCGACAAAUAAAGAUACUUACAUAUGCUAAAAAUUAGUAGGUAUAUACGAAAAAUAAAAUCCAAAAUGCAUAUAUUACAUUGUGAUGAAAUAAAAAACCAUAAAGAAAGACUCAAUACAUACAGUAGUAUACACGAAAGGCUAAUUAUAUGAAACUUGCAAUAUAUCAGAGGCUCUCACACAUCCUUAUCGAGCAAUAACUCCCUUGUUGCUAGUAACCACUAACCAUUAGAGCUUAGUGAGUGAGAUGGUUAGAUUGGCGUAAGUAAAUUUAUAGCCGGAGGUGAUCCGCUCCGAGACUAUUAUGCCAUACCGUUGGAAUGCUUCGUCGAUGAUUUCCAUCCGGAGAUCCAAAUGGCAGGCCAACAAUGGCUCUACCACUGCCCUCAUACAUUUUGCAAUGUCAGAUCCAGAGUCUUUUAAGGAUUCUGGAAGGUUUGCUUCACCUUCGUAAGGAUCCCAGCUCAUUUCCUUGUCCUCCAAGCAAUCUAUAGUGAAGGAGCUCUGUUUCUGAACUUCGGCUUCAACUUCCAUCGGAGAUGCCAAAUAAGCUGGUAUAUUGAACGAAGCCAACUUUUCUGUGUCUAUCAAACCCUGAUGAACAAUACCAUGCAAAACCAUAUGAUAUUCAAAAGAAUUUAAUUUUUGUUUUUCAGACUAGAUCUCUCGGUCAGUAAAAGAUAAUUUCGUACCUCAGAUGCCAUUUCGUUAAGAGCAAUGCACAAGGGAUCCAAGAUGUACAAACACCUCGAACAGUCGUCAUUCCUCCUGCCAGGAAAUGUCAACACCGUUUUCCCUCCAGAGACCAACUCCAAAGCUCGACACCUCAAGAACUCGGCGAAAUCCUUCCUAAAUUGCCCCGAGUACAAAUCAAACACGCCACGAGAGCUGCUGAUGCCAUAUGAAACAUUCCCUUUGUUCAGCUCAACAAGUCCAUCAGGAACCUGAGAAAGCCAAUGCAGACUGUAGGAAGAGAAGACAAAGUGAAGACUUUUCGUCGGGAACAAUCUCCCGUAGAAAGAACCAGGGACUCCGUUGACGAAAAUAGAAAAUUCACCAGCCUCCACCGUUAGUUCUUCCUUCAUUUGUUUCUUGAAUUUUGGCACAGAGGUGAAGAUGCUAUUAAAGUCGUUUCCGGGGAGGUCGUUCAGGAAAACCUGAAACUCUUUAGGAGGUUCUCGGCCUAGGUUUCUCGAAAUCCUGACGACAGACUUAACAAGCUCCGACACAGUGAAGAAAGUGUUGGGUCCUGAAGCACAUCCCAAAUCCGCAAUGGACAAACUUCCUUUCGGGAAGCUUGAGGUGCCGAGUACUAGUCCCGUAAUCGCCUCCUCUGUUAUUUGCCGAGUCAUUGAUAUGGCCUUUUUCUGCCAAGUUACACAACACAAAAUUUUUACUUAGAUGUCAACCCUAAGAUAUCGACAUCCCCGUGUCGAAAAGUAGAGCUGGCUGAGUGCACUUUUGUUGCAGAAAUUUGACUCUUUAAACUAAAGAGCACCCAACAAUGACAUCAAUAUCUGGUAACCAACAACUUCCGAGAUCGGAGUAAUGCUUCAAGGCGGUACGGAGUGCACCCACCAUAUAAGUGUAAGGCAAACAACGUACCUGAAGGAAGGAGUUGGUAGCGUAGCUUGUCUCGCCAGUUCCGCUAUUCAUACGUAACAUCUCAUCUACCUUCAUGAUCUCUGCUUUCUGAGAAUUCCUCUGUGAUUUUUUGUCUCUGUCUAUCUGGCCUCUGCAUCUCUCUGCUUUAUAUUUAUUUCCAGAGUGUUACGUGUUUCACCAUGGACCAGAUACUGAUCUUGGCAUUUGUUUCUGUUUUAGGUAUGUCCCAUACACUUUAGUCCUUUGCCAAUAAUAGUUACACGUUGGCCAUAUCAAAUUAAAUUCUCACGUUUUUUUGGCAAUAUCCACCUACCACCGAUAGUUGGACGGUUAGGUUGAUUAGGGUGUUAGAUGAUGUGUUUUCUCUCCCUAGUUUUUGGUAGUCUUCGGGGCGGUUAUUUGUAAUGCGUAUAACAAAAGAAUCUUAUGAAAGUAUAACGGAUGAUGUGGAUUCGGGCCUCAAACCUCUAGAUAGUCCGUCUGUGAUUAUGUCAUUAGAGUAAUUUUAAUAGAACAAUCUUAGGAAAGUAUUUAGGUAGCCAUGAAAGUAACGGAGAUGUACUUAAAGGUGUAUGAUCGGCGAUAGACAUAUAGCUCAGGGAAGCGUAUAGUUCUAGGAAUUUGAGGUCGAAAUGUAUGAGGUCGAAAUGUAUGAGGUCUCAUAAAUACAUGCAGUGCCUACAUUGCUUUUUACAGUCAUCUUUAGAUAUUGGUUCGUUUUGCCUGUUGUUGAUGGUGAUAUGUCAUGAUUUGAUUAGACCGUGGUUCGAGCCCUAUUGAAACGUUUUAGGUCAUGUCGGUGGAAUAGAACUGUUUGAGGCCAGAACUGAGACAAUCACGCUCUAAGCUAAUGACCUCCUAUGCUUAUAGACAUUGUGUCGAUAGAUCUAAAUUGUUAAAAAGUUUUUUUUUUCUUAGAGAAUGCAGCAUAUCACUAAAAAACAGUCGGUCUCAACAAGCCUCUUGGGCAACAAGACCAGCAAUACAAAGAGGUGAACAAUCAACCCAAACAUGUUCAUAUGAAACCGGUGAAAUGAAGUGUGUCAAGAGAUGAGCAGCUGAAUUUGCUUCCCUAAAAGUGAAAACCCAAUCCCGAACGUCCGUCAUCAUCUCCAACUUGUAGAUGUCCUCCAGGAUAUUACCUAGCUCCGACCUGUAAACAUCCUUCUUCCUUGAGGACUCAAUAAUCUUCUUGCAGUUGGAUUCAACAAUCAGUGGUUUGAUCCUUCUAUCCACAGCCUGUCGAAACCCAAGAAUUAAAGCUCUUCCUUGUGCAAUUUCCGUCGGCCAUCGGACCUCUUCACACUUAGAAAUAGCAAGAACAACCUUCCCUUGCCAAUCACGGAUAAUACAACCAAGUCCGAUAUUACCUUGACGAUUAACACCUGCAUUUUGUGUGCAGCUUGAAAACACCCACCCUAGGCUUCUUCCAACUGUCAUUGCGUCUUCUUUUACGAUUCUCCCGACUCUGUUCCUGUCCUUGCACUUCAAUGAAAUCAUGGAUAAAAGUUGCAGCUUUCAGAAAGACAUCCCAAUCUUGUAAUAUUUACUUUCAUCUCCAAUAAUUUAAAAAGUGAUCAAUCUUUUACAUAUUACUUUCUAUCUCCAAUAAUUACAAAAAUAAGCCACCAACAAGUCACAUCCAAUAAAAUAAUUAAUCAAUUAACUAUAAAAUUAAUUAGCUUUCAAAUCAAUUGGAUGUAAUAAAAUUUAAUUAAAUCAUUUUUAUUUGUUAAUGUAAGGGCUAUGUUAGAGUUGUCAAUGGGUCGGAUAUGGAGCGGAUACCCUCUAUCUGUUGCCCGUUAAUUAUGCCCACGAGUUUUACCCGUAUCCGACCCAUUAAGCUUAAUGGGUAAAAUAUUAUUACCAAACCCAUUUUGGUAUGGAUUUCGAAUAAACCCGUGAAUGUCGGAUUUUUCCAAUAACAAGUAAGAACCUGAAAAUUUCAUUAAACUCAAAUUAAAAUUUGAAAUAUAAGAAAUACUCAACAAGACAAUAAAUAUCAUUCCAGUGUUAAGAACAUUAACCCAGAAACGUAAACAUGAACCUGUGUGGUAGCUCAGACUUCAGAAAUGAACAUCCAGAACAUAAAACUUCAGAAAUUAAAAUGUGGUUGUUCAGACUUCAGACUUCAGACUUCGAAAUGAAAAAUGAAAAUCAAUCAAUAAACUAAUAGAACCCAAAAAUUUUAGUCUUCCUUUAAGAGUGAUCAAUCAUCAGCAAUUCAAUAGCAUUCAUCACUCAUCAAAAGUCUAUAUCUGCAAAAAUAAUUAGUGAAGUAUUGUGUAUCAGCAACAAUCAGCAACAAUCCAUAUACGAUGCAUAAACAUUUACGGUGGAGCAGUUGCCAGUUUCAAGGUUUGGAACAGCUGCAACAUCAUCUCCAUCCCCUUGCAGUUGAUGAGUUGUACCUUCUCCAUCUGUUAUAUAGUUAGAAUUAGUGUAAAAGUAUAUAAACAACAAUAGAGAUAGUAAAGAAACCAACAAUGUAAAGACUAACUCACCAGAUGCAUCUUCAACUGUCGAAUCCUUCAUUGCCAUGGUUGAGAACACGCCUUCGAGUUGUUUCAUUUCCGCUUCAGUUAGAACUACAGAAACUUCAGAAAUCAGAACAUAAACUAAAAAAACUUGAAGAACAUAAUUACAUCAUUAAUAAUAAUACCUGCAUGCAUAUCAUUUUGCAUCCAGCUCCCGCAACACAUCAUUGCCUCGACUGUUGAAGGUUGCAGCCUACUCCGAUGGGGAUCAAGAAGCCUCCCACCGGAACUACAGGCUGAUUCCGAUGCAACAGAGAUUAUCAGUACGGCUAGUAAAUCCCUUGCAAUGCAUUGCAAAAUGGGAUACUUCACACCACCAAUUUUUCACCACCCAAGCAAAUCAAAUUUAGGUGUCCUAGGAUGUAACUCCUCAACUAGAUAGUAAUCCAAUUCAGUGGUUAAUAAAGAAGGUCUGGAUUUCUUUCUUUGGCUUAUAAACCGUCAAAAUCGAUAUCGAUGGCAGAAGAAUUUGGAACCGAAUUGCUUGAAGAACCAAUAUUUUGGCUGAUUUUCAUUGGUACUCAAGUACCAAAUCAGAAACUACAGAUUUCACCCUUUCACCAACCAGUUCAGUAUUAAGACUCCAAAUUUCACAGCAUAAAAUUCUACCAAUGCCAACUUAAACCUCGAAUUCAAGACAAUAGUAACAACCAAAAGCAAAUGAAUAUCAUCCCAAUACUUAGCAAACUCAUUCCACAUUUUCUCAGCCAUUGAAACAAUCUUCGAAUCUGAAUCAACCAACCAUUCCAGCAUGCUCAAUCUCAAUUUACAAACUUUCAGAAACAACUGAUUGGCAAUAGGGUAUUUAGAACUAGACAAAACCUCAGUAAUCUCUUUGAAAACAAUAAAUUUUUUACAGACAACUACAGCAAAAUUCCAAUGAUUGUUCGUAGGGAGAGAGUUGUACCGAGAUUCUCUUUGUUUUAAUCUAACAAACACAUUCUUAUAUGGGAUAGCAACAGAAAGCAUGUUGUACGUAGAGUUCCAACGAGUGGGACAGUCAAGCACCAGUUUGGUUGAAACAUUGAGUUUUAAUUGUUGAGCAGUCUCGUGAAAGUAUUCAACUCUCCUAGGUGUGCAUGUCCAAAAAACCACACUCUCUCUUAUCUUUUCAAUCCCAUCUUUUAGAACGUCCAGUCCAUCCCUCACAAUCAGAUUAAGGGUUUGGGCAAAACACCUCAUAUGCAAAAGAGCACCAUCCUUAAUAAAAUUGAAAAGUAGAAGCCUCUGUCUCACUAGAUUGAUUAUGGAAUCAUUGAUAGUACAAUUGUCAAGCAUAAUUGUUGACAAAGUACUAUCAAUGUUCCAAUCAAGAAGACAUUGAAAGAGUCUUCCAGCCAAUCUCUCAUUAGUGUGAGGGGCAGGGACGAUCAGAAAUCUAAUUAAAUGACUUCUAAGUCCCAAUUGUUGUCUAUGUAGUGGGCAGUCACAGCCACGUAACCUCUUUUCUAAUUUGUGACAGUCUACAUAUCAAUGGUUACAACUACCCUCCCUUUAUUUUCAUCAAUGACUUGUUAAAUUUUCGACCUCUCAACCCCAUAGAGAGAAAUGAUGUCCUUCUUAAUCGUAUUCCUAUUUGGGACUUUAAAGAGAGUGUUUAGGGUACACCAAAACCUUUUGAAGUAAAGGUGGUCAACUAUUGAAAGAGGAUACUUAUGCAUUAAGAUCAUGAUGCAGAGUUCUUUCGUAGAGACCUCAUUGCUAAACUAAUUGGCACUCACCUUAGUUUUACCCUUAACUUUGUAGUUAGGGCCUAGGAUUCUCUGACUACCAUCAUGGAUUUAUUUGUGAACGCAACGAUUCCUAUGAGUCCGUAAAUGAGAAGUACCAUUAGUGGACUUCCCAACCAAAGCCUUCUUACAGUAGUUGCAUUUGGCUUUCAAACUUCCAUGAAUUAACAGUCUGAUAAAGUGAGGUCAAACAUCUGAUUUUAAGGGCCUAGUUUAACCUAAGGGAGGACCGGCAACAUCAUUUUCAGGUUGGUUUUCAGGAUUAGCAAGGAAAGGGAGUGGUGGUGGACCAUUGUUAUUCUGAACUCGUAUAUUUUGAAGAUGUUCAGGUGUCAUCUGAUUGAGAAAACAACAAUGUUUUGAAAUGAGAUCACAAGACAAAAAAGCAGAUAAGAGAGAUUAUAAUAUGAAUUCAAAAUUAUGUAUAAGAGUUCAAGUAUUUAACAGUUACAUUCAUUGAAGAAGGUAGACAGAGAUUAAGAAGAUAAAUAAAGGAUUAGAGACGGAAGGUAGAAUUAUUAUAGAAGACCAAAUUUAUGUAUAAUAGUUUAUUAGUUUUAGAGUUUUAAAAGAUUCAUUUUCAGAUUUAAGAUUCAGAGGUAGAGGUUAAGGAUUUCAUAUUGAAUUGGAGAAGAAUUAUAUUGAAUUGGAGGAGAAUUAAGAUUGAAGAUUGAAAUAGAGAUUUAUGUAAUCUGAAACUACUCCUAAAAUCACUAGUCAAUUCUGUAAUGAUGUUUGAAUUCCCAUAACAAACAGUCAAACAGGAUUCGAUCAUCAUUAUAGAAGACAAGCUGAUUUCAGAAUUAACUACAGAGUUUAAGAGUUAAUAGUUUCAUACUUUCAUUCAAUAAAAUAGACAGAUCAAGGAUACGAAUUAAGAUAGAUAUGAGUUUUCAUUGGAUAAGAAUUAAGAUAGAUAGAUACUCCGAAUUCACAAAGUAGAGACUAGAGAUUUAUUUAAUUUUUAGCUAAUCAUGAAAUCACUAGUCACUUCUGUAAUGAUGAUUGAAUCUCAUAACAAUAAGUCAAACAGAAUUCAAUCAAGAGAAGAUAAUCUGAAACUUAAUCUUUUAUACCAUCUCAAUACUACGUUGUUUUACUAACAUAUCACAUAUGGGUCGGAUAUGUUAAUAUAUGUAUAUGCCCAUCACUCAAAACACGCUGAUCGUAGGCAUACCCGAAACCGGUGACUAUCCGUGGGCCAUAGGCUUUCAGACUGUUUUUACGGACGAACUCCAAUGGGCACCCUAAACCCAUAAACUGGCGGCCAAAUCUAGCCUAUGUAAGUCUAAUCCAAUAAAAACAAAAUAUCAAUACAAAACAAAACAAAACAAAAAACGAGUUGGUAAACAUUAAGUACAGUUCAUUUGCUAAAUUUCCACUUUAGUCCGCAGACUCUACUAUUUUUUAUAAAUUAAUCACCUAAACUUUUAUAUUUUACACAUCAAUCACUAUAUUAUUCCAACUUAGACACGUACAUAAAGAUCUAAAUCCAAAAUCCAAAGACAAAAUGCAUACCAAAUCCAAUACAAACAGUAGUGUUUAGGGAAUGUCACAUUCCUUGUUGCUAGUAUCCAUUAGAGCCUCGUGAGUGACACAAUUACGUUGGCGUACCCAGUUUUAUAAUCAUAGACCAUCCGCUCAUAAACAAUUACGCCAUACCGUCGGAAUGCCUCAUCGACAAUUUGCGUCCGAAGAUCCAAAAGGCGGACCAACAACGGCUCUAGCACUGCCCUCAUAUACUCUGCCACGUGAGAACCCGAGUCUUUCAAGGUUUCUGGAAGAUUGGCUUCACCUUCGUAGGGAUCCCAGCUCGUUUCCUUAACCUCCAGCCGAUCUAUGGUGAAGGAGCCCUGUUUAUGAACUUCGGUCUCAACUUCCAUCGGAGACGGCAUGUAAAUGGGUAGAUUGAACGAUCCCAACCUUUCCAUGUCUAUUAAACCCUGAUGAGCAAUAGCAUAUCAUAGUUCACGGGUUAGAGUGAGUUGAGUAAUCUUUCGACUAGUUAGCAAGUCGUUAUUUACGAAAAUGGAUAGACGAUUUUGAAAUAUUGUAAUUAAGAGUUUAGAAAGACCAAUAUCAUACUCCAUACCUCAGAUGCCAUUUGGUUAAGUACAAUAGACAUGAGCUCCAAAAUAUAGCAACACCUGGAGUUGUCGUCAUUCCUCCUCCCCAGAAAUGUCAACACCAUUUUCCCACCAGGGACCAACUCCAGAGCUCGACAGCUCAAGAACGCCGCGAAGUCCUUCCGAAAUUGCCCCGAAUACAAAUCAAACACGCCACGAGGGCCGCUGCUACCAUAUGAAACAUUCCCUUUGUUCAGCUCAACAAGUCCAUCAGGAACCUGAGAGAGCCAAUGCAGGCCGUAGGAAGAGUGAACAAAGUGAAGACUCUCCGCACGGAACAGCCUUCCGUAGAAGGAACCGGGGACUCCGUUGAUGAACAUAGAAAACUCACCAGCCGCCAUUAGUUCUUCCUUCAUUUGUUUCUUGAAAUUUGGCAUAGAGGUGAAGAUGCUGUUAAAGUCGUUUCCAGGAAGGUCAUUCAGGAAAACCUGAAACUCUUCAGGUGGUUCUCGGCCUAUGUCUUUCGAAAUCCUGACGAAGGACUUGACAAGCACUGACACGGUGAAAAAAGUGUUGGGUCCUGAAGCACAUCCCAAAUCCGCAAUGGCUAGACUUCCUUUCGGGAAGGUUGAGCUGCAGAGUACCAGUUCUGUAAUCGCUUUCUCGGUUAUUGGCCUAGUCAUUGAUAUGGCCUUUUGCUGCCAUGUUACACAACACACAAAAUUUACUUAGUUGUCAACCCUAAGAUAUCCACAUCCCCGCAUCGAAGAGUAGAACCGGUUCAGUGCAUUUUUUAAUCAUAGCACAAGUUUGACUCAUUGAACUUAUAACACUGAAUCUGAUCAACAACGACAUCAAAACCUGGUUGCCAACAACUUUCGAGAUCGAAUCUAAAAUUGGUAAAUGAGUAAUGCCUACCUCCUGAAAUCGGUAAGGCGAAAAAUGUACCUGGAAGAAGGAGUUGGUAGCGUAACUUGUCUCGCCAGUUCCGCCAUUCAUAUGUAGCAUCUCAUCUACCUUCAUGAUCUCUGCUUCUGAGUCUGGCCUCUUGCAUCUCUCAGCUGCCUUUAUAUUAUUCUUCUCUUCUGCAUCAUUUCAUAUCUUUACGCUGUCAAAAUAAUAAUAAAAAAAUCCAAGUGCUACGUGUUUCACCAUGGACCAGACACUGAUUGUGGUCUUUGUAUCUGUUUUAGGUAAUGUCCCACACUUGCCAAUAAUAGUUGCUGGCCCAUCAACAUCUUUCCCUCAAUCAAACUAAUUUCUCAUGUUUAUCACGUACAUUGCCACCCACCUUCCACCCAUCCACCAAUAGGUCAGGUUACUUUGAGUAAGAUGAUGCCUUCUUCUUUGUUUGUAUUUGGGAGUCUUCGAAGAGGAUUUCUCCCGAGGCGCCGUGUAAGAGAAGAAAUACGAGAUGUGUCUAGAGGCGUAUGACCGGUCGUUAGACAUGUAUAGCUUGGUAAGCGUAUAGUUCUAGUUGUGUGGGUAGAGCUGUCAAUUUUGGUUAAUUCAGUAUAAUCAAACCAAUUCAUUCAUAACAUUUAUUAACCAUAGAAAUAAAUCAUUAAUUAAAUUAAAAUCAUAAUCAAACUAACCAUUACUAAUUUUAUUCGGUUAGACGUGAGUUUGACGGGACAUGAUGGUUCAAGCCCUCCCAUAUCGAAAAGUGAAGCGCAGGAUGCGGUGUAUAAGUGUGAGAGAAACAAUGUAUAUACAUGGAGUUCAUAGCGUAGCUGGGAUCUCCAGUGCCGCCAUUCAUAUGAAGCACCUCGUCCGCCUUCAUGACUUCCCACCUCUCUGUUUUCCGUCCUCUCUGUCGUCGACCAAGCUCUAGCAUCUCUCUGCCUUUCAGUCUGCCUCAUUCGUCAUUAUGUUACAAAGAUAAUGUGAUCGCCCAUUGGGAAUGGUGCCACUCACGACUCAUAUUUGGACGUUACAGUACCUUAAUUAUGAGGGGAAAAACAAGUACACCGGCAAUGAGAUUCAAGUUUACGAUAAGUUUAAAAAUUACAUUUGGCGAAAUUCAUACACUACGCAAAAAUUCUGAUUUUGAAAAUCUAACAUAAAAUUUCGUCACAGUUCGCCAACCUCUGAUUCCGGCAUUAUAUUAGCGGCGGAGGAGCUUUUGUUUCAGAGGUUAAUGGCGGAGCUUGGAUGACACUAUUCUCAUCUAUUUUUUUUAGAAACCUGUGCCACCUGAAUUCUGAGUCUGUACAAAGUCAUCAGUGGGCCAACUUUUGGCACAACCACUAAACUUUUAUUUAUGUCCAAAAUGAUCAUGUAUAUAAUGAACAAGCACUAAAAAACCCACUAAACCUGAGCAUCCGUUAUAUUUAGUUAGUGAGAUGCUGAUAGAAACGUGUUUAGUUUUUAUCAUAGUCAUCCAUUUGGACACAAUGAAGCAAUAUCUGUCGAAAACCUCGUCGAUGACUUCUCUCGUGGAACCAAACUGCCGAACCAAGAGUGGUUCGACCAUGGGCCUAAGGUACUUGGACACGAUGUAGCCGACGUCUUUCAUUGCUUCUGGGAUGUCCGAUUCCUCCUCCCCUUCGUACGGAUUCCAAUUCGCUUCCUUAACCAUUAUGCGGUCAAUGGUGAAGCAGUCUUGUUCCUGGGGUUCACCUUCGAUUUCUGUUAUUGAUGGAAAGUAAUUUGGGAUAUUAAACGAGUUCAGUCUCUCCAUGUCUAUUAAUCCCUGAAAGAACAUACAGAAACAUAUAUUGAUAUCUAAAAUGUUGAAAGUAAAGUACCUUGGGUCAACGAUCUACGUAAAUGGGCUAAUAAAUAAAAAUACAGUGUCGUUAGAUUUGUUAAUGAAUAAUAUAAAGACCAAUCUGAAUCAUCUUCAAACAAUUCGAGUUAUUAAGAUACAACAGUUCAUGACAUGGUAUCACAACGUUAAAGACUAAAAGGUCUCUGUUUUGAAUAUCGAUAGCUCCCAGUCUGUGCACGUAACUUAUCAAAAUUUGACAAAUCUCAACUCUUCCGAGAGCUUCCAAUAAGGGAGUGUGUUAAUAAAUAAUACAAAUAUUAAUUUAAAUUCUCUAUCAACAACUCGAAUUAUUAAGAUGCAACAUGCUUAACAUCAAAUGUGCUUAGUGAGUGAGAUCCAUCUCGAAACAAUGACGUGAUAUCCGUCGAAAGCCUCGUCAAUGACUUCCCUCAUGGAACCAAACUUUUGAACCAAGGGUGGUUCGACCAUCGCCCUCAUGUACUUAAUUGGCCACCUGCAGCCUCCGUCUUUCAUGGCAUCUGCGAGGUUUAAUUCCUCACCUUCGUAUGGAUUCCAGCUCGCUCCGGUAGCCCUUGUGCAAUGAUGUCAAUUGUGAAGGAGCCUUGUUUCUGGAUUUCAGCUUCGAAUCUUUUAGUGAUGGAUAGUAAUUUAGAAAGCUGAAUGUGUCUAGUCUUUACAUGUGUCUAUUAAUCCCUGAAAGAGCGAGCAGAGAUCAACAUGUGUCUAUUAAUCUUUUCGUGAUGGAUAGUGAUUUAGAAGGCUGAAGAGGGAACUCCCUACUCUGCGGAGUCUCAGUAAGGGAGAUUCAUCCCAAAUUCACUAUUACUGGUCACCGAGAAGAGUACGGGGAUUAAUAAGAGAAUCCUGAUACAUAUCCAUGAAGACAACAGAGCAAUCAAUCAACACAGAGGAACUGAAUCAACAAGAAUUAGAGAGAAAUAAUAUUCCCCGAUUUGAGCCACGACAGAAGCUCCAAUCCGUAAUCCACCAUCCGUCGGUGAAGACCCUAGUAGUCUUGAGAGGAUUCCCAUAUCCAGUUGAGAGAGAGAGAGAGCAGAGAGGUGAGAGUGGAGAGAGUGCAACUUCGAAGGAUCACGUCAGCACCUCUUAGAAUUUAUACUAGGGCUCCCAAGUCCAAACGCGUCGUUUCAUUAAGCGCUGAGAAGGGUUGACCGUCAUAACCGGUCUGACACAAUCGGCUCAAGUAUAACCCAAACUCGGAUUUGAUUUAAGGAUCAAAAACUUAACAAAUGCCCUCCUGAUCCUUGUAUCACAGUCAGCUCUUGCUUCAGUGACUUAGUCAUAGUAGAUCAGGCUUCCUUGUCUCCUUUCAUCCUGACUUAGUUCAUGUCUCAAAUUCCUUUAUGGACAUGAAGAUGGUUCCUAUAAAACACAAAUUUGUCAGUAGAAACUAUCUUAGUACCAAAAUCAACUAGAUUCUCAGAUUCAAGGAUCUUGAUAACAGAGAGAUGUUGUUUUUCAACUUCAUCUCGAAUGAAAUGAAAGCGCACAUCAAUAUGAUUGGUUCACUCAAGAUAGACAGGGUGUUUGCAAACAUGCAGAGCACUCGGCUAUCUAUAUGCAGAACUAGAACAUACGAUUUACACUCAAUUUCAGACUGGAGACCUUUAAGCCAAAUGACUUCUUUACAAGCCUCAAUAGCAGCAAUAUAUUUUGCUUCUGUGGAAGACAGAGCAAUAAUAGAUUAUUGCUAAGACUUUCAAGAAAUAAAAUUUCCUGCCCAGGAGAAGACAAAACAAGUGGUUGAUUUUCUAGUAUCCCUGUUACCAGCAAAGUCAUAAUCAAUAUAAUAUAGCCAACAAGAUCAUUUCGAGAGGUAUGCUUAGAGUAAUCAAGACCAAAACGCUUAGUUCCAUUUAUGUAUUGAAGAUCAUGUUUCAUUGCCAUCCAGUGAUGUUCACUAGGAAUUCACAUGAAUUUGCUCAAGACACUAAUGGAGAAAGCCAGAUCGGGUCUAGUACAAGCAUGACAUACAUAACUGAUCCAACAACCACAUCAUAAGGAGCACAAGUCGUCUUCCCAUGUUCCUUUUGAGAGUUUGGACUUUGAUCUUUUGAAAAAUCCAAGUGAACUCUAAGGGAACAUAAGAGGACUUAGAAUUAGACAUAGCAAAACGAUCCAUGACUUUAUAAAAAUUGUCAGAUUGAGAUAAAUGAAUGCUCCUAUCUUUUUUAUUACGAGUGAUGCCAAUUCCUAAGAUCUUCUUAGCAGUCCCAAGGUCUUUCAUGUCAAAGUUCCUUUCAGAUAAUUUUUAAUGUAUGAUAUGAUAUGAAUGUAAGAGCUGAUUAACAAAAUAUCAUCAACAUACAGCAAGACAUGCAUGGAAGACUUGGAACCAACAUUUUUGUAAUAGAGACAAGGAUCAUACUUGCUACGACUAAAACCUAAACCUCUCAUACACGUAUCAAAUUUGAUAUUCCACUGCCUAGGGGAUUCUUUCAAACCAUAAAUCAAUUUUUUCAACAAACACAUGAUCAUGUUUCGAUUUAUCAACAAAUACCCUCAGGUUGCUUCAUGUACAUCGUUUCCCUGAGGUCACCAUUAAAAAAGCAGUUUUAACGUCCAUUUAUUUCACUUCCCAGCAUACACAGCAUCCAUAGCCAAUAAAAGUCUAAGAGUCUUAUAUUUCACAAUAGGGACAAAAAUAUCAUUGUAAUCGAUUCUUUUGUUCUGAAUGGAGAUAUGUGGCCCAUUGAAAACCAUAGCAUCAUCUCUACAUGGAGAAUUCUCGAGCUUCCGCCGUUGCCACCGAGUUUGUCCAUUUUCCGGUGCGACAGCCGACAUCGAGACUUUUUUUAGUCCAAAAGUCUAUCUGAAUUAUGAGAUGAACAUUUGAGCAAGGGUCUACGGUGUUCGACACGGUCAGUUAACUUUCUUUCUUUUUGAACUACUUCGUCGUGAUCAAUAUAUACAAGCCAAUUUCGGAAAUAAUACAGAACACUUGGUACUCUGAGACCAUACUAAAAGUAGUGGUGGUGGUUCUUUUAGUUGUUGUUCUGGUUAAUAAUCAGAUUUUGAUCGAACCAUUAAUUAUUAACCAAAUUGUAUUGUUAUGCCGCACAAUGGUUGACCAUAUAAUCAAAUUACCUGGGAGGAUUGGUUGUAAACCUUGCUCGAAUUGGCCGCUACCUUCCUCAAAGAAAAGUCUUCGUCCUCCUCGUAGGUAUUUGGCGCAAGCGCAACUACAAAGUUUGGAAUUCAUCAUCUAGGACAUCCACAGCACUUGUUCCGCUCAACAUUAAUCAGUUUGAAGAUUGGAGGCAUGCACAACAGCAUCAACACUCAAAUCCUACGCCCACAACCUAUUGUUCAGCACGACAUCCUCCAACGACCACCUGAAAAUCAACACAAAUUUUUCAACUUUCCCAAGCGCAAAGACUCUGCGGGUUGAGCCUCAUACUUCAUGACUUCACAGGACAGGUACUUGGUUAUCAAACUCGCACCAUCCCGUGACGACUUCAUCCGGUUGAAGGAGAGCUUUCUGCUAUUUUGUUCGCUAUGAAUUGGUCUCGUCUUUAGGGUCUCUCGAGAGUUACCGUUCAAACCGACUUUCAUGCAACUUGUACCGCAAUCCAAAACUGUCACGAUGACGUCACAGAGAAGGGUCAUCUCGCAAAUCUUUGUAGCCUUUUUCUCUCUUGUAACACCACUUAUGAGGUGGUUUUUGUUAGGAAAGUUGGAAAUCGAACAAUCCACGAGUUAGCUUUUCUCUCGCUUUAGCUUCACCCUUUUUAAAUAUAGCUACUCCCAACUAGUUAGGUGAUUCUAUAUCUUCCAUUUGCUACAUUGAGCAUUAAUGAAUUUCUAACACCUCCAAAACAAAACGUAGUUAUCAUAUCUAAGAGUGCAUGACCACAUCUAAUGAGUUCGACUGUUCGAGAGUUAGUCGGUAUGAAACAAGAACCCUAAAGACCUUCGAAUCAGACAAAAAUCAAAAUCAAAUCACUUGUAUAUAAUUCCAACCCUUCAUCAAGUUUCAAACUCUCCCCUACAAACUACGCUUAUGCAUAUAAAAUAUACAACAUCCAUCCUUCUAUGGCAGUUGCAACGAUUAUGACGUGUAAUUUUCUCAUUUGAACAUGAAACUAUCAUCGCUAGAAUGAUAUCCAUCAUGAACAUGCAGGGAGAGAAGCUCAUACUCCAUCCCCCCCUUCAAACUUCAAGAACCAGACAUGUAAGUGUAUCGGGUUUGAGCUCCACAAAUAAGCUCAACGAGUUUCCCUGCGCAGGGGAGAAACCAGUUACAGCCUGAACACAAAUCGCAAUACACAUGUUCAACUUUCCUUGCUAGUGAAAGGUUGAGACUUGAGAGCUCACCUGUCAGGACACCUACUAGAGGUACUGGCUCUAGUGUUUUCUCAGUCUUGUCAAGUCUCUCCCUGGAAAGUUAUAAACAAAAAAAAACCCCAAUUAUAACAAUAAAACAACUGGUGUAGACCAUUUUAGGUAAAAUGGUUUUACCUUGUAUACUUGCUGAAGAAGGGAUCCCUCAUCAGGUAAAAUGCCCAUAGCAAUUUCCGCCUUCUUAGCUGAUUCAAUCAUAUUAUCCAAGGGUAAAUGAUUGUGCGUGAUCAACAGCAUAUGCACUACAUGUCCAGCAUGAAAUGAAAUGAAUUGAGAAUUUCUAACCUCGUGCUUUUCGGAAUCGUUAAGAUGAAUCUGCUGAUCUCUUUCUCUAAACUGCAGUUUAGAUAGAGGUGUAACGAAGCCUACCCCGAUAACAUCAACAGCCAGAGAAACAAACCAAGGGACCCAUGAACGAACUCCGUACUUCCUGAUUAACAAUACAUAAAUCAGGGGUCUUGUGAUGAAGAGUGCCUCCCCUAGAACAAAUAGUGCCCCAGAAGCGCCUCUUUCGGACAAUAUCUUUGAAAGUGAUGGCACCUGAACCACUAGAGCUGUAAAAAGGCCAAAGAAUCACUAAAGGGAAUUCCAUCAAACUAGAAGUAAAUUUGGCUGUAAGCAGACCAGAAGAUUACCAGGGGGCUCGAUAAUAGAUUGUUGAUGAUGAACCCUGCGUAACCAAUCUGGCUCAGCUAAAGUCCGGGCAUUUUCUCGAAAUCUGCUCAAUGCAGACAAAGCCUUGCCUUGCCCAGUCCCUGGGCUUCUCCCAUUCAUAUUCGGAAACUGGCCAGGCUCGUUGUGGUUUCCAGGCUUGGAAGUUCUUGAGAGAUCUGUAGGAUUUUCAACAUUUGGUAUCUCUCCUCCUUGCAAAAGCAUCUUAUAUCCACUGUUCCGGAACAAUGCCAACCUAACUACCACCCUAUAGCAUAGUACUGUCAUGUCAUUGAUCAACAAUAUGUUGAGUAGCUUGUUCAAAAAGAAAAAGGGUCAAUGGUAAAUGCUGCUCACUUAGUGGCUUCUGUAAGAGCAAUGAAGUUCCACUUUUUAUCAUCACCAAAAUAUUGUUGUGAGGCAACUUCAACCAAUGUCUCCAGCUCCUUUAUCAUGGAUAUGCAUAGUGGAUAAGGAAAAGAUCGAGGCUUUACAGAGCCAGCAGCAUGUAUCUGACUUGGAGUUGUAUCGAUAAUAUGCUCAUUGAGAGCAGUGAUUAUACCCAGUACAGCAGUUACUGCAGAUGAGCAUACAGAUAUUUAAACAAAAAGGAUUCCAGAAUCUAAAUUCAACUGUUUGGAAUCCUUAGAGAUAUGCAUUGCCGUAGUGAUUCUCGCUAUAACUUCAAAGAAGUGAGCUCCUAAUGGAUUCUAAGCUACAAAGAAGUAUCCAAAAGUUUUACAAAACCUGCUUCUGGCCCAAUCUCUGACUCGGAAAACCUUUCAGGUAGCAGCCACGUUACUCCCUGCAACAAAGUUGAAACUUGAACAGUUAAAAUUGAAAAAUCAAACACUUUCAAGGUCUUAGCAGGUGAAAAAUCUAAGCUGCAAUUCUGCAAAGACAAAUUCUCUUCUCCCCCUCAUGAUCGAAAGAGUCUGAAGGAAGAACUCGUUUCUCAUACUUCGAAACUCUCACUCACCCUAAUGAUUCUAUCUAGGGCAUAGGAAUCCUUGUUCAUGAAUCGAAUUCCCAAAAAUUUCGUUGACUAGGCAAAUGGUAUAGCUCCAAAUUGAAUAACAGACAUGCUUACUAACAAUCUCUACAUCUGCAUUUUGGUUUCUCACAGAAGAAUUGUGCAAGUAACCAAUUAAAUUAGCUACCUCGGCCCAAAAAAUUGGAUUCAAAUUCAUCUACCAAUCAUAAACUAAACCCGGCACAAAACUAGGACAUGAACAAAUGCGCAGAAGCAAAAGUGUCAGCAAAAGGGAAAUCGUAGAGUCACUUCUUACAUUGGCGAGUGACUCCAACGAGUGAACAUACUCUUUAUUCAUCCGCACCCAUCUCUUAUACGACUCCAUAGCACAGUGGCCUUUUUCCUCUCACCCACCUCAAUCUCACUCCCAAUUCGGAGUGGCUCUCACCGAAUUCUCCGCCCCAGAUCGUCGAAAUUACAGGUAUUCGAGCAGAGAUCCAACAAGAGAAGGGUUGAUACGUAAUACUUGCUGUUUGAUCAUAUGGGGUCUGAAAUGGGAGAGUGAGAGUCCAUGUUUUAGCCGAGAGAGGUCGAAUCGAACUGAGAAAGAAAUUUGGAGAUCCUCAGUUUCCCCAAUUUUCGGGACGGGUGUACUAACUAGAGAUCAUAUCUAAGCCGUUGGAUUCAGAUAAUGAAUUGCGCCGUGGGAAGUGUGAUUGGA
RNAcentral lists this long non-coding RNA (92587 nucleotides) under Linum usitatissimum (flax). RNAcentral's name for it is "long non-coding RNA (LUSI_LNC007009)". Lineage: Eukaryota; Viridiplantae; Streptophyta; Magnoliopsida; Malpighiales; Linaceae. The record is from RNAcentral.